AAACUUUUAAUUUGUAAAUUCCUUUUGAAAUUUUUCACAAGUAAUGUUGCAGAAGAUCCAUGUAUGAGCUCUGAUACCAGCUGUGGCAGAACCUCCUGAAUUAAGUGGCCCACAUGCACCCAUCAUUAUCUCAAAGACUUCUGAUCGGUGUGCACGAGUUCCAAAUGACUCAAGAAGUCUGUCGGUUGAUCAUGACGAGCCAGCCAUGCAUGUCCUCGUCGCCGUCGCGUUGUGGGCUGUGCGCCUGUGACUGACCGCGAGGCCUGUCACCAUGCAUGCGCCGUGGUAUGGGUUUGCCGCGUAGCCUCAAGCCAAGCCAGCAGCCGAGCGGACCGAGAGCAAAGCAGGGAGUGGAGCAACGUGUAGCUUCUUUGAGCGGCUCAGGUCUGCCGUCUGCGUCCUGCUUCCUCUUGCCUUGGACUUUGCCGAGAGAGGUUUUAUCGUUCUCUGCUAAAAAAAAACACGCGUAUUCUAAUUCUGUAUACGUCCAGAAAUGUCGGUUGCUGUAUUUAUAUAGAAAAGCCUGGCCUUUUCGAUCGUGGAAAUACCCCCAGCGAUGUACAGGGACGAUCCCUUUCGUGACAGAUUGAGACACGGAUGGAUUUGUCGCGUGCUUAAUGGAGAGGUAGAAGUUGCUAUUGAUGCUCCAGUAGUGCACAACAUCUGGCGACUGCAACAUUUACUUGCCUGCAUGUCGAUCUACUAUUAUACCAUAUCCGACAGGUGACCCCAUCAAUUGGCUUCAGAGUAGAGUGGUAUGCAGUGAUACAGUGACCAUGUAUCAAUGCAUGAAAAAGGACCGCUGUCGAUGAAUUGUUUAUCGAUCUGUGCAGGAUAAUUUGCAGGAGUAAUCACAAUCACAUCCAGCGACGCACAUCAGUCACAGUGCACGCGUACAUGGAACAAAGCGAAAAACACGUAUUGACAUUUUUUGAUGGAGGAGUACUAUAUGAUUCAGACAUGAGACAUGAACACGAACAGUAGACUACAUACACGUACGAACAGGGUGGCGAAGGCGCGAGGAUUCCGGUUUACAGAACAGCCACAAUAAUUUUACCACCAGCAGUACUCCGUACUGCAUUACAAUUCGCCAAAUCCUUAUUUAUUUACCAUACAGAGGAGGCCCCCUCAGCCAUCCCAUGCUUUUCCUUGCCCUUCGUCUUGCUUGAUCCGGUGACGAGAUCGAUCGCCGUGGCAGUAGCACACCACGCGCCAUUGUUGGAGGAGCCUGUUGGACGGACGACGACGAACGGAGCCGGGCUACUACUGCAUGGAGCACUCGGCGGGGAGGCCCUGCGGGUAGCGCUUGGGGUCGGUGCAGUAGUUGUAGAUCAUGUACUUGCGCUGCACCCACCGCAUCCGCUGCUGCAGCGUGAGGUCCAGCUCCUGGUUGUACCAGUCCCCGGCCGGCGCUCCAGCGCCGGCGCCCUCGGUGCCGACGGCGCCGCCGCCGCCGCCGCCGCCGCAGCGCGUCUUGCCGCCGGCGACUGCGACGCAGGCGUCGGCCCUGAAUCCCCGGUACGAGGCGGAGAAGGGCGCGUGGGACCAGUCCGUCUUGACGCGGCCGCCCUGUGUCGCCCAGUCGUCGGCGUUCCACAGGCUGGAGUAGAGCCGCAUCGGCUGGUUCUUGGGGAACGCCACCCCCUUGCUCUCCAGGUUCCGGAAGUCCCUGAUCGGCAUCUCGUCCACCAUGAAGCUGCACGAACGGCAUGAUCGAUCAGUCAAUGUCAAUCGACAGUCAGUUGGACGACACUCUUAAUCAAAUCAAACACCAAACACGAACACGACGAGACGAGACGAAUUGGUUUUACUUACAUGACGUGCUUGGGGUUCCAGAGGAUGGAGUAGGUAUGGAAGUCCUUGGUGGGAUCAAACCAGAGGCGGAACUGCUGCUCCCUCUGUCCCUGGCCCUGGGUGAACACGUUGGUGUGCAGCGUGUAGGGCUCGCCGGAGACGUUGCCGAGGAACUCGAAGUCGAUCUCAUCGUGGGUGUUGCCCUGCGACGACAGGUAGUAGGCGGUGACGGUGCCGGCCGAGUUGCCGGGGACCAGCUUCAGCUGCAUGUCGAUCUUGCCGAAGAGGUACUCGUGCCUGGACUGGAACCCGGACCCGGAGGUCCGGUCCAGCGUCAGCGUCAGCAGCUGCCCGUUGUCCUGGAUCUUGCCACGACCGUCGCCCCACGUGAUGUCGAACUCCUGGUUGAAGUUGGCCGCCGCCACGGCGACGGCGACGGCGGCGGAGUAGGACAGCAGUACGCCCAGCAGCAGGGACACACGACGAGACGCCAUGACCGUGAGUAGUGGUCGAUCACUCGAGAACUCCUCACUCAACUACAGCCUAACCAACCAACCAAGAGACACGAGAGUACACUAAUGACUAGCUUGAAAUAGGAUCAAACAAUCAAUCAAGCAGGUUUGCAAGGUGCUCGAUCGGAUGAGCUGGAGCGAGAUGAUCGAGCUUGUGGUUUGUGAGUGGAGGAGGCGAGGGAGGGUUUUAUAGGGGGAGAGAGAGGGGUUUGGGCCGGCGGCGGCGAUGAGAAUGGGAAUGGCGUGCCGCGCGCAUGGUGCCGGGAAGCAGAGAGUUGUACUGCACGAGCCCGGCCGUGUGUGACAGUGUGAGAGGGUAAUGCGUGUGAGUUGGCGCCAGCCAUGCGAGGAGGAGUCAGGAGAUGGGAGGAGGGAGACAGGGCAGGGGCGCGCAGGACGCUGCGGCGGGGCAGAGCGGGGUUGAUGAGGGGCAGCCGGCAGGGCCGCAGGAAGGGGAGGGGGAGGCGACGGCACGCGCACAGCGACGAGACGAGCCGAGCGAGAUAUUUUAGGGUCGACCGGGACGUGCAGCGAAUUCCAUCAUGGUGCACCGGCCCGUUCGUUCUCGCGACCGGGGUUGUGUCCGGCUGUGGAAAGGAGAAGGCUCAAGCGAACAGAGGCAGCUCAAAACAGGGCACUGGAGGAAACUUUCAUGUGUCAAGUCCAUGAAGAAAUGGUGCCUACGCUUAGGGCUUUCCUGCGUACUCAGAUCACACCAUUCACAUUGACAUGAUGGUAAAGUUCUGUUUACCCAGUACUGAGUACAUGCAAUGCAAUUAUACGCACACACACACGGACAUGCCAAUCAGGUAGCUAGCUGGUUCUAAGUAAACAGUGAGGCCAAUAUGCUAACCGCGCGCAUGUCAAGUACAGGCACCAACGCGUGAUAUAAAAAAUGCCAUUGCGAUGACUGUCAUGACUGUUGUACGCACUGUACACUGCCAUAUCCCUAUCUUGAUUGUUUAUUUACAAACCAAAGCAUGUCAGGAUACUCUUAUAUUUUAUCACGCCACCAGUAUGUUUUUUUUUAGUGAGUGCCAUCACGUCCACAAUAAUAUAAGCCUGAAACAACAUCAAUACCUACUGUUACGUGCACUCAGGAUACUCCCCAACUCUGACUGUUUCAUUUGAGCCAAGGUAAUCUACACCGCAGCUAAUUUUGUGUAACAUCCCUGAUGUUACGAACACUAAAACUGGAUCAUGUCAUCAUAAGCAUUGCAAAGCAUAUUUGUUAAGCACAUUAUUAUGCAUCAACUUAAAAUAAGGUUAUUUUGGUUGAUUGUGCUUAGGAAAUUAAAGUGUGCUUAUAUUGUGUAUGGAUGUUUGUGUUGGUGAUUAAAACCCUGGGUGGAAGUUUUUCCGAAAGACUUAAGGGGGGAAACCCUAGUUUCCAAAACCCUAGAAUUUGUCCCCUUUUGUGCAAUUCAAAAACAAAGCAAAAUUUGAAGUUGAGUUCAAAAGCAAAGUUGUAAAUCUUGUCAAGAUGUACAACUUUGGUGUUUUGAGUUUUUGAAGUUUCAGUACAAAAUUUAAAGUAAUUUUGAAAAUACAAUUUUCCAGAAAUUGUUCCCUUUUCCGAUUUGAAUCCCCAAUUCAAAAUCUAUUUGGAAUUUUGAAAAGUGGUCAACAUGAAAGUUGUAGGGCUCAAAAAGUUGAACAACUUUCAUGUUGGGAGUUUUUCAAGUUGUUUGGAAAAAUUAAAAGUAAUUUUGGAAAUUCUAAUCUGCUCCAAUUCAAAAUUUGGAAUUUCCCCAAUUUGGGAUUUUGAAAUUCAAACUGUUUUGCCAAAUUCACACUUUUCCACUCAGAUUUAGCUUUGGUCACCAAAAGGAGUUUUGUAGCUUGUAAAAUUCUUCACAACUUCCAUUUUGGUGGAAUUUUGUCUUCAGUUCAAAAUUUGGACGAAUUUUGCAAAACCACAAAACUGGUUGGAUAAAGCUUGCUACAGUAUCCGGAUAUGGAUCACGAGUCCAGUCACCGCGCGGCCGCAGGCCGUGCAGCGCCGCGUGCGCGCCUCGCCGCCACGCAGCUGCUUGCCGGCCGCGUCACCGCGCGACGUGGACGCCCGUGACCUCUGCGUCUCGACCUCUUGAGCGCCUGCGCGGCCGACCUCGAGCUCACUUACUCCGGCGACCGAAAGCACCCAGUGAAGCUCCACCGUCCAAUACCCUCUACACGCAACCCCUCUGGCCAAUUCGAGUUCUCCAACACCUUCGCCAUAUCCUUGCGAACCCCGUGUACGCCCAGGAACCCUCCCUGCCCCUCUCAAUCGCCCGGGCGCCGUCUUUCUUCCUCAGCUCCGGCUGAAAACGCCGCCGAGGAGCACCUCAACGUGGACAGGCCACCUCGAGCCAUUGCAGGACAAGAUACGGCCACCAUCAGGUGCGCACUAGUCCGGGCGAGCUUCCCCGCUGCUCCAAUGCCGCCGACGAGCACUCCAGCGCCGAAACCACGAUCUCCGGCGAGUUCCUCUGUUUUCAGUCGCGGCCAGGGACUUCGGGCGACAAUUUGAAGUUUCCCAGGGGUCUAAUUGCAGAGACUGUGACUCAGGUGAAUAGUGCUAUAAGGACUUGUUUGUAGAUGUUUUGUUGAAUCUUUAAAAAUUCAUAUCUAGAGUUUGGUAGCUCCAAUUUUGGUGAACCAAAUUUUGUUGUGCUCCUUGAGAUGUCUAGUUUUUAUUAAAAAUAUGAAACUGACCAUGUUUUGUAGUAAAAUAAUUGGUUAUGAUUUAUGCCUUUUAAUUAUGUUUAAAAAAGGAGAAAUUCAUAUCUUAUUCUGUGUAGAUCCUAUUGCCCUGAAAUUUUUAUGGUGUUCUCAUGAUGUUAUGUGAAUGUUGCAGUAAAAAUUUCAUGUUCAGUAAAUGAUAUAUGGUUAAGUUAUUAAUUUAUCUUAUUUAAUGCUUAUUAAAUAGUUUAAAAUUAAACUAAAAAUAAAUAAAUGUAAAAUAUGGUUCCACUGCCUUUAUAUGAGGUCUUUAUAUCAUACAAAUACAUAAUUUAGCUAUGUGUUUGUAGAAAAUGUCGAGUUUCUUAUUUAUCUUGAUGCUACAUGCUUUCUUGUGAUGGAAAUUUAUCUUUUUCAUGGAAAUUGCUAUACUUAUACAAAUGGUAUGAAAUUUAUACAGUAGACUUUGGAGAGCAUAUAUGUGCUUCUGUAGUUUUCUCAGAUUUUAUUGUGUACUUUUGAUAUAUGGUUAUUACUUUGUCUAUUUAUCUAAAUAAAUUAAUAAAGACAUAAAAAGAAUUUAUUUAGGGAUGACCAUGAUAUUUUCUAGUAUCUCUUUGAUGUAUUUCAACUUUUGGUGAGCUGGGUUUUGCCCAGGUUCAAGUUUGGAACAUAAAUGAAAUAUGAUUUCUCUAUAAUUUAAUUGUUAGUGGUUUCUUGAUAGUUUUUAGAGCAUUAUGAAUUUCUCUAGGUAAAUAAUGUUGGAUAUGAAACUUGUCUAUAACAAAGUUGUAUAGAAUUCAUGUAUCUAGCUGGUGUUAAAUUUUGGUGGCAUUUGGCUCUAUAGUUUCUGAGUUAUGCCUGUUUAAAUUUAAGUUUCAGAAAUGGUUUCUUUCUGUCAAAUCCUGGAUCAGUUUCUGUAGUUGUGCAAUUUCAACCUACUAAACUUAUGAAUUAUGUUUUCAUGAUAAAAGAUGAAUUGUAGUAAUUUUCAUAAGCUUUCCAAAAUGUUAUGGAUCAUGAAUUUUGAUGAUCUAGAACUCUGGUUAUAGAUGUAUGAAUCUUAAUGUCUGAUUCUGUCCAAGGUCUGGACAGAAUUGUUUAUUCAUACUGUUUGGCCAUGUUAUCUAUUAAAUCAGUUCUCGAAGAUAAUAAUAAAGUUGUAGAAAAUUAUAUAAGCUUUCCAGAAAGUCUAAUAUCACCUUUAUUGGAUGCUUGGAUCUCUAAUUAUGGUUGAAUAAAGUUGUGUAUAUGCUGCUGUCCUGGUUAUGUUGGUAAAUAGAGUUGAUUGUUUUAGCUAGCCUUUACUUAAAUAAUGAUUAGCUUAAUUUCCAAAUUAGAAUUUGAGUGCUUUUGGGAUUAUGUGAUGACCUGAGGUCAUUAUCUUUUAAUGACCUUUGGCACUUAAUUAUUGUUUGAUGUUAAUACUUAAUUAUUGUCUUUAAUAUUUAAUUAAGAAUUUAUUAAGAUAAAUAGAAAGCAUAAUCAUUUUAGGUUUUGAUUGAUCUUUGGGAUUGAUUGAUAACCAGUGGCUACUUGACAUGAUAUGCUCCCUGGUUAAGGAUUCUUUCAUGUAAAUGAUCUUUGUUGCUUAAUAACUACACAACAUUGCUUAAUGAAGAUGAUAAAAUUUGCUUAGUAGUAAUCUAUGCUUUGAUAACUAAGUUAGUUUGUUUCUAUACCAUGAAGGUGAGUUGUACUCGAGGUAGUUUUGUUUGUUGUUAUCAUCCAAGAACAUGUAACCUGUCUUUAUCAUGUCAUGAGCAUCUCAUUGAUCAUGCAUAUGCACCUCUACGUGUAGACUACGCUCCAGAGGAAUCUGAUCCUCAGUGGGUUGCUUCCGAGUUUGUGGGUCCAUCUGGUUUUGCUGAGUUGUCGGACUUCCCUUCCGGUCAAGGCAAGCCCCGGACAUUAAACCCUAUCCUUGUAUUUUCAUAAAGUUAUUUAUAUCACUUGAGUUAAUAUGAUGCAUUAGGUGAAUAGGAGUUGAGUGAAUCCUAUUUGCUGCAUUAUCUACCUUGAUGAUUUCCAUAUUAACCUUGAUACCUGCUUUAUGAAAAUGCUUAGUAUGCUUAGCCCUGCUUAUUAGAUAAGUUUUCAAAUGAGAACGUUUGAAGGGUCGUUGUGGAAUACUGUUAUGGUUAAUAAUGUUUAAACUUGAGACCGGUCGGUGGACUUGCUUUAAGAAUGGAGUCUUAAAGUAGUGUCUCCAACUGUGUCGAUUAAGGACCGUACCGUUGAUUGGCCUGUUGUGAUUGAGAACUUUGAGUACAGCCCACAUGCGGCGGUAAGCCUUACCUAUAGCUAUUCCGAUACUUGAGAACGGCUAACCGCGUACUGGGAGUGGAAAGAUGGCGAGAGUAGCGUGUACCCACCUUACGGAUCUGAGAUGACCGGGAAACAUCUAGAUUGGCUGUAGGAUGGUGGUGUACUGUACUCUCGGGUGACGCUGGACCCGUUCUUGUAUGGGAGGAUCUAUAGAAAAGGUUGACAUAUGCAAGAUUAAGUUCUACAUAUGUCGUGUGGUACUGAAUCCCCAGCUGGGUUUAAUCGAUUCGAAUCGCCGUGUUUCCUCGGAUAUGGAGCCUCAAUCCUCACACCAUCAUCGUAGUAACAAGUGAAUCUUUGGUAUAAGAAAGAUGUGGUAUACUUAUGCAAGUUUGAUAAUAGUUUUGGUUAGUCAUAAAUGAUAACCUUGAGUUAAAACUUGAAAGUAGGUUUAAUCUUAGUAAGCUUUUAUGCAAAAGAAAUGCUUUGAUCUUGCUAAAGCUUUACCUUGAAUCCCUAUAGCCUGCAUACCUGAGUCUUCACCUCUUUUCUAGUCGGUUAAGUCUUGUUGAGUACUUUUGUACUCAGGGUUUUAUAACCCCUGUUGCAGGUGCUGACUUAGACUGCUAAUGGAGGUCAUGUCGGUGGGCGCGACAUGAUUUAUCCACCUCUUCUACCUUAGAAGCUUCACCUAAGAUGCUUCCGCUACUCUAUACACCUUUUGGAAAUUUAGUUAAGUUUAUACUUCAUCAUAUGUUGUAAAUUAAGUUAUAAAUCUUCCGCACUCUGAUGUAAGUUAUUUUUGUAACAAAUGUUGUAAUGUUGUGGUAACUCCAUGUUGAUCCUGUAUGAGAUAAAAUGUGGAUGAUUCGGGGUCCUCCGAGGAUACCCGACAAACUUCUUGAGUCAUUUGGAACUCGUGCAUGCCGAUCACAAGUCUUGGAGACAAUGAUGGGUGCAUGUGGGCCACUUAAUUCAGGAGGUUCUGCCACAGCUGGUAUCAGAGCUCAUACAUGGAUCUUCUGCAACAUUACUUGUGAAAAAUUUCAAAAGGAAUUUACAAAUUAAAAGUUUUGAGGAUAACAACUUAUAAAUAUUCCUUAACUUUUCUUAUGCUUGCUGUUCGGGUUCUACGAAGACUUUCUGCUGACUCAAAUAGAAGACAUUAAAAGAGGCUUCAAGUCUUCGACAAGCCAAGUAAAGAAUCAAACUACUCCAACAAUGCUUUGUCAACAGUCUUGCAGCCUCCCUUUUGAAGCAAUAAAGAUAGUGUAUAAAGUAUGCCCUAUAUAAGCAAUUAUCUCCUAGCUAACGUUGUAAAGACGUAUGGGACGAGCAUAUUGCAUAUCUUGCAUAACAUGACAAUAUAAUGAUACUUAAAAGCCCCUCCUUAUGCUUCAAAACAGUUAUUAUUCGUUAUAGCUGUUUUAUUGAUGAAUCUCAUCAUGUACCAGGUUUCGUUAACUGAUUGAUAAUCUUUUACUCCAUAAGAUCCUAAUCCUUGAUUCAUUUGUUAUGCAUGUGACCUUCCUUGAUUUCAUCUAAUUCGGACACAUGCUACCUCCUUGAUAUCUUUUGUCAACAUUUUUGUUGAUUGAAUGUCACUAUGAUUGUGUCCUCUUAAGGUACCAUGACUUGUGACUUAGGUAACAAUGUCAAAACCUGGGAUCUCCUAUGGCUCAUGACCAUGAGGAAAUACUGCUGGGCGCUCAUUGUUAUCAAAGUAUAUGAUCAUGAUCCCUUAUAGUCCACAAUUAGGGUGUUUCAUUCUUUGGACACUCCUUAGGGAUUCAAAGUUGUCCUUUUGAGUUCCCUAAACACCUUGUGAUUGUGAUCGACUUUUGAUCUCAGUUACAUUCUUGGUCUUGUGAGACAUGGGUUAUUGUUGUGGUGCCCUAUAGUGGUGCCAUGUCCCGUGACCACGGUGCCGCGUCGGAACCUAGAGUCUUUUGUGUGUCCGGAUGACACAAAUUUCUACUGGGCGCGUGCAGGUAUCGAGGUUAUGGACAUGAUCCAUUAUAGCCCCACAACUAAGGUGCCCUCGCUCUUUGAGCCCUAUCAUGGGAACCCAUGCCCAUAUCUUUGUGGGAAUUACCUAAAGCCCCUGACUUGGAUAACCAACAUAUGUUGCUUGAAAGCUAUUGUAACUGUACUCUAUAGUAGGUACCAUGAUCCGUGAUCACGUUAUAGCGUCGAACCUCGUAGUCUCCUGUGGACUGCAGCCAUAAGGAAAUACUACAGGGUGCUCGUUAAACAUCGGGAUCUCUGGUCAUGCUCCACUAUAAUCUACUGUUAGUGUGCUUUCAUCCUCCUUGGAAGCUCAUUUGGAGAUUCAUAUCUUCGUAUGAAUUCUCUAAAAUUCCUGAUUGAUUACAACUUCUUGUUGAUCUUAGUUGUAAUUCUUGGACCAAUCGUAAUUGUUGUAUGAACUUCUCAAAAGUUAAUGUGCUUGACACAUUUCCUUUUCCAUUACUUAACCCCAUGGGUUUUAGUACCCUGGAAAUCUCGGGACGAGAUUUCUUUAAGGGGGAAGGGCUGUAACAUCCCUGAUGUUACGAACACUAAAACUGGAUCAUGUCAUCAUAAGCAUUGCAAAGCAUAUUUGUUAAGCACAUUAUUAUGCAUCAACUUAAAAUAAGGUUAUUUUGGUUGAUUGUGCUUAGGAAAUUAAAGUGUGCUUAUAUUGUGUAUGGAUGUUUGUGUUGGUGAUUAAAACCCUGGGUGGAAGUUUUUCCGAAAGACUUAAGGGGGGAAACCCUAGUUUCCAAAACCCUAGAAUUUGUCCCCUUUUGUGCAAUUCAAAAACAAAGCAAAAUUUGAAGUUGAGUUCAAAAGCAAAGUUGUAAAUCUUGUCAAGAUGUACAACUUUGGUGUUUUGAGUUUUUGAAGUUUCAGUACAAAAUUUAAAGUAAUUUUGAAAAUACAAUUUUCCAGAAAUUGUUCCCUUUUCCGAUUUGAAUCCCCAAUUCAAAAUCUAUUUGGAAUUUUGAAAAGUGGUCAACAUGAAAGUUGUAGGGCUCAAAAAGUUGAACAACUUUCAUGUUGGGAGUUUUUCAAGUUGUUUGGAAAAAUUAAAAGUAAUUUUGGAAAUUCUAAUCUGCUCCAAUUCAAAAUUUGGAAUUUCCCCAAUUUGGGAUUUUGAAAUUCAAACUGUUUUGCCAAAUUCACACUUUUCCACUCAGAUUUAGCUUUGGUCACCAAAAGGAGUUUUGUAGCUUGUAAAAUUCUUCACAACUUCCAUUUUGGUGGAAUUUUGUCUUCAGUUCAAAAUUUGGACGAAUUUUGCAAAACCACAAAACUGGUUGGAUAAAGCUUGCUACAGUAUCCGGAUAUGGAUCACGAGUCCAGUCACCGCGCGGCCGCAGGCCGUGCAGCGCCGCGUGCGCGCCUCGCCGCCACGCAGCUGCUUGCCGGCCGCGUCACCGCGCGACGUGGACGCCCGUGACCUCUGCGUCUCGACCUCUUGAGCGCCUGCGCGGCCGACCUCGAGCUCACUUACUCCGGCGACCGAAAGCACCCAGUGAAGCUCCACCGUCCAAUACCCUCUACACGCAACCCCUCUGGCCAAUUCGAGUUCUCCAACACCUUCGCCAUAUCCUUGCGAACCCCGUGUACGCCCAGGAACCCUCCCUGCCCCUCUCAAUCGCCCGGGCGCCGUCUUUCUUCCUCAGCUCCGGCUGAAAACGCCGCCGAGGAGCACCUCAACGUGGACAGGCCACCUCGAGCCAUUGCAGGACAAGCUACGGCCACCAUCAGGUGCGCACUAGUCCGGGCGAGCUUCCCCGCUGCUCCAAUGCCGCCGACGAGCACUCCAGCGCCGAAACCACGAUCUCCGGCGAGUUCCUCUGUUUUCAGUCGCGGCCAGGGACUUCGGGCGACAAUUUGAAGUUUCCCAGGGGUCUAAUUGCAGAGACUGUGACUCAGGUGAAUAGUGCUAUAAGGACUUGUUUGUAGAUGUUUUGUUGAAUCUUUAAAAAUUCAUAUCUAGAGUUUGGUAGCUCCAAUUUUGGUGAACCAAAUUUUGUUGUGCUCCUUGAGAUGUCUAGUUUUUAUUAAAAAUAUGAAACUGACCAUGUUUUGUAUUAAAAUAAUUGGUUAUGAUUUAUGCCUUUUAAUUAUGUUUAAAAAAGGAGAAAUUCAUAUCUUAUUCUGUGUAGAUCCUAUUGCCCUGAAAUUUUUAUGGUGUUCUCAUGAUGUUAUGUGAAUGUUGCAGUAAAAAUUUCAUGUUCAGUAAAUGAUAUAUGGUUAAGUUAUUAAUUUAUCUUAUUUAAUGCUUAUUAAAUAGUUUAAAAUUAAACUAAAAAUAAAUAAAUGUAAAAUAUGGUUCCACUGCCUUUAUAUGAGGUCUUUAUAUCAUACAAAUACAUAAUUUAGCUAUGUGUUUGUAGAAAAUGUCGAGUUUCUUAUUUAUCUUGAUGCUACAUGCUUUCUUGUGAUGGAAAUUUAUCUUUUUCAUGGAAAUUGCUAUACUUAUACAAAUGGUAUGAAAUUUAUACAGUAGACUUUGGAGAGCAUAUAUGUGCUUCUGUAGUUUUCUCAGAUUUUAUUGUGUACUUUUGAUAUAUGGUUAUUACUUUGUCUAUUUAUCUAAAUAAAUUAAUAAAGACAUAAAAAGAAUUUAUUUAGGGAUGACCAUGAUAUUUUCUAGUAUCUCUUUGAUGUAUUUCAACUUUUGGUGAGCUGGGUUUUGCCCAGGUUCAAGUUUGGAACAUAAAUGAAAUAUGAUUUCUCUAUAAUUUAAUUGUUAGUGGUUUCUUGAUAGUUUUUAGAGCAUUAUGAAUUUCUCUAGGUAAAUAAUGUUGGAUAUGAAACUUGUCUAUAACAAAGUUGUAUAGAAUUCAUGUAUCUAGCUGGUGUUAAAUUUUGGUGGCAUUUGGCUCUAUAGUUUCUGAGUUAUGCCUGUUUAAAUUUAAGUUUCAGAAAUGGUUUCUUUCUGUCAAAUCCUGGAUCAGUUUCUGUAGUUGUGCAAUUUCAACCUACUAAACUUAUGAAUUAUGUUUUCAUGAUAAAAGAUGAAUUGUAGUAAUUUUCAUAAGCUUUCCAAAAUGUUAUGGAUCAUGAAUUUUGAUGAUCUAGAACUCUGGUUAUAGAUGUAUGAAUCUUAAUGUCUGAUUCUGUCCAAGGUCUGGACAGAAUUGUUUAUUCAUACUGUUUGGCCAUGUUAUCUAUUAAAUCAGUUCUCGAAGAUAAUAAUAAAGUUGUAGAAAAUUAUAUAAGCUUUCCAGAAAGUCUAAUAUCACCUUUAUUGGAUGCUUGGAUCUCUAAUUAUGGUUGAAUAAAGUUGUGUAUAUGCUGCUGUCCUGGUUAUGUUGGUAAAUAGAGUUGAUUGUUUUAGCUAGCCUUUACUUAAAUAAUGAUUAGCUUAAUUUCCAAAUUAGAAUUUGAGUGCUUUUGGGAUUAUGUGAUGACCUGAGGUCAUUAUCUUUUAAUGACCUUUGGCACUUAAUUAUUGUUUGAUGUUAAUACUUAAUUAUUGUCUUUAAUAUUUAAUUAAGAAUUUAUUAAGAUAAAUAGAAAGCAUAAUCAUUUUAGGUUUUGAUUGAUCUUUGGGAUUGAUUGAUAACCAGUGGCUACUUGACAUGAUAUGCUCCCUGGUUAAGGAUUCUUUCAUGUAAAUGAUCUUUGUUGCUUAAUAACUACACAACAUUGCUUAAUGAAGAUGAUAAAAUUUGCUUAGUAGUAAUCUAUGCUUUGAUAACUAAGUUAGUUUGUUUCUAUACCAUGAAGGUGAGUUGUACUCGAGGUAGUUUUGUUUGUUGUUAUCAUCCAAGAACAUGUAACCUGUCUUUAUCAUGUCAUGAGCAUCUCAUUGAUCAUGCAUAUGCACCUCUACGUGUAGACUACGCUCCAGAGGAAUCUGAUCCUCAGUGGGUUGCUUCCGAGUUUGUGGGUCCAUCUGGUUUUGCUGAGUUGUCGGACUUCCCUUCCGGUCAAGGCAAGCCCCGGACAUUAAACCCUAUCCUUGUAUUUUCAUAAAGUUAUUUAUAUCACUUGAGUUAAUAUGAUGCAUUAGGUGAAUAGGAGUUGAGUGAAUCCUAUUUGCUGCAUUAUCUACCUUGAUGAUUUCCAUAUUAACCUUGAUACCUGCUUUAUGAAAAUGCUUAGUAUGCUUAGCCCUGCUUAUUAGAUAAGUUUUCAAAUGAGAACGUUUGAAGGGUCGUUGUGGAAUACUGUUAUGGUUAAUAAUGUUUAAACUUGAGACCGGUCGGUGGACUUGCUUUAAGAAUGGAGUCUUAAAGUAGUGUCUCCAACUGUGUCGAUUAAGGACCGUACCGUUGAUUGGCCUGUUGUGAUUGAGAACUUUGAGUACAGCCCACAUGCGGCGGUAAGCCUUACCUAUAGCUAUUCCGAUACUUGAGAACGGCUAACCGCGUACUGGGAGUGGAAAGAUGGCGAGAGUAGCGUGUACCCACCUUACGGAUCUGAGAUGACCGGGAAACAUCUAGAUUGGCUGUAGGAUGGUGGUGUACUGUACUCUCGGGUGACGCUGGACCCGUUCUUGUAUGGGAGGAUCUAUAGAAAAGGUUGACAUAUGCAAGAUUAAGUUCUACAUAUGUCGUGUGGUACUGAAUCCCCAGCUGGGUUUAAUCGAUUCGAAUCGCCGUGUUUCCUCGGAUAUGGAGCCUCAAUCCUCACACCAUCAUCGUAGUAACAAGUGAAUCUUUGGUAUAAGAAAGAUGUGGUAUACUUAUGCAAGUUUGAUAAUAGUUUUGGUUAGUCAUAAAUGAUAACCUUGAGUUAAAACUUGAAAGUAGGUUUAAUCUUAGUAAGCUUUUAUGCAAAAGAAAUGCUUUGAUCUUGCUAAAGCUUUACCUUGAAUCCCUAUAGCCUGCAUACCUGAGUCUUCACCUCUUUUCUAGUCGGUUAAGUCUUGUUGAGUACUUUUGUACUCAGGGUUUUAUAACCCCUGUUGCAGGUGCUGACUUAGACUGCUAAUGGAGGUCAUGUCGGUGGGCGCGACAUGAUUUAUCCACCUCUUCUACCUUAGAAGCUUCACCUAAGAUGCUUCCGCUACUCUAUACACCUUUUGGAAAUUUAGUUAAGUUUAUACUUCAUCAUAUGUUGUAAAUUAAGUUAUAAAUCUUCCGCACUCUGAUGUAAGUUAUUUUUGUAACAAAUGUUGUAAUGUUGUGGUAACUCCAUGUUGAUCCUGUAUGAGAUAAAAUGUGGAUGAUUCGGGGUCCUCCGAGGAUACCCGACAGACUUCUUGAGUCAUUUGGAACUCGUGCAUGCCGAUCACAAGUCUUGGAGACAAUGAUGGGUGCAUGUGGGCCACUUAAUUCAGGAGGUUCUGCCACAUUUUGUCCCUUUUUUUCCCCACCUCUAUACAAGUGCAGUUUAAGUUCAAAUUUGGUGGAAUGGUUUAAGGCAUUGUUUAGUUUUAAAAAAAUUUUGUAAAAUUUUUUAGAUUCCUCAUCACAUCGAAUAUUGCGAUACAUGUAUAAAGUAUUAAAUAUAGAUAAAAAGUUUAACUACACAGUUUGUUUGUAAUUUAUAAGAUGAAUCUUUUGAGUCUAAUUAGUCCAUGAUUGAACAAUAUUUGUCAAAUAAAAAUGAAAAUGUUGCAGUGUUUAUUUUGAAAAAAAAAAGAAAACUAAACAAAGCCUAAGAUAGGGAUGUAAGACGGGUUAUCCACAAACUUGUAGAUAGGUUUAAUUUUGCGAGUGACCUAUAAUAAACCGUCUUGCAUCUCUAGCAUAGGACAUUAUAACUUAACCUAACAACGCGUUAAGCAUUUAUUAUGUUUCCUUACAUUUAGAGCGUAUAGCACUAAGUUAACCCUGGUGACACAUAAUUGUAUUGAAAACUACGAUGGGAAAAUUACCAACAUAGUUUAUCGUACCUUUUCUAUAAACCAAGCAUAUAUGGUGAGUACGACAGAGUGCUAAGCGCUCCUGCCUGAGUACAGAGAACCGAAUGAUGGAAGAAAUAUCCUGCCUGUACUAUGUUUUCGAAAGUCCAGCGUGGCACGGGUAGUUGAGGAGCUUGAAGCGGUGAGGUGAACAUGAGCUAGUACCACAUGCACAAAUCUCCCGAUCCACAUUGUGUACGUGCGGCGGUGCCGAUGCGUGGAUGCACUUUACUACCCUAACCACCACGGAUCAUCCAUCUGACCAUCUCGGUUAAGUAUGAAGUAGCAGUAAUGCACGGCUAGCAUUACCUCACCGGACGACUGUACCGUGCGUACGUAUAUACGUAUACCUUGUCAGUCAAGUUGGCACAACACAAUGUGGGGGGCCGGCCGUACGUGUGACAUAAUCCUCUUUUCCGUGCAAAAGGUACGGUGGUCGAUCGAUGCAUCCGAGGGACGCUGCUACAGUCUCAGAGGUAAAACAACCUCCGGCCCCGUGGAUCAGAUCGGAUCAUACACGAAUCAUACACUGGAGCGUUCCGUUCCGUACGAGUAAAAUGUGCCACGGGGGUCAUAAACGGACGGGGCCAGCAAUGAUCGCGUGCCAGCUCGGUGGUGGCUGGGUCAGGCAUGCAGCGGCACGGACAGCAUGGGCCGUGUGGCAGCCAUACCGACGAUCGGAUGGAUGGAUGGAUGCAUGAAUUCGGGAGAGGACGACAUGACAUGGCAUGGCAUGGCAUGUUCACGCGCCGGGCAUUGCAAGCUGAUCGAUGGCGCCCGGGCCCCAGGGCGGGGGACGACGACGACGACGACGGGUGAUCCAGCAGCUAGCUGGCUCCGACGAGGCGUAUUCAAGUACUCAUACCGGGCAGCUUUGAAAGGUCAUUCACCCACACGCAUGGCUGCGUGUUCGUCGUUCCGCCUGCUGCGCGCGCGCGUUGGCGUGGAGACGUGGAUAGGAAUCGUCGCAGCGCGGAGUUAGACCGCUGCCGGGGGCACGGGGCGCGCUCCGCCGCUCGCCUUUAAACACCAGCUGACCCUGCACGCAGCGUCCUCUCGGUCGCCGGCAGCGCGGCCAGUGCACUAAAAUUUCACAACUUGCGGUACGACAGCCAGUUGCGCUCAUUGGUCAUUGCCACACGGGCCAAUAAUCGGCCAGAUUGCCAAUAAUUGCUUUUCAUGGGCUGGCGUCGUGGCCGCUGGCCGUGUUAACUGCACAAUUGAUACGUCCACGAUCGAUGAAUCUACUGUACGAACGCGCGCCGUCUAUGGAGGAGGACUGGCUGGAACUGGAAAGCAUCCGGCGCAACAAAGUCUCCCGAGACCGAGACAACCGACAUGCAAAGCAUUGGCUGAUCCGCACACCGCCGAUGGAGCGCCUCGGCCAGCCCCGGCCCGUCCGUCCGUGGGGGUCUCGAGGCCUCGUCGAUCGGGUCCGGGUCCCGUCUCCCGUGAGUCGUGACGCCAUCCCGCUCCCUUUUCCAGCCUGUGUGCUGCUCGCAUGCUCUGCUCUGUCCUACUACUCGUGCCUCGCAUCGCAUGCACGCCGCGCACGGGGACGUACGAUACCAUACGGCCUCGGGACUGUCACGUGCUGUCCUCCUCCGAUCCUCGCCUCUAUCCGCGCACGCGCAGAGGAGUCCGUCCGUGUCGCGUUGCCUUCCACGGCGGCGCGGCUCACCCCCCUCGCGCUUAUCCAUUCAUGCCCGGGCCCGGGAGGCAGUCAGUCGUCGUUCUCGCCCGUCGCCGCUCGGUGGCCUCGCUCGCUCGCGCGCCCACGCCCACGCCCACGCCGAUCGAUCAUCCAUCACCCGGCCCGGCCGUGCACACGCUCCCCUUUGAUCCACAUAUCCGUCUGCUACGUCAGCUCUGUGUUUCCGCGCCUAGGCCUCAAGCGCGAUUCUGCAGGCCCAGGCCAAGGAUAGUCCGGUGCGUGGUGCGCGUGCGCUGCUGCAUGCCUUUGCCUGGCAGCCGCGGCAGGCUACGGCUAUGGAUGCCUGGCUGGCACGCACGCACGCACGCACGGAUGGGAUUGCCUGCGGCUGCGUACGACGUGGCGGAAGGCAGGCGAGAGCGAGACGCGGGGGGAAGGUACGGCGCGCCGCUGAGCUAUGCAAUGCGAUUGAGAUGGUGGAUGCGCGCGGCUGGCACUGGCGUCUGGCAGGCAAGCAAAUGGCAACCAGCUGUUGGCAAUCAUCAUGUGGGGAAAGAGAUGCAUCAGCGGGAUAUGUGCAUGUCCGCCGCCGGCUGGGUCCCUCGCUCCCGUUGUGUCAGUGUACGCCAUCAUGGGCUCAUGGUCCCACUGCCUGUUAAUCCUCGCUUCAGAUGAUCAGUGGCUGCUUAACCCUUUUUGUAGUAGUGUUGUUUCUUCGCACAGGCACAGCGUUAAACUUUUCUUUUUAAGGAUCCAGCGUUAUACUACGGUAAUCAAGAGCAUGACGAGGAUCCGGGGCUACAAACGUUUGAUCCGAGGCUUUGUAGCUCCGUCUACUAUCGCGGUUAUUGGAAGUGUGUUUCUGGUUGCCUAGAUGGAUACACAUCUUCUCUAUCAUAAAUUUUUUGAAAUUCAUUCCCACGAAAAAUCAAACCUAGAUCUCACCGAGGCUCUUCUAACCGCUGCGCUACAGGUCUCUUCGCUACAUCUGUCAAUAAUUAACCAUACACUCUUCUAUUCUUUUUACCUGUGCCGUGUACGGUAGCCACGUAAACACACCCGUUACAAACUCUUCAUUAGUAUUACAUUCACUGAGAUAUAUCAACAUAUGCGUAAGUUGAAGCUAUUGCAGUGAGCUCCAAACACAGCCACACGUGCAAUACAACCGAUAGUCUACGAGUUUUGCUGCCUCCUUUAAGGCCUUGUUUAGUUCCUAAAUUUUUUUGCUUUGAGUUAAUGUAGCAUUUUCGUUUUUUUACAUGACAAAUAUUGUCCAAUUAUAUAUUAAUUAGGCUCAAAAGAUUCAUCUCGCGAAUUACAAGUAAACUGUGUAAUUAGUUUUUACUUUCGUCUAUGUUUAAUGCUCUAUGCAUGUGCCAAAAGAUUUGAUGUGACGAAGAAUUUUAUUUUUUUUUUUUUAGUUUUUUGGGUAAACUAAACAAGGCCUUAACUUGAUCAGCCCAUCCAUGUCUUUGCUACAAAGGUUCGUUCACUUGUCCGGCUCCUCUUGGAUUAAAGGCCACCCAUAAUUUCUGGUAGGAAUCCAUCCAAGAGGCAAGGCCCAAUUAUCCUUGAGAUAAACUGCAUCAGAACGGCGGACCGCUCGUCUUCGUAUCGUAUCCCUCGGCCUUUUAAUUGGCCCAUCGCCAAGCCCGUAAAGCCGUACUAAGUCUGUUUCCACCAAGGGCCCCAAGUGAAGAAGCCCAUGCAUACAGAUGACAGCCCACUUCGGUUCCUAAGCGUGACAAACGUCUAGCCCACCCACAUCCAGCCUCUUACCCAGUUUCAAGUCACUUGGACCUUUCCGACCUUUUAACCGCUGCUGCUGUCGCCCUAUAGGCCCGUUUCUGUUGUUCCCACCCCUGCAGCCAGUUUCUUGUCACUAGCCCAUAUUUAGCUCGUGGGCUCAUUUCGUUUGUUGGCCGAAUUCUGCGCCAGUUCUCUUUUUUCGUUCUUUAUUAUUUCGUUUCUCUUUUGUUUUAACUAGAAAUGCUCGCGGCGUUGCCGCUUAUGGCCGGUGUGUGGCCUGUUUAAAGCGUUCUCUUCUAUGCAGCACACAGAGUAGCAGCAGUAUCUAUUGUUGGACGUCAAGGCGAUAAUGCUGAGAUAGAUAAACAAGUAUAAUUGGAGGUUGGUAAUAAUCAGCAACCAGAAGGAUAAUUUAGCAAGUAAGGUUUAGUUCCGUAUCCGAAGAAUUAUGGCAACAGUUAGCUUCUAGUUCGCCCGCUGUUUGGCUUCCAGGAUCUCCUGCAGCCCUCUUUCCUCUACCUCUAUCCUCUCUUUCCCUCCCCCUCUUCUCUUUCAGCUCGUAUGGGCUAGAAAUGUGUGCGUCGUUGCCGCUUAUGGCCAGUGGAUGCGUGUGUCUAUGUGUUUUUGUUUUUUUCAUUGUACGGCGUAGAUUUUAAAUGUAUUCAUUUUGUUUGUUUACAUGCGUGACAUGAUGUACUCAUAUAUGCGAGUGUACGGAAUGCCAUAUAUAUAUAUAUAUAUAUAUAUAUAUAUAUAUAUAUAUAUAUAUAUAGGGUCCAUUUUCUAUAUUCCCACGAGUAGAUACUCCCACCGAGAGUAUACGCAGCAUCCUAUGUUCAUCUGGUUAACGGGCCGACUAAUAUGCAACCCGUUUAGACUGUUUGCAUGCGGCCGGCGUUCAUCUAGCCAACGGCUGUUACACCUCCUUGUUUUAUGGGGCCAGUUGUACGGACGUAUAUGCUUUUCGAAAGUAUGGACACAUACUUUAAUAUAUAAAAUGAGUAUAUUGCAGCAUAUAUAUAUUUGGGAGUAUGUCCGUAUACUAGUGCAAUUUUAUUAUAGACUAUAUGUAGCUUUUUUAGGAGAAAAAAAUAGUAUGCUAUUAUGUGGGCAUACUAUUUGAAGGAAGUAUGCAUAUAUAUUAGUAUAUAUUAGUACGAGUACGUACAUUUUUUCCGUAGGGUAUGCAUGGCAGAGAAGUAUGUACAUAUACUCUAAUUUUUAUGUGGCCUUUUUUUUGAACAGAUAUACUUUAUAUGAGUACGUAUAGAUUUCGGAGUACCGAGAGUACAUGCAUGUAUAUGCAUAAACUAUACUUCGAGUAGAUAUCCAUACUAUCUCGAGGAUCAUUUAAAUAUAAGUAUGUAUAUAUACUAUUUUGUAUCAGUAUCUAUACUCAGUACUCUACAAGCAGGUAUUAUGGACCAUAUACUCUACUAUGCAAGCAAGUAUGUACAUAUACCAAAGGAUACACGGAGUAGUGAGUAUAUACGUAUAUUAGGAGUAGGCCACGUAUACAUGAGAGUAUGAGUCCAUAUAUGUUUAUAAUGAGUAUGAGACAUUACGUGUUUAUAGGAAGUAUGAAUACAUACAUGCAUGUUUAUACGGAGUAUGAUACAUACAUGUUGGCAGGGAAUAUGCACGGACUAUUCGUGCGAUGAAUAUGCAAAAGAAUUAUGUAGAGAAAUGGAGAUUCUGGCCAUUAGCAUCUUGACGCUAGAAUAAAGACACUAUAAAGCAAAUCUUCUGAAUCCAAAAAAAAAAAAAGAAAGCAGAUUUUGUGAAUUAAAAAGAGAAAAGAAAACAGAUCUCGCAGUGUACACGGAGAGGGCCCAUGUCAAAUGAUGAAGAAGGCCGCCGCCGGAGGAAGGCGUGACGAAGAACGCCACCAGGCCACCCAUCUGCACACCGAAGGCGUUGGCCAGGACGCGCCGCCGUCAAGGGAGCACGCGAUGGAGAUCUCGGGUGUUGGAGGCAAUGCAGGCAGCAUCGGAUCUCGAGCAACUUGCAGCGACAGAGGGGCGAGGUCACCAUCGACGACGCUGCCGGAGAGCUGAAAGGGCAGAGAGCGAGCGUCCGGCUCUACCCGAGGCCGAAGCGAAUAAAGCCGCCGCUGCCGCCGCCACCCCGACGGGGCGUGGCUGUUCGACGCCCGCAAAUGACGACUAAAUCUACUUAUAUAUUCAUUAUAUUAACGGGUCCGCUUAAUGAACCCGCUAAUGAACCUCUUGCGCCAAGUUGGAAGACUCUUUGGGUGUAAUGUGGGAGUAGUUACUCCUAGGGAGUAGGAAAAAUUUACCAUAUAUAUAUAUAUAUAUAUAUAUAUAUAUAUAUAUAGUGAAGUAUUUGGCUUCGUAUAUCUAUGUUAGGAUUAUUUGUUUUGGAUUAUUUUGUAUUACGAGUUAGUAUAAAAUUAAAGGAUUAGGAAACGAAGAUUAUAAAAAAAUUAUGAAUUAAUUUAGAGUUAAGGUGGGGAGAAUUAGAAAGCAAAGAUUAGAGUUAAGGUGGGGAGAAUUAGAAAGCAAAGAUUAUGAAAAAAAGGUAUGAAUUUAUUUAGAGUUGAUUUUGGGGAGAUAUUUUUAGUUCAUAUGUGAUAUGAGCAAAAAAAUAAUCACUGACAUAAAUUAUAGAUGUAUAUAUCUAUCAAAUAUAAUACAUUAAAUCAUAUGAUAUUUUAAGUUAAAUGCAUAGAUCUAGUCAUAAGAAACUCAACAAAAUUAGUUUGGUAUUUUUAUGAUUUUUCUAUAAUUUUAUACAAAUUUUUGGAGAUCUCUAUUUUGAGAAGAAAAGAUUAAACAUUAAUAGGAAAAUAAAAAUAACAUGGGCCGUAUUUGGCCCACUUAGGCCCAGCAAGCUUGAGGCCAACCCAGGCAGGCGGAUAUGGACUGAUCUUUAAUUCCUAUAAAGUUUGAGGACUAUUUUGAAUAAAACCUGAGAGAGUGGGUUGGACGACGGGUUAUAUUUCAACAAAGUGAGAGGGCGUUUGUGCAAAAUUACAGAGAGUGGCCCGAUAUGGGCCGUCUGGCCGGCCGAUCAUACGGCCUGGACCUUCUUUUGGUGCGUGAAUCGUAUUCAGGAGAUUCGUUGCGUGUUUUUUCCUUCUACGAGUCAUCUUCUCUUUUCAUUGUUUUUCAAUUCAUUUCAUUUUAUCCCCGACGAAGGGGGACUUUGAUUCAGAAUUCAGAGUGCGUUCCAUUGCUGUAUGCAAGCUAAAUUGAUCUCCAACUCCAAGGACAUGUUUUCACUAAGAAAAUUAUGAAUAAAAAGGUGAAUCGAGCACUUAUCUGCAAAAGUUCCCGGAGUGUUGGACACCACAGGCACUGUAAACUCCGACAGAAACUCGUAACAACGGUAUUACCUCUUCAGUAUAAACAAAUACAACAGCUUUCUGGCCCGUAAGCUACUGAAAAGUUGUCAUCCAGUACAAAAUGCACAUUGGUUGUGGCGGGUCCUCCUGCGCCCAAUCAAAAAAAGAACGUAUAUCAUUCAUAUUGCCCUGCAUAUGCAGGAUUCUCGAUCGUACAUAUUACGCGUGCGUUUGGUUUGGUUUGUUUUCAAUAUAAAGCUGACUAGUAAAAUUAAGUCAGACUAUUUAGCAAGGCACACAAAUACACAAUACAACAGUCAUGAACCAAGCAAGCAAGCAAUCACAGAUUCACACAAACAAACAAUCGAGUGAAACCUCACCCUAUAGUAGCAAGCGCACAAAGAUCGCAUGCACCGCCGCCGCUCUUUCCUCCUCAACCGCCGCAUAGAGCUCGCCAGCACCACAACUCUUUCCUCCCCAACCGCCGCGCAGAGCGUGCGAGCGCCUCCAGGCGACCGCAGGCACUCGCACAUGGCGGCAAGAGCUCGACCGCGGCACGGAGCUCCACCGCAGGCCACUGCACGGGAGCACCACAGCAUGCCUUCCAAGUCCGAAUAGGACCUCUGCCUCCUCGACCACUGAAAGCUCCAAUGCAGCCAGAUCUAAGUGACGAGGGGAGGCUGGAGGUGGUGCGGCCCAUGUGAAGGAAGGGGGGAAAGGGGGUAGUGACACGAUACGAGAGGCUUGCUGUGGUCUUGCUCUAAAAGAAACAGCAACCCCGUGUUUUUUUAGACCUCCGGGUGUGUGGGUGGCCGGUUGGAGCCUGGCUUCAGGAGCUGGCCUAGGAAUAAAACAAUGUAAAUGUGGCCUAACCAAACCAAAAGGUAGGUUAAGAGCCUAACCAAACACACCAUAUGUGCAUCACUUGAGUUUAUUACCGAAUAUAAUAUUUUUUGUCUCACAACAAAUCAGUGAAAUCAACAACUUUUUAUCUAAGCGAACAGCACCAUGUGUUGGUCUAUAACGCCAUAGUAUUUCAUCAUGUGCCUGUAGUAGUUCUGCAGUGAAGGGCCACGAGCCCACGAUGCAACUCUCUGCUCGAUUCGAGAGAAUCAGUGAGAACUAUAUGGUGGUUACUUUUUUUUGCUGUACAGCAACGAACACAUAUGCACAACACAGAUGAACGAGAAUGAGAAACACCAGUACUUACAACAGUAGUAGUAUGUUACAGUGCUAUUUUUUUUUUGAAAAUCUAAAGGGGGGGGAGAGUUUCCCCACCUUUAGGCUCCCUUUGGCAGCAGCGAAUCCCGGAGGGAUCCCGGCUUUUUCUCCGGGAGAGAAUCCCGCGCGGCUAUUUUCCACGAACCACGACAUGCGUCCAUUUGGAAGACCGCCACCCAGGUCUCUCGGCCCCACAGGAGCAGGGUUUUCACAGGGAAUCAAGCCUGGCUUGCAGACAUGGGGCGUCAUUCCCCGUCUGUUUCCCUCGACUCAACUCCCCUCCGUCGCGUCCCCUCCGCCUCGCCUCAACUCUCCUCCAUUGCCGCCGCUCGGCCCUCACCUCGACUUCUCCUCCAUCGCCGCCACCGUGCAACACCAGCACCACCGUCUCCCGACUCUACAGGUGAGCUCGCUUCCAUCUGUAUCUCUCUGUACCGCAUCUAGGGUUUCCUGAUUCGAUCAUCACCAUGUUUCUUGUAGAUGUUGGGGCUGCGGACGGCAGCAUCUUCCUCCCCACUCUGCCCCGUGCAUCCGCUCCGCGUCUCUGCCCCCAUUCUAUUCCGCAAUCCAUCCUCACCGCUGCCCGCUUUUCCUCGACGCUGACCAACGCCGAUCCGAUCCCCGGGGCGUACACGCACGGCAUGGCACGGUGAGCACCCUCCCCCUGCCCUCGAUCCCCCCGCUGCUGGUACUAGGCUUCAGUUCGAGGGAGGUAGCCGUCCGCCGCACUAGGCCUUUGCUUGUCCCGACCAGAACUGCAGGCGACUCGCGAUUGGGGUCGGCUCGCCGGCGGAUUGCUGGUUUCGUCGCGUGAGGCCUUAGUGUACAGCAUCUCCUUUCUAAUCUGCACAAACUUGAGGCCGAGCUCUGUGCUGGAAACAUACGCUUUCACCAAGUCAUCGGACAGCUUGUUGAGCACAAGACCGAGGAGCCAGCUCGCCGACCCAAGAGCAGUCUCCAUCUUUCCUCCGGCCGCAGGGAAGAUGACUCUGAAUUUGCAAGUAACUAGAGAUUUUUGGUAGCAAGUUUAGUUAUGGUUCUAAUGUCGAGUUUGACUCUGAAUUGCUCAAUGCUGGAGCAUGAAGUCCCAUGGCAAAAUUUCAUCCAAAAAAGUUCAUAUGCUUACUCUGAAGUUUGCGCGGCUCCAUAGUAGUCCUUUGACUCUGAAGUUUAUUUAUAGCAAGUUUAUUUCUGCUUACUGUAUACACUAUAUAGUUCAUAUGCUUUGAUUUCUUUAAUUUUUAACACUUGCUUUUUUUUAAUCGUCGUCUGCUGCAGGUAGUUGACAUCUCAGUCCAUCUUCACCAGGCCAGGCUGCCAUCGUCCGGUCCUCAGUCCUCAUUGCCUUUCUUGCUUUCUAAGAGUAGUCUCCCUGCCUCGCAUUGCUUGAUCUAAAAUAUAAACAUGCAAUCCUAUGUUUCUAGCACUAACUGGUUCUGGUAGAUCCAGUUUACUGGUUCAUGAAUGCACUUGUUGAUAUGAAUUGGUAGCAUGAACUGGUUCUGGUAGAUCCAAUUUUUAACACAUGCUAGAAGUUUUUCUGCACAAUUGCACUUGGAAGCAUUAGCCAUAGGUUGAUAGUUUUCUGACAGGUGAAGUCUGUUGUGUCAGUUUCCUUUUUUAAUUUUUGACUUUGGUUCGAGGGUUGCUGACUUUGUUUCAGUGUGUGGAUUAAAAUGCCUAUUAGUCACUACUUGCUGCUGUCCACAAAACACUGCACAUGUUUUGUGAUUUAGGAUAGGCCUCAUUAGAUCUUGAUUGGAAAAUUAAAUACAGUAGCAGCUAACCUAAAAUAUACAGUUCAUUGUAAUUCAUGCAGCCAAAGAGGUAAAUUACCAACUCAUCCUGAUUUAUCUAUUGCAAAAGUGCAGAAUACUUGGUGGAAGCCGUGCAUGAUUUGAGAUGAGUGAGGUGAUACUUCAGUGCUUAUAUUCUUCUUUCCUUUGUCUUUAGAAUCCAGUAGUCCUUUCGUAGCUGUAUUAUCACACCUGUUAUUGCAGCAGGGUGAAUAACUAACACUUUAUCUUUAGUUUGGACUGUGCAAUGAUAGCACUGCAUGACGUUAUUCCUUUUUUCCUCAUUUAUUGUGCCAUGUCUGCUGCUCAUGUUUGUUUUAAGAACAAUUUCAAUCAGAAGCAAUCGUCAAUCCUAACCCAAUCUUCUAGUUUAUCUAUAUUUUUGGUAGGUACCACAAUCUGUCCUAUGCUUCAUCCAUUUUUUUUUCCAGUCAUGCCCAUGCUGCAAUGUAUGCCUAACUAACGAAUUAAUAUUGUUCCUCCAUUAUGUCAUUUUUCUUUCAGAUGUUGAUAUGCUUAGAACUCCCUGUUUGUUUGUGACAUACCAUUCUUUUGCCAUGAGGAUAUAAGACUGCCAUGUUUAAGUGGCUUAGAGAGCUUCAGCUGUGAAGGUGCCUGAUCGAAGUCCCUCGAAGAAAAACCGCACUAUGAGAAACCAGCACGGUUAUCAGAUUUUGGGGUGUAUUAAACAGAUUAUUUCAACCACUGUGCCAAGAAGAACCCAAGCAUUACCGGUUCCCAGGAGAAGAAUUUUUCAUUUUUUUGUAUAUAUGUUCAUAGACUAGGUCAUUAUAACCCGGUUUAUAUCUAUCUAUUGUAUGUAAAGGAUGGAGAACCAUCUGUUUCAAUGCUAUCGCUAGAUUUUAGAUGAUAAUUAUUAGACAUGAUUUCAUAUUUGAAAUAUCAUUUUUGUAUAGAGAGACCUAUUCCUGAGUUUUUUCACGGUUUUGUGGUUUCAACGUUAAUCUCUGGUAGCUUCCUUAAAUUCUGAUUUUUUAUGAUUUGUUUAAUAUAUUAUUUUAAAAUUCGUCGAUAGUGAUAAGAGCAACACCAGAAAAUCAAACUGACAAACAACUCUCGCAAGUCCUCAAUUGGCUGCCAAACAGCCGCAGGAAAACUCACCCCCGCAGGUUAUCCUCCCCGUGGUGGUGGCGGGAAUCAAAAAUCCAAAAAUUUCCACGCGCGUGGCUAUAUUCCCUGGGCUACUUUGCCCCGCUGCCAAAGUAAGCCUUACAGUGCUAUGAUGCAUGGAGCAUGGAGCCGUGCAUGUAUAAUGCACUGCUGUAGAGGUCACUACCACCAUUCCGAUCUGAUGUUACGUGCCACACAUCACCAACAACUACUGUAUGUGUGGUGUGGUGGUGCAGUGGUGCCGCAUCAAAUCUACGGGAUCGGGCCGUCGGGGAGCCACCGGCCGAUCCAUGCUGCUGCGUGCCAUUUAUGGCAACGCCGUGCACGUACCGGUUGCUGCCUCCUUGCCCUGUGCAGGCAGCAGGCGAAUGAUUCGACGUCUGAAAAGCACGCACGCCGGGACGCCCCCCCCCCCCCCCACCACCACACUCGAUCGACACCCGCGGCUUCAGAACUGCAGCGCAAGUGCGGACGACGACGACUGACGAGUCGACGCCUCCUCUCCAGCAGUCCGGUCGUGCUUGCAGUCCCAGCUAAGCAAGCGAACGGUAUAUCGUCGGAGAUGGAGGACGACGGGAGCAUUGCUGUCCGAUAUAUAUAUCACCGACCAAACGAAACGAAACGGACCGUACAUGUCAGUGUGCCUGACUCGACGAUUUGUACUCUGUGCUAGAGCUAGUACAUGCCGGCCCGACACAUUUAGGUAUCGCUAUACUGCUGUCAUAGAAGUCACUCUUGCUUUCUGAUAAGUAAUUUUUUAAAUAUACUCAACGAUCUAAUAUUUUUUGUAAUAGUUUAUUUUAAUAUAUAAAUAUUGUACGUAUUUUCUAUAAAUCUAAUUAAAGUUGAACAAAGUUUAACUUCCACUUAUUUCAUAACACCUUUUUUCUUGGACAGGGAGUAUGCAUAUACUCUCUCUAUUUGCUACGCAGGCUUUGUACAUUGAGCAGGUUUUGUAAAAGCUUUUGUUUGUUUCGAUUCUCUUUCAAACUUCAUUAUGGGUCUAUCUUAUCCAUCAUGCGACAAUAACGAUCGUUGGAUCCUAAUCCUACAGUUCAGCAGUCAUCUUCAACCUCACCUCUGUCGGUCUUCUUCCCUCCGAGGCUACGCCCUCUUCCUCCUCUUCGCCCCCGCUGCGGUAUGCUAGGGUUUCAUUGGAGCUUUGCGGCCAUUAUUCUCCUCCCCCUCCUUCCACGGCGUGCUCCAGCCAAGCUCGCUUGCCCCGACCUGGCUUGGUCGUCUCCACCGCCACUAGCGUGCCCUAAACCGCCACGGUGCUAUCAUCCCCACCGCAUGCAUUGGCUGGUCUUCGUCUCCCUAAAACCUCUUUUUCUUCUAAGCCAGUUGGGGAAAAAGAGAGCAGUGUGGGCGUGUGGCCGUCAGACACGAGUGUUGUGGUGGGGAAGAUGAAAGGUGCGUUUGGUGUGGGCGUAGGCAUGGCUAACUGACACGAAGGCAAAUAUCAUACGACUAAGGAGGAGUAAUUCUGUUAUUGAUAUGAUUUGUUCAGGCACGUCGUUAGCAAAUAGACACGCGCCAACGAUGGCCGGACCGCGGCGUCCAAUUUUGUCAGUUCCUUUGGAGACGGUAUACCUUGUUGCUGAUGUUUGUCUCGCUCUGGCUCAGUCGCUCGUCACCAUCUCAUAAAACCAUGGAAACAACAACUGUGAAAAAAAGAUAGAUCAGAGGAUAGGAACUGCAGAAAGGCAAGGAGGUACAUAAAUAAUCCUCUCACUUUAUCUGAUCUAGCUAGGGCAUGCAUGCAUGCAGGCAGGCCAGGCUUUGCGACGAGCUACACGCAUAUACUUUGCCGGCCCAUCCUUCGCGCGCGAUCGAGUACUACUACAUUUGUAGUAGUAACUGUAACUGUCAUCAGACAAACGCUAGAUCGAGAACGCUAGGGACAAGGAACCAUGAAAGCUUUGGAAACGUGUAUCAUGGGAAGUGAUCAUGAUCCAGGGUACAUAUAUAGCUGCAAACAAGGAGUGCAGAGACGUACUCACAGCUCUUUUUUUUUUGAAGGUCACAGGUGCAAUUUAGACGCUCAGUUAUUUUCUGUUGGGGAAAACUCGAUCUACGGAGUCCGGCCAGACUCAUCUAUAGAAAACAUAAAAAUUUCUGUGUGUACGUACAGUAGACUAUAUACCGGUAAUCAAAGUUCAUACUAUUUGACUCCUUGAAAUAUGAGAAUUGCAUUUUUUUUUGGAUGGAGAGAGUAUAUAAUAAUCACUUCUAGCAAUUUUAGAACUAAUUAAGUAGGAAACGGAAAAUCAAUCAUAAUUCAUAAAAUAACCAUUGUGUAUAUGGCUCGGACCACAAAGGAAUUCAGUCUCUAACAUUUAUGUCUCUAAAUAGAUUUAUAAAAAAAUAUAUUUUGUAACAUGAAUAUAACUAAUAUCUUUUUAAUAUAAUUUUAAUAAAAACUUGAACUGUUUGAUUUAUCGAAAACGAGAAUUGUAUUAGGACGGAGAGAGUAUAAUCCCUCCUCGACAAUGGUCCUGCGCGGAUGUCUUCUGAACAAUAGUCAAGAGGUACGUACCCCUAAACCGGAGGGAGUAUCCUCUAGUGCACCCAGGAGGGGCUGCAUGAAAAAGCGAAGAACUACAGCCGCAUCAUGAUUUCAGCGCUAUACGCAGGCAGCAGCAGCACGUCCGGUCCGGUUUAGGGUUUAGGGUGUUCGCAAAAACUUGUGAAAAACGGCACUGUAGCACUUUCGUUUUUAUUUGACAAACAUUGUUCAAUUAUAGAGUAACUAUGCUUAAAAGAUUCAUCUCGCAGUUUACAGAUGAACUGUGCAAAUAGUUUUUGUUUUCAUGUAUAUUUAAUGCUCCAUGCAUGUGCCGCAAGAUUCGAUGUGACGGAGAAUCUUGAAAAUUUUUACGAACUAAACAAGGCCCCAGUUCCUCUCGGGGACAUCCCACACCUUCAACCGUACUGCGUGCUCCGCUGCUGACUGGUCAGUCGUGAAAUCGCUGCUAGCUGCUGCUAGCUGAGCCAGUAUGGGUAUACGAGCUACUCCGUACGGAUCGGUCGACUAGUCGUCCUAGAGAGAGGACGAUCGAUCGACCCAGACAUGCAAAAAGUUUUUUGAUUUUGACACUUUAGCAUUUUUGUCUUUAUUUGACAAACAUUGUCUAAUUAUAGAGUAACUAGGUUUAAAAGAUUCGUCUCGUGAUUUACAGUUAAACUGUAUAAUUAGUUAUUCUUUUUAACUAUAUUUAAUAUUUCAUGCAUGUACCGCAAGAUUCGAUGUGACGGAGAAUCUUGUAAAGUUUUGGUUUUUUGGAUGUAUCUAAACAAGGCCCCAGCAGAUGAGCAGAUCAGCACAGGAGGAGGCCGAGGCAGGCACCGCACCAGCCUGUGUGCGUAGCAUAUGAAUGCCAUGGAAUCGUAGAGCUAGCUGAUUGAUCGAUCAUGGAGCCAGGCCGAGAAGAAGAAUGCAUACUACUGCAGAUGCGGCAUGGGCACACCUCCAUGAAUUGCGCGGAUCGGAGCUCGAUCUGUAGUGCUGAUCGAUGCCGUUCGACGACGCACCGGACCACCGGUGAGCAUGCAAACGGCAGCGGUCAAACGCGCCGCGGGCGGCCGGGCACUCGGACAGCCUUUCUGCCGUCUCGUCGAGGUCGAUGAUGGAUCUGGCAUUCUGGCCAGAUCCCACUCCCACACCGCCCGCCGCCCGACCGCGCCAGCCAUAGGACGGAGCAUGCAUGCCAUUGGCAAAUCUCAAAUGGCAUUGCACCAUAGUGAGGGGUACAGGCUGCAGGCCUCGAGCCCCUCGCAUUUUGCCCGUCGCGUGCUGCAUGCAACUGGAACUCAUUUAUCACGCCAACGCACACACCUCUCCGUCCUGCGCGUCCUUCUCGCCGAGAUUGGGGGAUUCAAGGCUCAUCAAUGGGGUUCGGUGGGCGUCGUGUGUUUACCUGCGCUGCAGGAUGGGUGAUUCAUCAAGGCUCUUGUGCUGUUCGCCCUUUGGAGUCUGCAGCUCUAGGGAGUGGUAAAAUUACUCUGCAGCUAAUUUCCAUUCCACUGGUAAUUUAACUGUACUUUGUUCUGAUAUUUAUCUUUACCUUUGUUCAAUAAAAUCUCCAAUUGGGGCUCCUUGCCCCUCCUGUUUCUUAAAAAAAAAAAAUCCAUUCCACCGGUACUUCACCUCUGAGCAAUUCCUGACAUGUCUCAUGUUGAAGGUACUUUUUUUUAGAAAUUCUAUACAGCACUUGAGUGUUUUGAAGCAACCCAAAAUUCGAUUUGAUCUCUUUUCUUUUUUCUCUCCUCUUCUUCUCCAAAUCCAGCCGCCUUAGAAGAUUUUUUUUUUUUGACGUGGGAGGCGAGGAGGUGAGGAAAGUUGUAUGGCAACAGUUAGGCUUCUAGUGUCAGAGAGGCAGCCGGAUAUUAGGUCGGGGCAGGGGCACCCAUUGCCAUUGCGGCGAUGAUAGAGGAGGGAGGAAAAGAAGGAGACUGCUAUUGCAUGGUAGGGUUUUGUUAAAGCUCUACGGCUACGACCGUGGUGGCAGUACGAGACCCUACUACGCCAUGGCAGGGCCUUGGUUAGUGAGCACGGUGUGUGUAAGGCUAUCUCCUGACAGGGAGACCUAUUUGGAACCCAAAUCUAAAAUGGGUCUCCAACACAAUACCUAUAGCCUCCAACAGAGUACCCAUACAGAAGACCUAUUUUGGGUAUCAGGGGAGGCAUAACCCAAAUUUGGGUAUCCUCUCUCCUCGAGACCCAUUUGCAGAGAGUGUUGUCUUUUAGGUCUUGUUGUUGGAGAAGACUAAAAAUAGGUAUGGAACCUUUUACCUGUAGCGCUACCCAAAGGAUAAAUGAGUCUUGUAUUUUGGGUGACGAUUGUUGGAGAUAGUCUAAGGAGGAUGAAGAAGAUUUGAAGGAAAGAAAUCGAGUGCUUAGAUGGCUCAGAACACUCCGACUGAGGCAUAGACAUAUUCCUUUUUUUUUUCCAGAACGUAAAGCCAGUGAUAUUGGUAUGACCAAUCCCAAAUAGUACUUUUCCUUAGUAGCCAAUAGACUGCAAGUUCUGUUGAUGCAUGCCAGUUCUCUCGUGCGCUCAUCAGUGAGGACAUCAAGGAGUUAACACUACUACACGCGCGGUUAGCCCGGGCUCGCUGCAGGGAAGGCAGGCCUGCCUGCAAUUACUACUCGCGGUCACCGGCCAGUAGAGGUCACCACGGAACACCGCGCUCCCGCUGUUAAAACUCAGAGCAGGCUCGGCAACUCUUCCGUCCACGAAUACUCCCAUUUGUUUCACCACCUCACCUGAGCGCACGCACACCUGCCGUGCCCGAGCACUGUCUCCCUCGUUCCCGUCUCCUCGCGCACGCAUCAAACCAACCCGAGACGAGGGCCCGUGUGGGUGUAGCCGCCAGCCAGACCAAGAGAGCGCGUUCGCCCGUGACGCCGUGACGCGCGCGGCGAGAGCGAGCGAGCGAGCCUGAUGAGGCGGCGGCGGUGGGCACGCGCCGCCACUGCGCUGUCGUGGCUCGCCAUCGCCGUCGUGCUGCAGCUCGCCGCCGUCGCCGAGGGGAGGUCGGCGCCGUCGUUGUUGCCGCCGCCGAGGCGCGCGCACGGUGACGGACACGCACACGCCCACGCCCACGCCCACGCGCGCCCUCGCACGCACAGCGGGAGUGGGCUGCCGCCGCCGUUGACGGGUGCAACGACGACCGUGCGCCACGCUGUUGCCGCGGACGUCGGCGUCGGCGCGUCAGUCCGCUUUGACGCCGCCGCGGGCGCCGCCACCCGGUGUAAGAGCGGCGGGCGGCAAUCAGAGAGCGGCGCUGCUGCUGCUGGUGGUGGUGCGUGCGCCGACGACGAUGAUGAGAAGCGGCGCAUACCGACGGGUCCUAACCCUCUGCACAACAGAUAGAUGAUCGUGCUGUGCAACCCAACAAGAUCCAUGUCAUCUAACACCAGUGGAGAGGAGCAAUGCAAGCCAAGCCACCAGAGUUCAGGGGGGCAGCAGCAGCAACAACAGCAUGCACAGGCUUUCUUGGUAUGCACGAGCUCAUCAUCAUCUCCUAUUCCUUCUGCUCUGUUCAUCAUGGACAUGGACCAGAAGAUAGUGAUCAGUAGUAGGUGUAGUAGUUUAGUUCAGCUUCAGCAGUGAAAAUUCUUUUGGGAUGCUGUCCAUUUCCUCUUCUUUUUCGAGCUUUUUUUGUCUGCCAGCACCGGGUGUAUAUUCUGCCUCUCUAGCUUGUUCUGUCAGAAGCAAGAAUUGUUUGGUUCAUCAGCUCUCUCCCAGCUUUCCUCCGCUGGGCGCUUGUUCCCAUCCUGGAAGCGGAAGAUUCGGCUGUUCGUCAUAUCUGAAUUUUGCUUGCUUUCUCUCUGUCCAUUCCAACCAAAAGCUUUCACAAGCCACAGGAGGACCUUCUGAACGCAAAGAUCUCCACGGAUCCUACGAGCAUCGUAUCUCCUGUAGGCCCUGUGCUGUGUGAUCAUGGGUCAUGGCAGAAAGGGAUUCAUUCAACUUCUAUAAAAAAAUGUUCUCUUUUUUUUCCCCCAACUUUUGUCGUUGUAAAACGUAGUAGUAACAUGCAUUGUUUUUAAGUGCUAGUUACUCAGACAACGCUGUUGCAGCCCAUCACCUGAACUGCUCACUUGGAAUGGGCAUGUGUUAAUGCUCUUGUACCCUUUUGCCUGUCCUUGGUCUUUGAUCAGCAUAGCAUGCUGAUGCUUGAAUUGAAGGCCACUCUGCACAACAUGUCUUCUCGGAUUUAGUACAGGCGCCAGUACAAUUGCUGGGCAAGGGCAUGCAUGAUACAGGUGGGUAGCCAAUAUGAAGCGGCAGCAGUAUUUGUAUCUCUGGUCCUCUGGAGAUAUGUGGGGGGAAAAAAGGCUGAGCAGGAGCAAAUGCAAAUGAGCAGGAGCCAGGAGGCGUGCUCCAUGGAUUGUUCUUGGACCAGAGCUCCUUGCCAGCUCUUCAAGCUCUGUUGGAGAGCCAGGCAGUGGUCCUGCUCCAGCAAUCUUGAAUCUUCAGUCCGUUUUGGUUUUUGGCAAAUGGUUCUUGGAGCCUUUCUGUGGCUCUGGCUGGCAGGGGAGGUGCAGCAGGCUAGGGAGUAAAGUUUUAUUUUGUUUAUGCAUACAAAAGUCUAUAUCUGGUAGGAGUAAAGGCUUGUUCUCCUGGGCCUCAGUUGGUUCUUGUCCUCAAGGAGGCCGGGAGGGAAAUGGCAUGUGAACUUUGUAACCAUCCAAAAGCAAGCCAUGUACUCGCAACAGCUGCCAACGGGGGAUUCAUCGACCAGAUGCUGGAGAUCGAGUGGUCCAAUGUUCUCAUAGAAAUCAUUGAUACCACUGCCUGAUAAUUUACAGCAAAGGCGGAUAACUGCUGUAUAAUCAUCACAUCAUGCUCAGACAUGCUCAGAUCAAAAUCCAUAGUUCCAUGCCAAAACAACCUUCCCAUGCAAUAGACAAUGUAGAACGAAGAUACUAUUAUCCAAACAUGUUUAACGUGGUACUAGAAGUCAGGCCUUGUUUAGUUCGCAAAAUUUUUUGUUUUUGGCUAUUGUAGCAUUUCGUUUUUAUUUGACAAAUAUUAUCCAAUUACGGAGUAACUAGGCUCAAAAGAUUCAUCUCACAAAUUACAGGUAAACUGUGCAGUUAGUUUUUAUUUUUAUCUAUAUUUAAUGCUCCAUGCAUGCGACCAAAGAUUCGAUGUGACGGGGAAUCUUAAAAAUUUUUGCGAACUAAACAAGGCUUCAUUUCUAAUUUCCUCAAAAAAAGAAGAAGACAUUUCUUAUCGAUCCACCAUGGAGAGAGUACAUGAAUGGUGGGGGUAGCACGACAACCAACAAGGUAGCUAACUAGCCUUUCUGCUAAUAUAUUUACGGCUUCUUUAUAAGAAGAAACAGCCUCUGAUCCAGCUGAAAGCCAGCAGCACAGGAAGGAUCACCCCUAAGUAUCAUCAAGAGGCCACCAAAAGAUGCAUAAAUCUCCCUGGAAUGAGGACACGGGUCACGGGGAGUAUUGAAUUAGAAAAUGUAGCAUAUAACAAACUGGGCAGAAACACAUAAUUGAUUGCAAUAAACAUUGAAUAGGGCAUGCCAGGUAUGUGUGCACUGUGCAAUUCAGUCUAUAUUGCAAUUUUGCUCUCUGAAAUACCAAGUGCUUAACAAGAUGAACAAGCAACUAAAACAGCAGAUAGAAAUGCCAUGCAUCUGAACUGUUUCAUCAUGAAAUAACUAACCAAGUUUCUUUGGGAGCAUCUAUAACCAUGUACAACAUACUUACCCAUGCUCUAUAACCCAUGCAUCAAAUUUAUCUAAUUAAGCCAAUUGCUUUAAAUAAUUUGCUUCCUUUUUUCGGUAAAUAGACUGGCCUUGCAAUGAUUCCCAUUUUUUUUUGAAAGCUACACACAAAAAACUGUGUAGACCUGUAAAGUAAUUACUAAUAGAUGAUUCAUUGAUCAAAUGAACAUUGUUUCUUAUAUAAUUACUAAUAAAUGCUCACAUGGCCACAAACCGCAGUAUUUCAUCACUAUGUAAAUCUGUAAAGUAAUUUUCACCUUAAAACCCAAACACAACCUUAAUCGAUAAGAAUACCUUAGUAAAUUUUCAAAUUUAACAGGAUGCAACAGAUGAAGUACUAGUACUUGUCAAGAAUUGACGACAUGUAUGACAUAUACACAUAAAAUAAAUUAUUUGUAUCCUCGGACCUACAUACACCAGAGAGUAAAUCUACAAGAGAAUACCAUGUGGGAUCAAUCAUCCCGGUUCCAACUUAUGUUGUGGAUCAUUUCUGUAACUUUUAGUUGAUUAUUUCACCCACAGGCUGUAAGUAACUGCAAGGGAGUCUUCACAAAACAGCCCGCACAAUUGCCUUUAUGUGUUCAUAUAUAAAUAAUUUAGGACCCAGAAAAAUGACAAGGGGCAAGGAAAUAAACCAGUGUCACAAUAAACAGUGUAGUAACAUUGCUCAAAUUCAGAGAAGGCAUACACUUUAGUAGAUGAAUUGCCAUUACUGUCUUUGGUACUGUCUUCUGAGAUCUUGUAAAGCUUUCCAUGCAUGAUGUAGUCAUAAUCGUCAGCAAGAGUUUUUCUUCCAGCCUGCAUGAAAGUAAUGGCAUCAUGUUGUUUACCCAAUAAAACUAUGCCUCAGUCGAAGAGAAAAAUGAAAAAUAUCAUGGCACAUCAAACACAUUCGGAUCUGUAUUCCCAUCACAAAAGUUUCAUAAUGUCAACACAGGCUACUCUGUUGUCAAAAAAAGAAAAAAUCAAGCUACUUUUGUCAUAUUAGGUUUGUCCUAAGUCAAAAUUCCUAACUUUGAUCAUCAAUUUCAAAAAAAUCCAUGUAGUUUCACAACAUGUGAACGAUACUAUUAAAGUAUUUCUCAUAAUAUUGAAUCUAAAAACAUAUAUCUUAUAUACAUUUUUUUUAAAUGUUGAUGGUCAAAGAUAGAAAUAUUUGGCUUUGGACAAAACUAAAUACAACAUGUAAAAAAAAACAGAGGAAGUAUGAGACUAAUUAGGUGUGUCACCUGUGUGUAGUAGCCAGCGUCUGUUGAUCCAUCCAGGUUGAGAGUGAGAGCUAAAACCAUGUUGAAUGUGUCACCAAGCUUCAUUGCAUAGACCUCAGUAGCAACAUCCAGUUGCAUGUACAUUUCAUUCUCGCUUGUAGCUUCAAUACGAGUGACUGACCAUGGACAUUGUUAAAAAAAAUGCGACAUUACAUCUUCCAAUAUUUGCAGCAAGAUAUAAUGCAGAAAUCUGAAUAAUCCUGCUUCCAGCACUCAAAGAACUGCAUAGCUAAACACAGUUUCAGAAGAGCAAAACACGUUGUGUUAUCUGUAGUUGCAGUGGAUUCAAUUUUGCCGCGGAAAAGUCAGAGAUGAUAGAUUACCUUUGUCGAACUUCUUGCCAUCAGGAUCGAGCCUGGUCACCUUGAAUUUAUCUUUGAAGAGGUGCUCGGCCAUUUUUCCUGCACAUGAUAGAUAGCAAUAGCAAUAGAUUAGCACACCUGGAUGUGUCAAAAGGUCCAAAAGUUCCCCGCACUACCGGAAUCCGGCUCUGUCUAGUGGUUUGCCGAGUGUUUUUUUCGGUGCUAAAGAAAAAACACUCGGCAAAAAAAAAACACUCGGCAAAGAAAAUUUCAAAUCAAAAUUUAAAGCCCUAAACAAAUUCAAAUCAAAAAGUUUUGAACUACAAAGUUGUAUGACUUCUCAAGAUCUAUAAUCUUUAUUUUGGCCGUUUCUUCAUUUGGCAAAGUGAAAAUAAAUUUGUUCACAAAUUUUAUCUCUCUCUUAAAGUUCCUAGAACUACAAGAGAGAUAUAUAAGAUUUGUAAAAAAUAUUAGAAUUACCGUGUCAGAUGAGCAAAUGAUCAAACAAUCAAAAUAAACUUUAUAGAUUUUGACAAGUUAUGAAAUUUUUUCAUUUGAGUUUAUCUUAUCAUUUAAAACUGUGUCUUUAUUUGAAAAUUUUUAAUUUUGAUUUUCAGAAAUUACCUCGGAUGAAAAAACUGACUAAAUAAACUUUGUAGGUCUCAAAAAGUUAUGAAACUUUAUAGUUGAUAACUUUUUAAUUUGAAAUCAUGUUGUCAUGCAAAAACUACGUUUAAAUUUCUCAAAUUUUAAAUUCAAAUUUUGUAAACGACCUCGGAUGGAGAAACUUCAUAAAUGAAAAUUAUAGAUCUCAAAAAGUUAUGAAUGUUUGUAGUUGACAACUUUUUAAUUUGAAAUCGUUUAGAGGCUCAAAUAAUCAAUUUAUAUGUGAUUUAGUAUGAUAUAUGAUAAUAUGAAGAACCAAAAUAUAAUAUGUUCACAACUAAUGAUGUAGUGCAGUGGUGAAGGAGGGAGCUCUGUGACCUCCAGGUCGUGGGUUCGAAUCCUACUUUGGCGUAAUCGUGAAUUUUGUACAAUGAAGCUGAAAAAAAGGUGGAGGGUGCGCUAGCCGGGUGCUAGCUGAUGACCCCUUUCCAAAAAAAAAAAUCUAUUUUUUGGCUUUUUUUAUUUUUUUCUUUGCCGAGUGUUGGCACUCCGUAAAGCCUUUGCCGAGUGCCCGAUAAAAAACACUUGGCAAAGACACCUUUGCCGGCCAGAAUUUUGCCGUGUGCCCUUUGCCAAGUGUUUUUGACACUCGGCAAAGUGUCUGUCUCCCGUAGUGCCGGGGGAAAAACGUGCAAACCAACAUAGAUCGAAGAGAGCCAAGAUAUGAGAUUGCAUUCCAUGCGGCAGCCUAUUGGGUUCUAGGUGGUUUUACCGCCGAAUAACCUGGGGUUUAGGGUUUAGUUGGGCAAUUCCUACAGCGAGGUGAUUCAUCGACCGUGCAGGCCGAAUGACCUAAACGAACCGCGCGGAUUGGGUUGGAAUGGUAGGGCGGCACUACGUCGCACACGAAUACCACAACGAACAAUGAAUCUGUCCCCUAAAACCAGGGGCGGAACCAGUAUAAAGCAUUAGGCUUUGGGGGUGCUCGGCUUCGCACAGGAGGAACGGAGGAGAAAGAGAGCGGGCCGCGAUGAUACCUGGCGGGUGCUCAUCGCCGUCGUCGAUCUGGCGAAGGGUGUCAGCGCUCGCCCAGUCGUCGUCGCAGCAACAACAGGCCUUGUUUAGUUCCAAAAUUUUUUACAAAAUAAGAAUAGUACCAUUUUCUUUUGUAUUUGACAAAUAUUAUUCAAUUAUGUAUUAACUAAACUCAAAAGAUUCGUCUCGUCAAUUUCGUCCAAACUGUGUAAUUAGUUUUUAUUUUCGUCCAUAUUUAAUACUUUAUGCAUGCGUCUAAAAAUUUGAUGUGAUAGAGAAUAUGAAAAAUUUUGCAAAAAUUUUUGACAACUAAACAAGGCCCAAGCAAAGAAAGGCGCGCGAGAAAGAGUCGCGCCGGAGAAAGAAGUGGGCCCCACGCGGAGUAGUCAGAGACGUGCUUUCCUUUGCUUUAUAUAUAUAUAAUAUCCACUGUUUCUUUGGACCCGACGCGUCUCAUGAAUCGUGCAUUGGUGGGCUCUAUAAUAGGCCCAAGCAGGUCCAGCCCAUUAAGAACAAUUUUGCUCAUUGCCUAAUUGCUAGUAUGCAAUAUCGGAGGUGCAGGUGCAAGUCCUAAUAAUCAUUUUGCAACGUCGUCGACUCGAAUUGACAGUGGGAUCCUGUCUUUCCUCGUCACCACCCGGGCGUGGAAGAAAUGGAGCCAUGGGUGAGAGACACGGGCACGGGAGGUGACUCGAACUCACCAUUCAGCGCUCAAGGGAGCCGUACCCUAACUUCCUUUGCCCUUUGGUGAGAGCCAGGUGAGGGAGUGCGUUUUGCAAAUGGAGGCCGAGCUCGUUGAUGGAUCUAAGUAAUUCAACACGCGCCGUUACAGCCCACCUUUUUUUUUUCUUGAGCACCCUGUGUUUGGGCUUACUGGUUCCUGUUUUGUUUCUUUAUUUCUUUCUUGUAGAUUUUCUAAACUCUUUUUUAAAUAAAUGCUGUAGGGGUGAAAGCCCCUCCAGUUUAGUUAAAAAAAAACAGGCCAACGGACAGCAUAUCAAACAUGCCUUCUCUUUUUAUGUUCACAAGCUACGGGUAUUGGCCUUGUUUAGAUGUCAAAAAAUUUUGGAUUUCGCUACUGUAGCACUUUCGUUUGUUUGUGACAAAUAUUGUCUAAUCAUAAACUAACUAGGGUCAAAAGAUUCGUCUCGCGAUUUACAGCCAAACUGUGUAAUUAGUUUUUAUUUUCGUCUAUAUUUAAUACUUCAUGCAUGUGCCGUAAGAUUCGAUAUGAUAGGGAAUCUUGAAAGCUUUUUAGUUUUUUGGGUGAACUAAACAAGGCCUUAAUGGCUGUUCCUAGCAAAUUAUUAGUAUAUACUUGUCUAAAAAGACAACUGAAAGUAUUGUUUACGGAUUUAUUGUUUGAGAAAAGCACGACUAAAUAACUGACAAAUUCGGUAGAAAAAUUCAAAUGAACAGGUGUACAGGCGUCGUGAAAGCGCCCGCUUAAGGCGUCCCCAAUGACUAGCUAUUUGGUAAGCUAUUAUGACGUGGAUAGAGAAAAAGUAGGAGAGAGUAGUCAUUAACGACGAAUAAAUAGUUAAUUUAUUUCACGUAAUCCAAAAAUAUGAGAGAAACAUGCAGAUCCAAUAAUACAUAAAAAGAAUAAAAAUAUAUAAAAUAGUUUUUGUUUUUUCCUCUCACAUUACGUAACUAGCACCAUCGCGAACGCCCUUAGAGAAAUUACACGCAUCCUAUUAGUAAUGGAUUGUCUCAUAGUUGUCUUGUGGUUCAAAGAUGUAUUCAACGACCCUAAAUAUUCAAAUACGUUUUAACCAAACUUCAUACCGUUAUUUGACAUAUGUUGAAAUCCUACUUAUCACUGGACAGACGUUGUUAAACUCGUAUGAGCUGAAACCGUGACUUCCCAUCAAAUAUGAGAAAUGGAGGAGUGCGACACUAUGGUAGAUAGAACACACAAAUCUAUUAUUAAAAUAUAAGGAUGCAAUAAGAAUUUAAUUUAGUAUUUUUUAUAGGACCAGUGUUUACUUUUGUAUUUUAUAGUACAUGCUGCAAAACAAAAUCUAAUUUAGGUCUAUAUGUUUAGAUAAAACUUGGAGAACUCUGUGGUCGCUAAUACGAAGGAGGAAUCUAUAUGUAUGGUGUUUGUAAUACAGGAACAUGAUAUAAUAUAUGUAUAGGUUUAUUAGCAUGUUCGUGCAGAUUGUAUUCUAUGGAUGAUGUGUCUUGCUGACGUGGAUAUUAUAAUUCUUGUGCUAAUGAAUUUUAAUUGAAAAUAAUAAUGGAUUGCUGAGUUGGACACCUUAUAUGUCAAGAGAAAUUGUCAGUGAUAAUGAUAGUGGACUGAUGGGUAGACAUCUUAUAUGUCAAGAGAAAUAGCUAGCGGAGUUUUGUUUUAUAAGAGUUGUAGAUUCUGUUGAAGAAUACUAUUUUGGGAAGAUUACACGUUUGUUUUUUUGGUUGAGCAGGGAUAGUGUUAUAGAUCCAGAAAAAAGUGUUUGAUCUUCACAAGACAAAUAUUCUAAGUUCUGGAGAAUAUUCUAGAUUUUGGGGUUAACGAUCCAAAUCAGUUGAAUGGUAUCUUAUCUUAUAUACUCUUAUAAAGCAAAACUCCACUAUCUAUUUAUCUCAGCAUGCAACGUGUCGAACUAAGCAACACAUACCAUUAAAUUCCACUAAGCAAAAAUCCACUAUAUAUUUCAACAUGCAAAUUGUCUAACUAGACAAUACACUAUCCCAUACCUCUAAAAUUCACUAACACAUUCAACUAUAAUGUUCACAUCAGUAAGACAUGUAAGCAUUUUGCUGAAUACAUCAUCAUUAUAUACAAUCCCUAAUCCUCAAUUGGACUAUGAAAUUUAUUUUUUGGGGAGGGGGGUUAUGCCCCCACCCGCCACCCCGUGUGCCCUUAUUUAUAACAUCUUUUGCUUCAUAUUUGAUCAACAUUGUAAUACAUCUAGGUUGAGCUCUGCGUGCUUUGACGGCCUUGCCGUCUAAGGUAGAUUCCUUUGGUGAGAAACUUUUCCCUUAUCAUUCCAACUGAGACUAAAGCCUAGCGGAAGAGGGUGCCAAACCUAGUGGCAAUAGGUGAAGAGGGGGCAAAGGAAGCGGUGGUUGGGUGACAUCCAACCUCCCGUGCCUCUAGAUCCAUCAAAAUUGUUAGUGAUGCCACAAGCACUUAUACAUAGUUUUCAUAUUUCUAAUAAUAUAUUAUGAUAUUAAUUUAUACCUCAAAGUUCGUGAAUAAUAACUUAUAUGUCUAACUUUAUUCUAAACCAUUCAUCAAGUUAUAUAUCUAAGUUACAUAAACAAGUUAUAAAUAAAAGUAUUUUGUAUAUUUUUUUGCAGAUUUCUAUGGAAUAAUGUUGAUAAUUUUGUUCCGUAAAAUAUAAAGCAUAAAUGUUACGCGUAUAACUUUGUCACAUAAUUAUAUGUAUAAGUUAUAUGUAUAACUAUGGAAAGUAUAUGUUAAAGUCAUAUAUAUAAGUUAUACGUCGAAGUUUUUUUUGAUAAAAUUUAUACGUUGAAGUUUGUUCUACAAGUUAUAUGUAAAAGUAAUAACUUUGUAACUUAAAAAAAGAAAAUAUGUGAUUUUUUUGCCAAAAAUAAAAAAACUUUCAAAAUAAAAAGGAAAGUUGUGGAUUUAUUUUUGUGAAAAAAAUAGAAAAUCACGGGAAUCUGGUGGACUUUUGCUAAAGAAAUGAAUAAGACCUCAUUGAUUAGGUGUUUUCUUGUUAUGGUAAAGAAUUACAAUUUAUCUUUGUUUUGUAGCAAUUUCACGAGAAUUAAUGUGGAUGCUUUGUUAGAAACCUCUGAUCAGUUUUGAUUACUUUAAGUGACUCUUGGAAAUUGUUCUAUCUUUGCUACCGUGGAUGGAUACAGAUUACAGAGCCAUCAUUGUUCGCUUAAGUUUAUCAACCGAAUCAGCCAACCAUUCAGCAAUGUUUUUUUUUUUCACAAUAAAUCAGCCCACAGCUUAUCAACCAAACAAAUCUGCUCCAUGGUCGCGUCCCUGUAUCUCCCACUGCCCAUGCCCAUCCCACGUCCACCAUUGUCCCGCGCGACCACCAUCCUGGUGGAGAGCCAAGGCAACACAAGGACUGGAAGGAGCACUCGCCUGCCGCUGCGUCGUGCCAUAUGGACUCAUGGAGAGCACCAUCCGCAGGCAGCCAAUUUACGCUGCCACGGCGUACUGCCGGGGGACGCCCCCACCUGGUGCGCCCCAUUGGCAACCUUCUGUUCUGCGCCCCGUCGUGUGUGUCUCGACUCUCGACGAUUCCCAAGUCCCAAUCAGUCUUGAUCAUUUUUACUAAAGAGUAGUGGUGCGUGAUGAGUACAGUAGUCAUGUCUCUAACUCAAACUCACGUUUAUGCUCAUACGAAGCACUUCGUAGUUCGUACCAAGGAGGCGGUAGUUUCUCAUUGCUCCUCCUCACAAAUUAUUACACGACUGCCACCAAAUGCGGUUUUGUCAAACACUUUCCAAAAACAACUUUAGCUUCAUUAAAAUUAACGCACUUGCUUACUUUACUAUUGUGAUCCCAUCACGGUUCAAGCUGCUCGGGCCGGCGCGGUUCUGGCGUGUGCUUGAUUCCUAUCGCGAUUGGGACCCUAAGUAUACCAAGAAAAAUUACUAAUCUAAUCCAUGCACCAACAACCACGGCCACCUAUCACGUCCCAGUAUUUUUUUAAGGGCGUCCGCAAUAGUGUUCAAAUCAUUAGCUAUUUAAUCUCUAGGAAUAAUAUUAUUGAUUUUUAAUAGCAAUUUGCAAAUAGCUAGCUUGAAAGUCGCUAGCUAUUAGAAAGUCGCUAACUAUUGUGGAGAGUAUUGUGAGAGGGUUAUUUCUAGAAGAUCGAACUAGAUUAGCUAUUUAUGAGUCACUAUUAUUAGGAAGUCGUCAGAUCCUCGACAGUCCGCCAUUGAUACAAUCACGGCCGUCGCUAACCUCCUCGAGUUCGACAUCUUUGAUCUGGAGCUCACCACGGUGCAAUCCAAACACCGACCUCCGGAUCGGAGUCGCUGUCAGGUUGCCAUCUAUCAAAGUACUAUCAGUUUAGAUGGAAAACGCCAUGAGUGGGAAGCUUUCACAUGAUAGAUAGAGAGUGAAUCGGGUGAAAAACUUUUAACUAUUAUUGGAAAGGGAGACGUCUCGUAUCAGGAUGUGGAGUGACCUAACCUGACUGAACACCAAACAAAAUUAGGUAGGGUAAACCACUGGCGGUUUGGUUUCAGCGACAUUAAUAAAUCACUGUCAGCCACUCAGGAAAGACGCCGGCAUGAUAUGACACCUAACGCUAACGAGAAGGACUCGUCGAAGACUCAUGAAGUCAUGGGCAUGGCUGGCCCUUAGCAGCAAUGUUUUGGGAUGCAUGGGAAGAGGAAUUUGAAGCGAUAUUUUUAUAACCUAGGAACGGAAAUGUUCUCAGGAUGAUGUAUACGGAAUGAGGAACGUAGCUAUGUUUCAUGUUUUUCUACAGCUAAGGACAUCUCUAAUGGUCUAAUUUAGUGUUUGGAGCGGCUCCUUUUGGCUCCGUUACAGUAGCUACCGGCGGAGCCUGAACAAGAGCGUAGCCAAACGUUUGGAUGCUGCCCCUCCCAUGCCGUGCUAAACUCUGCACCCGGCCAACUUCGGCAAUGAAACAAACUGGUCUUGAGCGUGCCAAAAUUUGGCCUCAAUCCAAACCUUCACCUCCUUCGCAAUCAACGAACAAUAUUUGGCAUGGCUGACAAUGGCACCCAUCCAAACAUGCCAUUGGAAUAUGGCAGACUUUUGUACUAAUUUAUCCUAAGUUUUCUUGAGCACUAGAGACUUGUCAAAAUUUUCAUCCUAUUAAUAGUAUGGUAUACUUAUAUACUCAUGGAUAAAAGAAACCGUAACUUAAUGUACUUGAGCAUGUGUGCCUUAUUCAUAUAUGACAGUCCUUCUCAAUGUCUUCUCAUAGGGGUUUCAACUUUCAACCAUUUUGCUCUCAGUCAUUUUAGCAAAUCCAUCUUUACCAAGUGACUUGAACCAUUACAGCAUGUAUGAAUUCAAUCUAUAGUUUCAACUCACUACAUUGGUUUUAUUCAACAAUGAUUUGAUACUUGCCAUAGAAUGACUCCUCAUGGCAUCAUUAAUUCCUUGGAAUUCUCAAGCAUUGCUUUUUCACCAUAGCCUUGAUCCUCGACGCCAAGCUACCAGCUGCUCUUCAUCUACACUUAGUCCCUCAAAGCCUCCACUUAGUAUAUUCCUUCACCUUGUCUUCCCAACUUGAGUCAAUCUUAGCUUUGGGUCAACAAUCAAUCCACAAUUAAAAUUUUGAGGCCCUGCUCCGUCAGCCUACGUCCACUGUGCAGCCUACUCCUAUGACGGGUGAUGGUGACCGGAGUGCUUACUCACCCAAUACUACCUAUGCUGGUAAAACGGGCAGUCGACACCUCAACCCUGCGCAUAAUCUCUACAGGACACGUACUCAGACGGGCAGUAAACCUGAUCUAUCUACCUAUACUGGACACAAGCGCUGUAACUCUUCGGAAAUAUCGGACUUCGUCAAAUACAAAGGAAAGAAAUUGGUGAAAGUAUGUUACAGAUGUCUAUCUACGGAUCACUUGGUCUCUCAAUGCCGUGACCCUAUAAAAUGCUCGACCUGCCUUCGUUCUGGUCACAAGAGCCACAACUGCAAGCAGCUCCCCACAACCACAAUGUCGACCUACUCUUCCGCCUCGUCCAACUCCCGCCCAAGCUCCCCGGAGCUCCCUUUAGCUCCACCUCCUAGCCCGCCUAGCCCCAGACGUACCAUGGUGGAGGCCCAUGUGGGCAUUGGAGAUUACGAGGAUGCAAGGUGCUUCGCCUACGUCUACCUGAGACAGGCGGUGCAUGCGCCUCACCUCUUCAUCCGCAAGGCUAUGGAGCAGGCGUGCGGUGCCCCAGCUUUCCAUCUGGCUGCGUCGGCACGGGGCGUCGGGAUCAUGAGGUUUGCUUCGCCUGAGGAGAGGGACGCGAUCGUCGCCAUGAGCUCCAUCCACCACGACGACAACACGCUCACCGUCGAGUGGCACGAGGAGGCCGACAACCGCUUCUACGCCUUCUACCGCGUCUACGCCGAGAUCGCCGUGGUGGACUUCCCGCUCGAGCAUUGGGACGAGGACAGAGCUCGGGAGGUGCUGGCCGCGGUGAGAACGUCUGCUACUUCGACCCACAGUGCUUCGCGGGUGGCGACUACACGUCCAUGCAUGCGGUCGUACGCCUGGACCACCACCAGGAGAUCCCAGAACAGCUGCUGGUUCGGAACCACAACGGUCCUGCGUGCCUCGCCAACAUCUACGCCAUCCGCACGUGGCUCGACGUCGGCCAAGAGCCAGAGUGGGGGGACUACGACUUCGGGACCGCACCAGGCAUACAUGCGGCUCCCCCCUACCACCCGGUCGGGAACCCCCCGACCCAGUUGCCACCUGCCCCUCAGAACCUGGUGGCGUCUGUCCUGGAGUGGGAGAACGUCACUCCAACCCCCACCCUGUGGCCGGCUAGAGGGAGGCGCGCCACUCCGUACCCUGCGCGCCCACCCGCGUCCACCCCACCGGUUCUAUGCCUGCCCUGGUACGGCAUUGGCGGGGUGCCGCCUCUGGUGGCGCCAGGGCUCGGCGCGUCCACUGUGGAGGAACCUGAAGACGGCGUCCCGGAAGACACUGCCACAGCUGACGGUGGGGCGGAGGAAGAGGUGCAUGAAGUGGCUGCCCUGGAUGCCACGCGCUCUGUCGGGGGGCCUGAGACUGGCAAGAACGUGGAUCCAACGGAGGGGCUCGCCUCCCUCCAGAUCGGGUCUCCAAUCCUCUUCACCGCCGCCGAAGACACUGAGCCUGAGCACAUGAGCCGCGCCCGCAAGAGGCGUGCCAGGCGCAAGCGCGCCAAAGACACUGCCAACAAGCUCAGGAGGAGCCAGCGCCUCCAGGAGAAAGAAGAGGGUGGGUUCGAGCUUCCAGAGGACAAGGCAGCAAGGGUCCAGCGCGCCAAGUUCGACUUCUCUGGUGCGUCGCGCCGUCUCCGUAACUCCUUAUCUCGCUCUUACAUUAUCUCUCAUGAUUUCUCCCUCUCUGAUGACGCUGAUUCCUUGAUGGAUAUUGCUGCAGCCUGUGGAGCGUCAGAGGAAGAGUGUGCUGGGAUUGCCGGUGAGGCGGCCGGGCCGUCGGCCGGUAACUGAUGAGACCCUGGAGAGUCCCGACAGACUGUGGCGUCGGCGCUGGUCACACCCCUGUGGAGUUCUUGUACUCCAAUUUUGUCUUCGGUGGCAGUGCUAGCCAUGUCCCCCCUAGCUUAUGUUUUAGGAUGCUUCACCUUCCAGUGCUUACACCAGUUAGGAGCAGCGUUUGUUGCUGCGAGAAUAAUGUAAAAAUGGUUGACGACUGCUUGCUUGCCCCGUCCAGUGUAUGGUGUAACUCCCUGAUCGAAUGAAUAGAAGCAUCAAGUUGUGUAACUGGAAUGUGCGAGGUCUGAAUGAUUCUGUCAAAUGUGGAUCUGUGCUUACUGAAAUGAUCUCGGUUUCCCCUGAUGUUGUGCUUCUCCAAGAAACCAAGCUCCCAGAUGUUCCCCUUCAUAAGCGCCUCUCCUUCCUCCCCCGGCGCCUGGACGAGAUCACCUUCAUCCCCUCCAUCGGCACUGCUGGAGGGAUUAUCACUGCGUGGAAUGGCUCUGUGCUGCACUCCUCCUCCACUCACACCACCCCUCACACCCUUUCCAUCGCCUUUACGUCUACCUCCUCCGGCCUCGCCUUCACCAUCACUAAUGUCUACGCUCCUGCCAGCCCCGAAGGCAGGCCAGACUUCCUGGACGAGCUCCGAUCCAUUCCCUCCGACCCUAACGUUCCUUGGAUGAUCAUCGGCGACUUCAACAUGAUCAGAUACCCUGAGGAUAAGAACAACAGCAACUUCCGCGCUUCUGAAGCUGCAGCCUUCAAUGAAUAUAUCAACUCUGUAUGCCUCAUUGAACUGCCUCUGCUGGACCGUAGCUACACCUGGUCUAACCAGCGAGUCGAACCAACUCUGGAACGUAUUGACAGAGCGUUCAUCAACACGACUUGGGAUGCCUCCAUGCCUAACACCACCCUCUCUUCGCUCACCCGACGCACUUCUGAUCACGUUCCCCUUGUUGUCAACAUUUCCACUCGCAUCCCCAAAUCCAACAUCUUUCGGUUUGACAACUAUUGGAUCAAUUUCCCUGGAUUCCAGGACACUGUUGCUAACGCUUGGAGCUGUCGGAUGAUGAACAGAGAUCCUUCUGCGGCCAUCGCGGCCAAACUUAAGGAGACAAGAAGAUGUCUAAAAAAAUGGAAAAGCAGCAAUGCUAACAUCUACCAGCAAGACACGGACUGCAAAAUCGUUAUUAACCUGCUUGACCUCGUCGAGGAACAUAGGGUCCUCAGUGCCCCUGAAUUGAGACUUCGUGCUGUUAUUAUCUCUGUUCUCAGCCGAUGUACCCAAGCCCGCCUGCUGACUUGGAAACAAAGAGCUAAAAUACGGGCUGCAAUCGAUGGUGAUGAAAACACUUGUUACUUCCAUGCUUGCGCCAAUCAUCGUCGCCGAAAAAAUAAUAUUCAAGUCCUUGAACACAAUAACAGCGAGCUACAUGAGCAUGAGCAGAAAGCUAUGGUUCUUCACGACUUCUAUCUAGACUUACUGGGCACAAACAUUAGCACAGCUUGGGAUUCUCUCUCUCUGACCUUUACCCGAAUGAACGCUCCCUUGGCUGCCUUGACGCCCCCUUCUCUCAUGAUGAAAUCUACAGAGCCAUUAGGAGCAUGCAUCCUGCGGCCAGCCCUGGGCCUGACGGCUUCGGUCCCCUCUUCUUUAGGCACUCCUGGCCUCUGGUUGCUGAGUCUGUCUGUGCGCUGUUGUCCGCCUUCUACAGCAAUUCUACUGACCUAGAGCGUAUCAACAGGUCCUUCCUAGUUCUCCUUCCCAAGAAAGAGGGAGCAAGACGGCCUCGGGACUUCCGCCCCAUUGCUCUUCAAAAUACUAUGGUCAAGUGCAUUUCCAAGGUCUUAACCUCCCGCCUCCAACCUCUGAUCCCCUCCCUUGUCGCCUCUGAUCAAUCUGGUUUUGUGCAAGGCCGUUGCAUUGCUGAUAAUUUUGUCUAUGCUGCGGACCUGCUGAAUUGCUGCUACCGCAGGGGCAGCCCUACCAUCGUUCUCAAGCUUGAUUUUCAUAAAGCCUUCGACUGCGUCUCCUGGGACAGCCUUAUCAGGAUCCUGCGUUCUAGGGGGUUCACAAAUACUUGGUGUGCGUGGAUCCAGAACCUUCUUGACACUGGCAAGACCGCCGUUCUGCUCAAUGGCGUGCCUGGGAAUUGGAUCAACUGUAAGCGCGGUCUCAGGCAGGGAGACCCCCUCUCCCCUUACCUUUUUAUCAUCGUUGCUGACGUUCUUAAACGCCUGCUCCACACCCACCCUGUUGCCGCUGACAUCCAGCACCCCAUCCUCCAUGGCACCCCCUGCCCCGUGCUCCAAUACGCAGACGACACUCUCAUCUUCAUCCGUUGUAGUCCUGCUGCAAUUGCUGCUACUAAACAAAUCCUCCAACUCUUUGAAAGCGCUACCGGCCUCUCCAUUAACUACCACAAAACCACCUUCCUUCCCAUCGCGGUUCCUGCUGAUGAGGCUUCACUCCUUGCAACUGCUUUUGGUGCCACCCCUUCUUCUUUCCCCCAAACCUACCUUGGGCUUCCUCUUUCCCCCCAUAAAAUCUCUGUGGCGAAUUGUCUCCCUCUAAUCUCGUCUUGCGACAAGUACCUCUCCGGCUGGCAAGCUUCCCUCCUAAACAGAGCUGGACGUCUAACGCUCUGUACCUCGGUCCUAAGCGCUCUUCCCCUCCACUACAUGUCCGCCCUUAGCGUGCCAAAAACAGUCAUCAAAAAAAUCGACAGCAGGAUGCGUGCCUUCUUCUGGACAGGAGAUGAUAAAUGUCAUGGAUCAAAAUGCCUGGUGGCUUGGGAGUCUGUCCAAGCCCCUAAGAACAGAGGCGGCCUCGGUGUCAAAAAUCUAGAACUCCAGAACAGGUGCUUGCUCAUGAAAUUCAUCGACAAGAUGCUCUCCCGGGCUGACAUGUGUUGGAAAGAUUGGAUUGAAUCUUCCGCGGCUACCUUUGACACCCCAGUUGCUAAAGAUGGCAAUGGGGACCCGAUCCCCGAUUCCCCGUGGGGAAUUCCCCUAUUAGGGGACGGGGAUGGAGCUAAACUGUUCCCCACGGGGAUGAAUUUGGUAGAAAAUCAAUCCCCGUCGGGGAUAACGGGGACGGGGAUGGUUUGCUUGUCCCCGGACCCGAUCCCCGCAGACCCGCCCCGUCAAGCAAGCACUGCCGCACCGCGCACCAACAAUCAAGCGACGAGGCCCAUGUAAAGGCCCAAGUACUGACUGAGAGUAUAUAUAUGUGCCAUCUAACCCUAAUUCCCUCUCCCCAACCCUAUCCAUUCUCUCCACCCAGUAGAAUCCGGCCGCCGCUCACCCUGCGCGGCUGUGCGGUGCCCCUGUCCUCCUCCGCCAGAUCUCUACCCAACAACACGUAGUCUCAGCCUCUCAAGCUCUCAGUGAGAACGACGCGUCCGGCCGAGGUGUCCCUGCCUCUUUGUGUCCGGCUGCUAGCAACCUGGAGGCUGGUCUGCAACCUUGUCGGUUGAUGGCCUACUGGUGUAGCUGGACUAGUGUGUUCUUGGUUUUUUAGUGUUUGCGUCGUAUGCCUGUGUGUGUACCAUAUUUGUGAACAUACGGCUGUUUUUUCUCCUUAUGUGCUGGACGCAUCAACACUUCGACAGCUAGUGCGUUGUUGUGCUGAAGAUUUUUACCGUGAAUCUAUGAUAUGACUCUGUAUACUUUCUUAUGUUUCUGUGUGGAAACUUAUUUGACUGAGCUCGGGGAUGGAUAUCCCCGCGGGGAUUAAAUCCCCGGCGGGGAACGGGGAUGGGGAGGAAAUGUUCUCCGUUGAUGUUCACGGGGACGGGGACGGAGAAAAUUUAGCCCCACGGGGACGGGGAUGGUGGCUUAUCCCCCGACGGGGAAUUCCCCGUUGCCAUCUUGACCAGUUGCUGGUGAAACUGGGUUCCUCUGGCGCAUCAUUUCUGAAAAUCUAGACACCUUCCGCUCCAUCACCUACGUCCGUCUUAACAAUGGGGCCUCUACCUCGUUCUGGCUAGAUCAUUGGCUCCCUUCUGGUCCUCUGGCAUCCACUCAUUCCGCCCUCUUCUCCCACACCCUUAGGCCUAACACUUCGGUGCAGUGUGUCUUCAAUAACGGUUUUGACUUGCGUCUUCGCCCGCGGCUAACCACUGCUGCUAGCCAACAGCUAGGCAGCUUGCUUGAAAUUUUGCAGGGAAUCACUCUGGGCAACGGCCAGGACGUUCGACUCCUCAAGCUUACAAAACGCCCAUACACCGUCAGGGACGCCUACGCCGUGCUGGACUCCUCUGGAGACUAUAGUGAUGAGUAUGGCAAACUCAUUUGGCGAACCAAGCUGCCCAACAAAGUCAAAAUCUUCGCAUGGUUGUACUUCAAGAAUCGUCUGAGUACUAAAGUCAACCUCUACUACAAGCACAUAGUCGAUGGGCCGACCUGUGAAAGAUGUCGCCUGGGAGAUGAAGAUCGAGAUCACGUUUUCUUCCACUGUCACACAAGUUCUGCAGUGUGGGAGAUCGUCCAAAUGCAGCACCUCUCCUCCAUGACCAAUGAAGAAGCCUGGACGGCACAAACGCCACCUGGCCUCGAAGUUUCCCUCUGGCCCUUCAUGUUCCUGACAAUUCUUUGGAGGAUCUAGGAUGCGCGGAACGGCCACGUUUUCCGCGACGAACAGUUCAGUGUGCGUGGUGUGCUGUGUAAUGUUCGAGAUGACAUUGUAAUCUGGCGUAAACGCCUCCCCCCUAGCCAUGUAAACAGCCUCCUGGGCUGGCACGCCUUCAUCAGCGAUUGUAUCACCAACUCUUUUGCACGCCACGGGUUACCGUCUGGCGGGGCUAAUUGAAUUUCAAAAGGUGGGGAACCUCUCCCCUCCGACUAGUUCAAAAAAAAACAAUUAAAAUUUGUCGAUCUUUACACCGCAAAACCUAUCAAUGUCAGCUUGCUACCUAUUUGACCGGGGUGCUUGGGGUUUCCCAUAGCCGUUGCCAGUCCCUCUCCUCCUCUUCCAAUAAUGAAGCUAUCGGCAGCGAGAAGGCAUCAUGAUCCUCCCUUCGUUUUUUCUAUAGAAAACUACACUCCAACUCCCCCUUUUCAAAAAAAUGCACCAACCUAGCUCAAAGCAGCCAUCAAAUUAAUUAUUUUUCUUAAUUAAGUUUCUCCUAGAUCUCUCGCAUGCCGCAUGGGUACCCUGUCCGAGUUCAGCCUAGAUGUGUCGGUUGAGGAGCUGCCGCCGGAACUCGCCCAGUUCCACGUACGUGCAAGUGGUACCGCGGUCACCACGUGCCAUUUGAUCAGGUAGUAGGCAUAGGUUUGUUGCUUGUCGGCAGUGCCCCUUCCUCGUGCCGCUGGGUUCAAUGGUGGUCUCGACAUGGGAAGAGAGUAGCAAUAUGAACGAUAAGGGGAAUAAACAACGAUGACAUGAUUAGUGGUGAUCAUCUGAGAAAUAUGACAAGAAUUACUUAUGGUUAUGAUUGUCGGCAGUACAAGCUUGGAUCUUCUCGAGAUUCAAUUGAGAUUACGCUCGCUGGUAAAUGAGAUCGGAGGGGAAGGACUACCGAAUGAGGAUGGAGGUGCUGCAUGCCUGCUUGGUCUGCCAGUUGCGGUUUCUUGGUUCAUCAGCCCGCCGGCUACAGCUGCAAUAUGUCAGCGACGUCGUCUCGUUUAACAAACGGGGAGCUUUGAACAAAGGGAAUAUAGAGAGAGCUUGGGUCAUGCUAAAAUCAGGCUAGGUUGGACGUGCCUGACCCAUGCGGCAUCUAAGAGGAAAAUAAUUAAGAAAAAGAUAAUUAAUUUGAUGGGUUGCUUUGAGAUAUGUGUAUUUUUUUUUAAAAAAAAAGAGAGAAGCAUUGGAGUAGUUCUAUUUUCUAUAUAGCUACUAGAUCUAGAAUUGCUUUGUGGUUGGCCUGUUUGGUUUUUAUACAAAUGUGCCAUGUACUAGCCAAGCCUAUUUUUGGGAUGACCAAGUUUCAGUUGUUAAAUUAUUGAUCAAGGUUUUGGUUAACUUUAAAUACUAAAAUGAUCAAAGAUGGUAAAAUGUAAUUAAGGGUUAUAAAGUCAAAAAAUUGCGGAGACCAAUUUUGACCAAAGUAAUAAAAUUUGGCUAGGUUCUUGUUUAAUUUCAAAAAAAAUUUAAGAUUUUACGUUACAUCAAAUCUUACGGCACAUGCAUGGAGUAUUAAAUAUCGAAUCUUACGUCAUCCAAGUUUUUAUUGAGUUUUGGGAUAUCUAAAAAAAUAUGAGUAGAUUACAAUGUUCUAAAAUCUCCCACGUUUAAAUGUAUCCAAAUUCUUAUAGUAAUCCAAAGAAUUUAAAUGGCCUCUUGCCAAAUGCCAACCGCUGGACCAAUAAAUCAGAGACGCCCUGCCGCGUUAAACUGAUGAAGCACUCUCGGGACGAGAAGAGCGCGACAAAUCACAGGUGGUACCCUACAGCUCAGACGUACCUUCGUACGCUAGCCCAACUUGGCCAGUCUGACAGGCCACGCAUACGCCGCGACGCGCGGACACGACACGGGAGGGUACGCGUCGGUGAUCUCCGGGCCCAAAGACGCCCGAUGUAUCGGCAGUCGACAGCACUACAGGGACGACGACGUUCUGGCAUAUAUUGGCCGCGUAAACGACGGGCUGCUGUGUGCUCCGCGACAACCGAUCUGUGUGGGCUGUGGCGGCCAUCAGAUCGUGGGCUAGUCACGUGUACUGGUACAAUUCGCAUUUUCGAAAGCUGAUUCCACAUGCGUUUUAGAGCUUGUUUGGGACUAUGAACCCACCACACAGUUGUACUAGCGAGCGUAAAAAAGUGCCUUGUGGCUUGUCAAUCUGUAAAUGUUGGAUUAUAAGAGACAAAGGACAGACGUCAUGUUUUAGGCCAUGCCUAGCGCGGUGACUUCGUUGUUUGGUGCAUGCCUUGGUGGCUUUGUCAUCCAACUAUAGGCUCUCGGAUGCAACGUAUGCAAAAAAAAAAACAAAACAAAAAAAACACCCUUAAUAGCCAAAAGCUUUCAAAAAUUGUUGAACCGUAAAACUAAAAUAAAAGGUAGACUGUUCACAUGCUAGAUUGACAAAACAAGGCUUUAGUUUCUUCGUAGCGGUUAGUAGAGUGUUUCUGCGGAAGUUAAUGUCACUCAAAAGGUUUGAGGCCUUUUUGAAGAGGCUUUACGUUGCUAUGACUUCUGCACGUACUAUAGUAUGUUGUUGUGGUAAGUCUAGAAUAAAUGUUGAUUAAGCAAGAGGAUUAUAAUGCUUAAUGAAGGAGGAACCUGUCAAACCUUGCUUAAAAACAAGUAUCUAAGCUCGAAAUCUCUCCCACAAGUCCCAAGACUCCCAUUUUCAGAAGGAUCCGAUGAAAAUAAAAGAUCAAGUUUUGGCUUGUGGUUCCUCCAAAAUUAACAGUGGAUCACAAACAAGAUCUUAGGAAGAUACAUGGAUACCCAACCUUCAAAGUUAAACAUUCUUUUCUAUUGUCAUCAUGCCAAGAGAAUCUAGAGGAUUGUCUAUAUAGCCAUUGGGUUAACCCCAUCCUAACUCUAUAGCCCACAUGCUAGGGAGUUGGCUAUCACAUUUUGAUUUAAAAGACAAGAAAUAUAUUCUUGAGGUAAGCGCUUUAUGUUGGGCAAUUUGGAGAUGUCGUAAUAAUCUAAUCUUUGAAAAAUGCAAAUGUACAUCUUUUAUGUAGACUACUUUCAUGUAAACAUAAUGACUGUAGUUCUGGGCAUUGCUACAAUGUGAUGAUGAAACAAAUGAGUUUUGUAUUUCUUGUUUCCCUGACUUAUCUUAAGCAGUAUUACUGAAGCUAUGUAAUAAUGAUAAAAAGUCUCUUUUAUUUUCUAAAAAAAAUAAAGACUCUCCAAACUGGCUUCACCAACUUAUCUUCCUUAGUUUCUUGGUAGUCAUUUUGGACACGAGAGAAAAAGAAUACUCCAUUCAUACUAAAAAUAAAGUUGUUUUCGGCAAAAAUAUGGUCUCCAAAGUAUGACUUUAACUUCUUGUUUUUAUAAAAAUGUAUUGAAAAGUGAUAUAUGUAUAAUUUUAUAAAAAUAUUUUCUAAGAUAAAUGUAUUCAUAUGUUUUCACAUUUUCAAAAUUAACAACUUAUUUAUUUAUAAUUUAUAUUGUCAAUAUUUGACUUAAGCUUUUUUUCUAAAACGACUUUAUUUUUUUAGGACGAAGUGAGUAUUUGGUACAACCAGUGCGGGUUGCAGUCCCGGAAAUAUACAUGCGCCUCCGUUGGCUGGGCGGGCUUGAGAGGCGUCGAUUUUCUGCGGCUGGUUGCAGAGAAACUUCACAGAGGCUUCACACGGCACGGCACGGCAUGGCUCGGUGCGUCCCUUUCAGUUAAAAGUGCUCGAGAAUAUAGUUGGCAAAAUCGAUCAAAUGGUACGUGACGAACACGUCGACUUCGGCGAUGAGUACACGAUAUUGGAUUCUCAUCUCGGAGUCGUGCAAUCCACUGAGCAUGGCUAGCUAGCCGCCUUCGACAGAUGAGAUGUACAUGUAAUGUACCGAGUGCGAAGCUAUGUACGCACAGCCUGUCCCCGUCCUGUUCUCUGCACACGGCAGUGUGCGAUGGAUCAUGCAUGGCGUCGGGCUAUUGGCCGGCGAUGGAAAGCCCACAACCACAAUGCAUGCACGCCGCUUUUUGAACAGUGCACUGUGGCAAUGUACACAUAUAUGGGAGGUAUGCAAUGCACGUUUGUGUUCCAAUUAUUGGCACCCCUGCCUGGCUCGACAAACGUAGGCGCAUGCGUGGCCAAGUUAAAUUUCCGCCUGUCGCUCUCUCUUGCACGUACUCCGUACUGGAGUAGAGCUAGAGCGCAGCAGCAUUUUUACUAGUAAUAUGGUACUACAAAAGUGGCCGAGAUCUAGUCAGAUGAUUCCUCUGCGAUUUGUCCCUUGCGCCUUGUGUUGCAAAUGGACUGCUACGUGCUACCUAGCCUUUCUUCUUUCUCCUCGCCUUUUUGGCGCUUUCUCUCGUUGAGGCGGCUGCCUGCCUGCCUGCCUCUACCCGUCCAAAAAGCGUCCACCACCACCACCGUCUUUCUCCAUCCAGCUCGCCGCGGCCGGCAUCACCUCACCUCACCGGCGCACCGGCAGCACCGCAGCGGCAGGUCAAGUCGUUUGGCUGGCCCUGACCCCUGACCCUGACCCUCCAGAAAAACACGCGAAAUCGCAGUGGAAAACAUCCGAAACGACACAGCGCGCAGCUCUUGCAAACUUUUGCCGCCCGGGCCAACCCGCUGCCGCCACGCACACCAAACGUCCAUUUCUCCCUCGCCGACACGUCUCGCACGCACACGGCCAAACCACUCCACUCCGACGACAUCCGAGUCGGCAACCUCCGACCCGGCGCGGGCAUAAUAAAAAGCACCCCCAGCUCACUCUCCUGGCAGCCAAGCGCACACAGGCACACUCUGCUCCAAGAAGCUACUAGCAACCAUAGCCAUGGAGAUGGUCCUGGACUGGCGCUCGCUGGGCUCCCUGCUAGCGACCGUCGUGGUGUUCCGCACGGCGCUGCGCGACUUCCUGCCGCCGGAGGCCGAGGCGCUGCUGCGUCGCUUCAUCGCGUGGGUCGCCGCCGCGUUCCGCCCGCCCCGCGACACCAUCCUCAUCGACGAGGCGGACGGGCCAACGGGGGGCGCCAACGACCUCUACGACUCGGCGCAGCUCUACCUGGGCGCGCGCUGCCUCGCCACCGCGCCGACGGUCCGCCUCCACAAGCCGCGCCAGUCGCCGCGCCCCGUCGCGUCGCUCCCGGACUCGCACACCACCCACGACACCUUCCGCGGGGUCCAAGUCAAGUGGACCUCCACCGCGCGCGCCGUCGACCGCGGCUCCGGCGGCGGAGGCGGGGGUGGGUACGGUAACCCGUACAACAUGUUCGGCCGCGGCGGCCAUGGCGGCGACCAGCGCGGCCUCGAGCUCCAGUUCCCGCGCCAGCACCGGGACCUCAUCCACCACCACUACAUCCCGCACCUCAUCGACGAGGCCACCCGGAUGCGGCUCAAGUCGCGGGAGCGACGGCUCUACACCAACCGCGCCACCGGGCCCGGCGACGACCACCACCGCCUCUGGACGUCGCACGCCUUCUCGCACCCGUCCACGUUCGACACGCUCGCGCUCGACCCGACGCUCCGCGAGGAGAUCCGCGCCGACCUGCUGCGCUUCGCCGCGCGACGGGACCACUACGCGCGCGUCGGCCGAGCAUGGAAGCGCGGGUACCUGCUCCACGGCCCGCCGGGCACGGGCAAGACCAGCCUCGUCGCCGCCAUCGCCAACCUGCUCGAGUUCGACGUCUAUGACCUGGAGCUCACCACGGUGCCCACCAACUCACACCUCCGCCGCCUGCUCGUCUCCACCACGCCCAAGUCCGUCGUCGUCGUCGAGGACAUCGACUGCUCCCUCGACCUCUCCGACCGCAACAAGAAGAAAAAGAAGGGCGGUCUUGGCGCCGGGGGCAACGGCGGUGCCGACAACGACGAAGACGCCGCGGCGCAGCUCGCCGUCAUGUCGAUGUCGCCGGCCGCCGCCGCGGCCAUGGCCGUAAUGGGGCGGGAAUCCAUAAGCCUCUCCGGGGUGCUCAACUUCGUGGACGGCCUCUGGUCGUCCUGCGUCGGCGAGCGCCUGAUGGUGUUCACGACCAACCACCCGGAGCGCCUGGACCGGGCGCUGCUCCGCCCGGGCCGCAUGGACAAAAAGAUUGAGCUCGGCUACUGCACGCCACCCGCGCUGCGCGUGCUCGCCAAGAACUACCUCGGCGUCGGCGACGAGGGCUGCGAGGACGCCGAUGAGGACCCCGACACCGUGAACACCCUCAUGGCCGAGGCCGAGGGCCUGCUCGCCCCCGACGAGGUACAAAUCACGCCCGCCGACAUCGCCGAGGUGUUCAUGGGCUGUGACGGCGCUGGUGCCGCCGCCGGGCUGAGGAAGCUUGUGGGCGAGCUGCACCGGAGGCGGGAUGCUGCCGCGGCCACGGCCGUAGUAGCACCGGGUGAGGAGACGCCGGAGUGAAAGCCAGCCAGGGAUCCUACGUGGCGCGCAACCAUGCAUGGCUGCCUAGUCAGCUUCCAUUACUUUGACGCCUUGACGGUGGUUUGUUUAUGAGUCGUGACGGUGCCCCUCUAUUGUAGUACGCAUGGAGUUUGCCUUUUUUUUUUUCGUUUCUGUAUUGUAACUUUGUAAGUACGUAUGGAGCCCGGAGUUAUUAUUAUUAGGAAAUAAUGGACGUUGAUUACCCAGGCACAAACAAUACAUUUUACAUGACAGAGCUCGCAUAAUGCAUGCACAUGAUGCACUGCACCGAUGGUUUCAUUUUCAGCACAUAGGUGUAAAGUGCCGAAAGGCAGCGCCGGCUCGACCGUGACAUAAGUGUGUGUUUAAUUAGUUACUUUCCUUAUGCGUUGUGGCCAAGAAUGCCUAGCCAAAAUUUGUCAAAAUUGGUCUCCGCAAUUUUUUUGACCUUAUAGCCCUUACAAUUUACUAUCUUAGAUCAUUUUAUUAACUAAAGUUAACCAUAACCUUGAUGACUAAUUUAACAACUGAAACUUGGUUAUCUCAAAAAUAGGCUUGGCUAGUACAUGCCACAUCUGUGUAAAAACCAAAGGGGCCAACCACAAAGUGAGUCUAGAUCUAGUUGUUAUAUAGAAAAAAAAAAAGUAAAGGGUCGAUGCCCACGCCUCCUCACCGCUGACAGCGUCCUUGAAGAAAGAGAAGGAAAGGGAUUGGCAACGACAAUGGAAAACCCCAAGCACCCAACUUAUACUUUUCAAACAGCCAACAAUAUCUUUCUUUCAUAAUAAAUCAACGAACGGAAUUUUCAGCCAUAGUUUUUCAAGUUAGACGAGGAUGCCAACCCAUACGAAUAUAAGAUAACUAUGGCCUUGUUUAGUCACACCGAAUCCAAAAAGUUUUCAAGAUUCUCCGUCACAUCGAAUUUUGCGGCACAUGCAUGAAACAUUAAGGCCUUGUUUAGUUCCGAAAAGUGAAAAGUUUUCGGUACUGUAGCACUUUCGUUUGUUUGUGACAAAUAUUAUCUAAUUAUAGACUAACUAGGAUCAAAAGAUUCGUCUCGUAAUUUACAGCUAAACUGUGUAAUUAGUUUUUGUUUUCGUUUAUAUAAUGUGGGAGAGCGAAGUAUUGUGAAAUGUACGAGUCUAGGCUCUUGCUAGUAUUUUGUCUUUUUCACGGCUAAUUCAAAAUUGACUCAGCCAACUCUAAGCUAGACUAUUUGUAUAUGCCUAGAAAUUGUGAACAUAAAAACAUAUUCCCUCCGUCCACGAAAGAAUCAAUUCCUAGUAUCCGUAUCAGUCGAAUUUUUUUAAAGUUUGACUAAUUUUAUAGAAAAGAGUAACAACAUCUAUGAUAUAAAAUGCGCAUCAUAUGAAAAUAUAUUUUAUAAUAAAUCUAAUUAUACUAAUUUGAUACCAUAAAUCUUAACACUUUUUAAAAAAAAUUAAUCAAAACUUAAAAAAUUGACUUAGAACAACUUUAAAAAUUGAUUUCAUGGACGGAGGGAUUCCUCAUUCUGUAAAUAUCAUAAAUGUGUCCCCACGUUAUAAAAAUACCGCUUCAAAUUCCUCUGCACAUCCAAAAACAUCGCUGCUAAGCAUCUCCAAGAGACUUCCUAAAUGCUAAAUGCUAGGAAUACAGAUUUUAAUGAAAAAUUACUCUCCAACAGUUUCUCUAAAUGGUCGUCCAAAUAUAGAUAGUUCGCUAGCCAAAUAUAGAAGACAAGAAUGACUCUCUAGAGUGCGUAUGAAAUUUAGCAAAACUGUUGGAGAGUGAAAAGAUAUAGAAAACAAUUUUUAUGCAAAUGACUCUUUAAAUAAUAAUUUAGAGAAUGAAAUUUAGAAAAAGUCUUCGAGAUGCUCGGGCCAUCCAUGAGACUAAGGUGUCAUAUCAUACCGGCGUCUUCCCUGAGUGGCUGACUGUGACUUAAUGUCGCUGAAACCAAACCAGUGGUUUAGAUCAUCUCCAAGAGUUUGUCAAAAUUCACUUGCUAAAUCUUAUGAUUUGACAAGUUGCUAAAACAUAUAGCAAAUGAAAUUUUAUAGUCUCUCCAAUAGUUUGCCAUAUAAGCUUGUUAAAACUUAAAAAGUAGGCCUACUUCUAAACCUCCGUCAACUAAUUUUGUUCGACGCUUCACUGGCCGCCCGCGACACUCCUCGCCUUGCCGCGCGCCGCCACACAUCGCCGCUUCCUGCAGCCACCCAAAUCUCAUCCUCCGCUGGCCCCCAACAUCGAUAUCUGAUCCAGCCGCAAUCCUGUUCAUCGAGUCAGCGAGUCCAAGGCAAGCCAGCAAGCCAGCGGAAUCAUUCAAGGCAUAUGAACCAUGAUCGCUAAAUCAAAUCAAGGCAUAUGACCCUACGGGAACCAAAUCAAAGAAUGGAGUUGGACUGAGAUCAGAUCAAGGAUAAUGUACCUCAGGAUCGGGAGGAGGGCGACCACCGUGACUGUGUCUGUUCGAGUCCAGGAGGCACUUCGCGAUGGGAUCUGGAUCCAAUCCUCACGAGGAAGACGCCGGCGCAGCUGGUUCUUCGAGUCGCGACAGGAUAUAUGAAGCAGUACGAGGCCUGGUGGCGCAGCAAAUGCAGGGUGAAAGUUCCAUCUGCGCGCGUGAGAGGAGGCGGGGCCGGCGAUUCACGGGAUGGCAAGUCCCCUGCCACUCGUAAAUAUGCACGUGAACGACCGGUGGAUGGCAAGUUGGAAAAAUUUGCCAAGCCAUAUGCCAAACUGUUGGAGUUUGAUUUUUCUAGUUUUGCCAAAAAACCAAGGAUAGCGAGUGGUUUUGGCAAACUCUUGGAGAUGCUCUUACCCAACCUAAUUUUGUUUGGUGUCAAGUCAGGUUAGGUCACUCCACAUCCUGAUACGAGACGUCUUUCUCGGACUAGUAUAAUGCCCGUGCUAACGUCACGGUUUUUUCUAGGGAAUGCUAUAGUAAUUUUUUUAGAGUUUUAAUUUUGGGUAAUUGUUUUUAAGUCUAUAGACAUUUUAUGAAUCAUCAGUACAUAAAGACAUCUUUACAUUUUCUCUAACUUUUUAAUCAAAUAUUGGAUAUCUUCAGGGAUUUUGUUGUAGCACUCGUUUGCACGACUCGCCAAAAUUUCAGCCAAGAACUCCGUCCUUAGUGAUAUAUAUAUAUAUAUAUAUAUAUAUAUAUAUAUAUAUAUAUAUAUAUAUAUAUACAAUGACAUAUAGAUGAGAAGUAAUUACGAAUCCUUUUUGCAUUCUUCGGGCAAUCAUAUGGUUAGUUUCCCAAGACGACAUUUCAAUACCGUGCUCCCAUUUGCUUGUGUCGAGGUUUUUGUUCUCUACUACAUGUUUAAUUAUUCUUUCCAUUCCUAUUAACUGUUAAAGCCGAGAGACCAAGUUAAUUUUGAAUUAUUUAGUUCAAUAAGUUAAAAAAGUAUGUGUACAUCAUAUAGAUAUUAUGUUGUACCGUGUUUCGAAGAUAUACACAUUCUAUCAUUUGCAUUCCAAUAGAGUCCAUCAUCUGCAUUCCAAAAGAGUCCAAUACUUGUAUCUCUCGUUUUAAAGCAUUCACGACUGCGAGGUACCAGUGACAGAGUGGAAUAUUGAUGGGUAGAAACACUUACAGACAUAAAAAUUUAUGCUCAUUAUAUAUUCUUAUUUGGACGGUAUAAAAUUUAUCAUAUGGCAAAUGUUAUGUCUAAGCUUAACAUAUCAGCUUUAAAAUAAUCCUUUACCUUUGAUUCAGACGCGGUUUGUUUUGAAUCCCUAAAUCUUUAGGAUCUUGCUCUCCAUGAGCUUUUAGGAUCUUGCGUCGGCGUCACAGGCAAAUUUUUUUCGCGCUUGAGGAAGAGAUACGUAGAUCAACUGGAAUUCGCUGAUCACCGUCAACAUGCUAUCCAGGCAAAAAAAAUUUCGCGCUUGAGGAAGGGAUACGUAGAUCGACUGGAAUUCGCUGAUCACCGUCUCCCAGCUGUCCGCUGAUCAGACCGUCCGUCCGUCGACGACGCCGGCGUCACAGACAAAAAAAAAUUUGCGCUUGAAGAACACGCAUCUGAGGGCGCUCUCCGGUGCGGCGGAGAGGCUGGCGCUGUGCAAGGCCGACCUGCUCGACUACGACACGCUGCGGUCGGCUGUCGCCAACUGCCACGGCGUCUUCCACACCGCGUCGCCCGUCACCGAUGAUCCGGUACGUAUACGUGUAACCUAUAGUACUUGAAUACGGAUAUACUAAGAUCGAUCUAUGAUCACGGUACAUGUCACGUACUGUAACCAGGCUGGUCUUUGGAGGAAAAACGUUUUCUCCUGUAUGUACUCCAGUAGAGACCAUAUACAGCACCUACUGGCUACUACAACUAUUUAUUAUUUAUUAUUAAAAAAAGGAUCAACCAAAAUCACAGUAAAAAGAUUUAUUACUCUAGUAGUAGAAUAUUUUUACGACAGAAACUUCUCUUGCAUGCAUGCAUGCGUGCAAAAUUCACCCUCUGGAGCCAGAUGCGUGUUUUGACCUGGUUAUGGUGGAGAUUAGUGGGUCGAAUUAGUGGGCUGCGGUGGAGAUGAGUUUGUUGGAACGUGAGUUUGUCUGGUCUAACGGCCCAAGAAGUUUUCAAUUAUAGUGGAGAUUAUAUUAUAUGUUCGUAAUUGGUGCAACUUUCCAAUAAUAGUUAAAAGUUUUUCACCAGAUUUACUCUCUACCAUAUAUGUCAAAGCUUCUACUCAUGGCGUUUUCCAUCUAGCACUUUGAUAGGUGACAACCUGAAAGCGACUACGAACGCGAACCACACAUGCGCACAUGGCGUCACACGUCGCUCGCGGCACAUUUCUGAACAACUCUCUUGCUGCUGAGAUCGUCGACGAGCUUCUGCAGCGCGGCGAGGUCACCGUCGCCGUCGCAGCCCAUGAACACCUCCGCGACGUCGGCCGGCGUCAAUUGCACCUCCUCCAGCAACCUCUCUGCCUCUCCGACCAGCUCCUCGUACCUGUGGCCACCAUUAGUAGUCAGCUCGAAAUCGCCGUCUCCGAGGUAGUUCUUGGCGAGCACGCGCAGCGCGGGGCCCUUGCAGUAGCCGAGCUCAAUCUUCCGGUCCAUCCGGCCGGGCCGCAGCAGCGCCGGGUCGAGGCGGUCGACGUGGUUGGUGGUGAACACGAUGAGGCGCUCCCCGACGCACGACGACCAGGCUGAUCUUCUCCCCGUACAUCCCGGCGGGGCCUCCUCCCAUCGGCGGGAAUCGCGACAUGGUGAGAUGGCGCGGCGGCGCAUUGUCUCUCCGCUCUGCAUCGUCAGUCGACGUCGUCCGGUCGAGGAAGCCGAGGGAGCAGUCGAUGUCCUCGACGACGAUCACUGACUUGGGGCGGGUGCAGGCGAGCAGCCUCCGGAGGUCGGUGUUGGAUUGCACCGUGGUGAGCUCCAGGUCGUAGAUGUCGAACUCGAGGAGGUUGGCGAUGGCCGCGAUGAGGCUGGUCUUGCCGGUGCCCGGCGGGCCGUGGAGCAGGUACCCGCGCUUCCACGCGCGGCCGGCGCGCGUGUAGUGCUCCCGGCGCCGCACGAAGCGGAGCAGGUCCGCGCGGAUGCCGUCGCGGAGCGCCGGGUCCAUGGCGAGCGUGUCGAACGUGGAUGGGUGCGCGAACGGGUGCGACGACCACAGCAUCUCGUGGGCGUCCGGCCCGCCGCAGCCGCCGCCGUCGCUGUUGUUGGUGUAGAGCUUCCGCUCCCGCAUCUUGAGCCGCAGUCGUGCGGCCACGUCGAGGACGUGCGGGAUGUACGCGUCGUAGCUCGCAAAGCUCAAGCCUUCCUCUCUGGCAGUGCAGUGGUUUGACUGUAUGUCUGUAUCCAUGGCGGACUUGGUGUGUGACGCGACUUCGAUCUCCCUCGCAGUCGCUCGCAUAUGGUUUGAAGCAUCCGUGCCAUUUGGCGCGAAUGUAUAGCUGUUCGGAACCGACUUUGCGCUUGGUCAGUCGUUAGACUGCCGAUCAAAACUGAUGUGCCGAGUGAGUUGACUUGACGAACAACGCAUCAUUUUCUUGGUACUCGUACCUAUUAAAGGAAAGGAAAAAAUACUAUGCGUGGCACAGCCUGUGGCUGGCCGACACGUGGCUCAGAAACGUGGACUCGGCUCUCGCUCGACCAUGCGGCAUUGCCCGGUGGAACCUUCUGGGGACCUGCAAACAGGGGUAAGUCGUGUCGUACGGGAGGCGGUGUGCGACGGUGUACCCAGGCCUUGACUGCUUCACUCAAAAUCCAAAAAUUUUCAAAGAUUUUUCGUCACACCGAAUCUUUAACGUAUACAUAAAUUAUUAAAUCUAAACAAAAAUAAAAACUAAUUGAACAGUUUGGUCGAAAUUUAUAAAACGAAUCUUUUGAGUCUAAUUAAUUCAUAAUUAGACUAUAUUUACAAACGAAAAUCCUAUAGUAUUGCGAAAUUUUUCCAAAAAAAAACUAAACACAGCCCAAUCGCCAAGGAAUUAAGCAGACACCAGAACCACUAGUAGCCUUGAACCGUGACGGCCAAGGUACUGAUGCGCCGCCAAGAUUUCUUUUAUUUUCCCCCCACGAGACGCCAGAACCACGAGUAGUACAAACAAGUGAACCACGAGACGCCAGAACCACGAGUAUAGUUCACGCCAAAAAUAAAACAUUUUUCAAGAUUCUCCAUCACAUCAAAUCUUGCGUUACAUGUAUGGAGUAUUAAAUAUAGAUAAAAACAAAAACUAAUUACACAGUUUGCCUGUAAAUCAUGAGAUGAAUCUUUUAAGCUUAGUUAUUUCAUAAUUGGACAAUGUUUAUCAAAUAAAAACGAAAAUGUUACGGUAUCAAAAUCUCGAAACUUUUUUGAUCUAAAUAAGGCCUUAGCGUCACGAUCUGUUCGGCCAAAAAAAAGUAUGAUUGGAUAUAGUAUGCUUCAUGUGAAUUAAAUAAUCGUGAUUGUUAAUUGAAAUGACAGUUCAACAAAUAAAGUGUAUUUCAAGUACUACCUCUCUCCACAAAACCUUGCAAUUUUCUAGAUGUAUUUUUUUUUGUGAAACCGUCUUAUAUAUGUAUAAGUAUUCAUGUUUAUGAUGCAACUUUUAAGUUUGGCACAAGAAUCAGUUUUGUUUCUCAUGUGAAUCAACUGAAUCGGUGCCAAACGGUUUGACGGACCCGGGUUCCAAUCCGAAUGAUUCACUUUUCAUGCGUUAAGACUUAAACUGCUAGACGGUGGUUUCUUCCUCUCCUCUACAUCAACGAAUGUUUUUUUAAUACAAUAAAUUAAAAUGGGUAGUGUAUAAGAUGUUCUUUGCCUAUAAAAAAAGCUUUAGAUUUUCUGAAGCAUAUUUUCAUUUAUAUAAUUUUUUGUUAAAAACAUAUUUUUUAAUUAGAAUCUAGUUUAUUAGCUAAACGAUUUCAUAAAGAGGUUCUAAUUCAUCAUCUAAAAUGUUUCUUAAGAGAAUGUGGAUCUAAAACUUGUCUAGGGGAAUCUUGAUCACUACCCCUCAAUGAUUCUGCCACUGCCGAGCCACCGCCCAGCCACCCCGGGCGGCCGGCCGGGCUUCUCGUCAAAAUACAAAAAAAUCUUCUUUAUAUUUAUAUAAAAUUCUAUGAUUUUAUAGUUAAAUAUUUUUACUUAAUAUAAAAUUCUGUAAUUUUAUAGUUAAAUAUUUUUGUUUAAUGAGAAUUGCUCGGGCUCUUGAAAUCUUCUGGCUUUGCCACUAGAUUCUGCAUGACCUUCAAGGUGGUUAAAAAUCUAGGAAUGACUACUCCAUCCGUCUCUAUUUAAAAGUCACCAUGAGAUUUGUAUCGGUCAAACUUUCUCAAGUUUGGCUAAGCUUGUAGAAAAAAAUAUUAAUAACAUUUGCAUCUCUAAACAAAAUUUUUUAUGAAAGUAGAUUUAACAAUCUAUCUAAUGAUAUGUAUUAUAAAUAUUAAUAUUUAUUUUAUGUAUUUAAUCAAAAUUUAAAUAUUUUUGACUUUUCGGGAUGUGAGAACAACUAUUAAAAAAAUAUAAAUGGAGUAUACAACAUCAGCGAACGAUCAUUUAGUACAACUGUUACAUCGUUUAAGUAGCAUAGCAAACUCGCGUGUUUGGUUCACGUCAUGAUGAAACGACGAAGGAUGGUGAACCUAUAUCCGAGCCUAGGCGUUGUUUAGAUUGGAAAUAAAAAAAAUUUUGGAUGUCACAUCGAUAUGUCGGAAGAAUGUGGGGAGAGAUUUUUAGAAACUAAUAAAAAAAUAAAUUACAUAGUUCGUCCGGAAACUGUAAGAUAAAUCUAUUAAGCAUAAUUAAUUUGUUAUUAGCACAUGUGGGUUACUGUAUCACUUAAGGCUAAGAGCAUCUCCAACAUUUGGCCAUUUGUGUUAUGCAUUCUAGGAAUUUGCCAAAAACCAUAAAAAUUGCUCUCCAAUAGUUGGCCAUUUGACUUAUGCAUUUUGCCAAACUUGGCAUUUGAUGGACCAAACUAGGCAUUUUUGCAUAGGCUCUUUGGUUUGGCAAAUUUAGAAUCCCGGGAAUCCAGGACUUCUUGUCCACGCUCGGUCGCAUCCUUCCCCCUCCCGGCCGCGACUCUUUUUUUUCCCGCCCGCGCGCGACUAUUUCCUUUUCUUCGCGUCCUUUUCAUCGCGACGGGGCGAUGCGCUUUGGGGCGAGACGACGGGGCAAUGCACUUUGCUACACGACGGGGCGAUGCGCGUUGGGCGAGACGGCGGGGCGAUGCACUUUGCUAGACCACGGGGCGAUGCGCCUUCGGCCGAGACGAAGGUACGACGAGACGACGGGGCGAUGCGCCUUCGGCCGAGACGCGGUACGACGAGACGACGGGGCGAGACGACAGGGCGAGACGACGAAGCGCCGCCGCGAUGUACACCGGCGAUCGAUGGCAAUCUCCGAUGAAAUCCUCGAUGGAAUUGGCGGUAGAAUUUCCCGCGCGCGCGAAGGAUAGGAAUCGCGGCAAGAGCGCGAAAAAAAGGAAUAUCCCGGUGGGUCCACAAUUUAGGAGAAUGGCAACUCAAAAAAUGGCCAACUGUUGGAGAUCUCCUCUUUUUUCCUUUGGCAAAUGGUUCUUAGACUUGGCAUUUUCCAACAAAUGGCAAAGUACAAAUGGCCAACUGUUGGAGAUGCUCUAAUCAUGGACUAACUAUGCUUAAAAGAUUUGUCUCUCAAUUUUCAACCAAACUAUGUAAUUAGUUUAUUUUUAUCUAUAUUUAAUAUUUCAUGCAUGUGUCAAAGAUUCGAUGGAACUAAACAGGGCCUAACCGUGCCAUUUGUUUGGACGCAUCGGUUCAACUCAUCCGUCACGAGGUCGUUCCACAAGCAGGCAAAAGUCACAGACCACCUCAUUCUCGUCGAAACCAUCAGACGCGCGCAUUCUCGGAAGACUCCCCUCUACUAACCAAAUACAAUCAAAGCAUGACUUGAACCUACAAGGAAUUUUGAUAUGCUAGAUCAAUUCAUUACAGAUGAAAUACUCCAUGAACCAAACACGCUGUAAGUUUCCCGUCACAUCAAAUUUUUAGACGUAUGCAUAGAGUAUUAAAUAUAGACAAAAAUAAAAACUAAUUGUACAGUUUGGUCAGAAUUGACGAGACAAAUCUUUUGAGCCUAGUUAGUCCAUAAUUGGACAAUAUUUGUCCAAUACAAAUGAAAGUGCUGCAAUGUCGAUUUUCAAAAAAAUUUGGAACUAAACAAAGCCCCAAUAUUUUGUCACCGUGGUCUAGAAUUCGUGUAGGGACUACGGAGAAGGGAAGGUCCGGAUUUGAGUGACCAAGGUACCAGCUUGUAACGCUAGUUUUAGAGUGGUGGGAUAUUUAUAUCCCUUUGCCCUCUCUUUUGUGAGUUGUUGAUUCGUAGUGAUAUAGAAAUAUUCUAAAGUUAGCAGUUGGGUUUCUUUCCUUCUCAAAUUGGUAAUUGGGUUUCCUUACUUCUCAAAUUGGUAUUCCGAGUGGCGAAAAUAUGUUUCAAUGACCUUUGCCAAGAAUGAAUUGAGAAAUAAGAUGGAUCAUAGCCUUUUGUAUGAUUGUCUAGCCACUUCCGUUGAGAGAGAUUGCUCCUGAAAAGGAAAUGUCGAUUGACGAUUCACAUACAUCCUGAUUUGAACUGCAAGUUAAUAUGUAGGGAAUAAACAAGCAGCGAUCCAGGGACUUUCCCCGCGCCGAUAGAUGCUGGGGUAACUAUGCAUUGGCUGGACGCCCAACACAAAUAUUUUAGGUGACUCUCAAAGCAUAAGUUAAUUAAAUUAAUGAUUUCCUCCCCCAAGAAUAACUCAGAUUUGCGAAGUAUGCAUAUAAGACAAACAUGGAGCUAAUCACCCUAUGAAUUAAUGUUACUACUACAGCAUAAAGUAAAGAAAAGAAAUUAAAAAAUGCUGUACUGCAGUGGAGUUCAAGCCCCAAGAGUCUUCUGCUUCUUGGCAGUAUUGAUGUAGGGCCGCAGCACAAACUCGCUUUGCGCUUCAUUUUGUUCCACGGUUCCUAGUUUGAUCUGGUGGAGAAAAGCAACAUGUUAAUACUGACCAAAAAUUACUUUGCAAUGAGAGCCUCUAAUAGUGUGUUGAUGGAAGAAUUAUGUCACCUGGUACAGCCGCAACUCAAACCGGGGGCCAACCUCCUUCAGGUCGAUCGAUUUGGGGCCACCUGGUUUUUCAUAGACAUGAUGCCUUAUGACAAAAUUAAAGGAGCUGUAAGUCUUCCCAUGAAGUGUAAAAAGCAUAUCGGCAACAAGCGCUCUACAUCAUAGUCUAGUCACCAAAGAAACUAUAUUGCAUAAAUAGUGAAAUGCGUACCUGAAAGAGAUAUAGUCAUCUCUGUUAGCAAAAGUAAUUAUUCGCUUUGAAUCUGGCUUUGGCACAGGAAAGAGGUGCUUGAGAAUAGUUGCAGUCCUUUCACCAAUCUGCAAAGGAUGUCAGGUUAUUAAACUGUUGUGGUCAUGCAGGACACAGCGUUCAAUGCUGUCUACAAUUCAGAAAACAGGAAUAUAGCUAAUCUACAAGUAGAAAGACAAGCUAUAUCACUAGUAAAACUCCAAAGAGAGUUUAAGUUGCUACAAUCCAAUCCAUUCUAGAAACUAACCAGGUCACAGAAUGGCUCCACUCUCAUCAGCCAAACAAAGUGUCUCAUGCUAAAUCUAACCUUCAGAAGCUAUAGUGGACUGAGACUUGUCUUCACAGUAGCAUGUACAUAUCAGGUUAACAAUAGUUUUUUAUUAAGGAAAAAAAAGAUAAGAAAAGCAAAGCAUAUCAAACCAGUGAAAGUGGAGGUUUUCAGUCUAAGUUAUGAAUGGAUUUAGGUGUCUUUCAUGUAAUAACAUCUCAGGUUAACGAGAAAGACAUCAUUGCAACCUCCAAAAUUAAGAAUAAAUAGCAAGCACAUCACAAGACAAACGACAUCACAGCCUCAGAGUGCUGUGGAAAUACUAGAAUUCAUUUCAACUGUGUUUAAUUUGGAAAAGAAAUUAACAGAAACAAAAGGAAUCACCAAACGACCAAAGAAUAAGAAAAGCAUAGAGUGUGGAGGUUCUCAGUCGAGUUCUGAAUGGAAUUAGGUGUCUUCCAUGCAAUAAAUACUCAGGUUAACGAGAAAGACAUCAUUGUAACCUCCAUUGUAACAGGGAUAGAUAGGAAGCACAUCCCCAAGUUAACAAGACAAACAUUAUCACAACCUCGAGUUCCGUGGAAAUAUUAGGAUUCACUGCAACUCUAUUUAAUUUAGAACAAAAAUAACACAAGUCAAACAACAUCACAGCCUCAGAGUGCUGUGGAAAUACUAGAAUUCAUUUCAACAGUGUUUAAUUUGGAAAAGAAAUCAACAGAAAUAAAAGGAAUCACCAAACGACCAAAGAAUAAGAAAAGCAUAGAGAGUGGAGGUUCUCAGUCGAGUUAUGAAUGGAAUUAGGUGUCUUCCAUGCAAUAAAUGCUCAGGUUAACGAGAAAGACAUCAUUGUAACCUCCAUUGUAACAGGUAUAGAUAGGAAGCACAUCCCCAAGUUAACAAGAUAAACAUUAUCACAACCUCGAGUUCCGUGGAAAUAUUAGGAUUCACUGCAACUCUAUUUAAUUUAAAACAAAAAUAAAUAGAGCCACCAAACAACCAAAGAGAGAAGUUAAACAUAGAAGACUACUCAAGGUGGAGGCUCUGCCUUGAGCUAUGAAUGGACCUGUCUUUCAUCGAACAAACAUGUAUCAUGUUACGAGAACACAUCAUUGCCUCCCAACAUUGUAAAAUAGGCGUGCACAUGGUGGAUGCUAGGCAAAAAAAGCGAAUGAAAAUACUGUCACAAACAAAUCACAACACCCUCAAUUUGUUAUAUCUUUAGAAUCAAUGCUGCUCAGCUAGUCUUUGAAUGGAUAUAUUCUAUCCGCAUAGUAUAUCUCAGGUUAACGAGAAGUCCAUCAUGGCAGCCACACAAGGUAGUGAGAAAAGUAUAAAGUGUAGUGUGAACACUUGUUUACAUUCAAAAUUUUGUUUGAUGUGAGCAGCAGUAUAUUUUGGAUCGGAACUAUAGUUAAAUCAAACAAUGUGUAGAUAGGAAAAUGAAAUAAAACAGUGAACUUGAGUGGAAACAGCAGGAGAAGCAGAAAAUUUCCAACAAUUCUUUAAUAAUGAGUAUGUGUACGAGGGAGAGCAGUUCUUGAAAAAGCUAUCAGACUGGAAAGAAACAUCACGGGAGCCUCCAGUUCCUAAUAACAGACAAGGAAUAAGGUAUAAACAAAAAACAACUGUCCCCCAUCCCCCCACCCACAGCACGCACGCACACACAUUCUUCAGCAUUUUCAUCCCAACAACUCAAGUUGCUUACCUUUCAAGCAAAUAUGGUGAACAAGAACAAGACACUACGACAACAAAGAUAAGGCAUGAGGGCAAGCAAACUAAAAAUAACUGUUCACAUGUUACAAUGCAAGUAUGAUCCACCUGAGUUGAGAAGUUGUCCAGUAUUAAAUGGGGGUAAGCUUCUGACAUUUUGCCCAUUGUCUUCCUGUCCUUGAUAUCAUGACGUGUCACCUGCACACAACACCAAAACCUCAGAUACAACCAAGUGUGGGCAAUCAUUGUGUAAACUUGUGCUCGGCACAAGCCCAGAAUAUGUAUACUUCAAAAAACGUUAAGCACACUUACCACAUUGAGCAACCCAAAGUAUGCAGUUGGACCAUGAGGUAGAUGCGAGACAAUCAAACCAUCAGGUUGACCACGGUGUUCAUGGACCAAAAUAAGAUCUGUUAUAUCAUGGGAGCGGCAGGACUCGACAAUUUCUGAUAUGACCUGCCAAAAAUACAGAUGAGUGAAGAACAAGAACCAAGGCAACAAAAUACUAAAGCGUGACGAAUUUUGCACGACAAUAUGUUCACUACAUAAACAUCAUGGACAACCAGUUUUAAUUUAUUGCAAAGGAUACAUAGCAAGUACUAUAUGUGGCUGAAACAAAAAGAACAUGGCAUUCUAUAAAGGGCUGCCACACUAUACCUGACCACCACGGUUCAUUCUUUGUGAGUUUGGGAAGACAACCUUGAGCUCCUGGUCAUAGCAAAAGAACCAGAGAGGUGGGUUUAGCUGAAUUCCUGAGUGUAAUGCAUCAUUUGAACCCAUGGAAAGGGGAAAUCAUCUAAAAACUCCCAUCAAGCAUACCUUGACAAACUGAGUUAGGGGCGCGCUGGGAUUGCGAGACGUGGUCAAGAGUAUCUUGGGCUCCCGAACGGUGGCAGUGGCGUACUCGUUGUCAACGAUGCUCUUCGGAACUAGUAAACGAACACAUCAUUAGCCAGGCACAAACGAUGCAAACACACCACUCCCUACCGCAAAUGGAGUAAAGAGGGGGGAUACGGCACCAGCGCGCACCUUGACGCUCCUGGUCCUCGAGGUCGAUCUGCCUCCGCAGGUCGUGCUCCUCGUUGCGGAGCUCGGUGGGGAUGGGCUUGCCCUCCUCGAGCGCCGCCCGGAUGCGGCGCUUCUUCUCGAAGAGCGCCCGCUGGGGGCCCUCGAGGCUCUUGGUGUACAGGUACUCCCGACGCUGACGUAUAUUCCGCCGUAGCAUCUUCGCUUCCCUCCUCCUCUUCCAAGCUCGGAUCUUUUUUGCAAAAAAGUCAGAAGUUAAUAAGCAUGAAAUCGCCAAAUAGCUUGGGGUUAGAGUUUGGGAGCUCUGUUUCGCACAACAUACAAGGAAGAGAAGGGGUGGGGAUACCUAGUGGGCGCUCUUCGCCGGCGAAGGACUCGGCACCUGGCGUAGGGCGGCGGCGGCGGCGGCGGUGGCGGGGGCUAGGGAGAGCGAGCGCUGGCGGCUGGCACUGGGACUCUGGGGUCAGUGGCGGAUGCAGGUCGCGGUUCGGAGUAUAUAUCCGCUUGGUUGUAGUUGGGCCUUUAAUGGGCCCUGACCUUCCAAGUUGUGGGUUAGCGGGAAACGGGAACGGAGAACAGGAAGCAUCGCACGAGACGAGGAUAGGGAUAAAAGCCUUCUGCCGUCAACUGUUUUUUUUUAAAAAAAAAAGAUACGUUUUUUCUCUCUUUCCCUUUUUAUUAUUCUUCUUAUUUUUUACUCCAUUAAUUCAUUUUAAAUUAGAAGACAUUUUAUUUUUUCUAGAAAUACAAUAUAUCUAGAAAAAAUAAAACAUCUUACCAUUUGAAACAGAGAGAUGAAAAACAUAUACUAUACAUGGCCAUCCUGUCGUGUCGGCACGACACGCAGGCACACCGUGCCGUGCCGACACGGCACUACAGCGUGCCGGCCGUGCCGUGCCUGACCGUGCCAUGGUCCAGGUCAUCGGCCCACAGCACGGCACAUGGGCCGGAUUUUCCGUGCCGUGCCGCCCAUGAGCCAUGGCCAUUUUGACCGUGCCAUGCUGGUACACCGGAGGAGGAGGACUGGAGGAGGAGGGAAGGCCGGACCGCCGGAAAGGGAAAGGAGGUAGGAGAGGGAGAACGAGCGGGCGGCGAGGUGUCGAGGUCACCAGAGCAGGGGCAGGGCCGACCGGCCGGCGAGCUCAAAGCGAACGGCGGCGGGCCAGCGGCGGAUUGGAUCAGCUCUGACUGAGUGAGUGAGUCAGGGAGAGCGAGAGCCGAGACCGAGAGGCGAGAGCUGCGGCUGCGGGGGUGGGGGAAUGAAUUAGGGUUAGCCGGUUAGGGUUGGUGGAGGCUUUUAUAUGGCGAGCGAGGCGAGGGUGGGAUGGGGUGCUGGCCGGCCGUGCCGUCCACCGUGCCGGCCCUCUGGUCGUGUCGUGCUCGUGCCGUGUCAUGGGACAGGCCGACGGCCCAUGCACUGCACUAGCCUUCGUGCCGUGCCGGCACGGGCACGGUGUCUGCCGUGCCGUGCGGCCCAUGGGCCAUGCUAAAAGGCCGUGCUACGUGUUGUGCCGCCGGCCCACGGGCUGUCUGGAAAUCUAUAACAUAUACUCCCCCAUCCUUACAAAGGAAGUCAUUUUGGAUAAGGUUUGGGUUAAAUAUUAAAAAUAUAAAUCAUGAAUAACUUUUAAAUUAUUGAGUUUAGAUUUUGUCUUCAAAAAUGCUUUCAUAAAUAUAUAUAUACCACUUUCUCAUAAAUAAUUUUAUUAGAACAAGGAGUCAAAGUUAGAAUUUGGAGGUCGUGUCGCUAUCCUAAACGACUUUCUUUGUGAGUGCGGAGGGAGUACAUUCUAGCAUCUUUUGUAAAAGCUAUGGGUGUGUUUGGUUCCUAUCUCGUGGAAGCCUGGAUUAGAAUGGGUGUGUUUGGUUCCUGACUUGGCUUGCGCAUAGAAUCACCUUAUAUUUUUCAUGGUGACCGGCCUAUUGCACAUUCUAUCAUACACUUGGGAGGGGCAUCACCAGUGACGAGCUUGCCUCUAACGUCCAGUGCUCUAGUUCUUGCGGUGCGGGGCAGCCCUCUUGUCCUGAGGUGUCCUGGUGGGGUGUCGGUGGCUAAGGGGAGAGGAGGAGCAAGGAGCCCUAGAGGAAGUACUUGUCGGUCCCGGUGGCUGAGAGAAGAGACCUAGCAGGUGGAUGAGGGAAGAGGGAGGAGUUCGUGUGGUGGUGGAGUAUGGUCGGAGCUUCACCGUAUCAGUGGUGGCCGCGAGAGCACGAACCGAAGCUCACAUGCCAGCGGAGAUCCGAUGAGAGCUUGGUGGGGAUGGUGGCCGAUGGCGAAGAUCUAGGUUGACCUUGUCAAAGCUCGUGUGAUGGUGGGAGGAGCGUUGGUCGGUGGGAGCAUGGUACGAAGCUCUCAUGGGGGGUGCCCGGAGCUCUCGUGGUCCUCAUCUGUUGGGGGGGGGGGGGCGACGCCAAUCCACAGCGAUUGCUAGCAAAGCCAGGCCUUAUGAAAACGGGUCCUAAUUUCAUUUUUUCGGAACCAAGCCCAGCAGUGUACGGCGACCAGGUCUUAGCCAGGCGAAAGUCCAACUACAGGUAACCAAACGAGCCCAGAUUAGCUCCAGCAGACUUGACUAGAGUUUGAACACAUGACACCCAACUAAAUAAACACAUCCUAUAUUUUUUUUUGAUGAAAUACACAUCCUAUAUUACUUCAUCCAUUUAAAACUAUAACACAUUUUGACUUUUCUAAAUAAGUUUUUACUUUGUACAGUAUUUAGAUAUAUAUUAACAUUUUAUAAUUUAGAAGCGAGGGAGUAUAUAUGUAGUAUAUUUCUUGCAACGCAUUUUCCCCGAAACUGAAAACGAAGUUUGCACCGUUUCUGGACGUGGAUAGAAAGGUAACAGUAACAGGUAACGACAAUCAACAGUUGACUCCCCAGGGGCUACCGUACGGGCCGUAGUACUUCCAAAGUACUAAUGGUACACAUGAUAAGAGCUCUUGCAAGUGGGCAGAUGAGCACUGCUACACUGCUUUGCUAUGCAUACAGAAGUAAUAAGGAUCAAAGGACGCAGACAGAAAACAAAUUAAAAUACCCAACAAAUCAAAAAUUUCUAUGUUCAUUCCCAUCCCACAUUCCAAGAACUAGUGAAGAUCGAUCAUCAGACAGAACGGUUAUUACUUAUUAGUAGCAUAUAUAGCUAAUAUAUAACGCAACAUAACAAAAUAAACAAAUUAACAAACAAUCGGCGUGACUACAUAAUUGGUGCUAGCUAGACUGCUAGAUGAUGAUCUUCGAGUUUAUACUAAAACUCAAAUCGAUCGUAACUGAUUACAACCAUAUUGCAGACUCUCAAUAAUCUGAGAACAUUUCUAGCUAAUAUAGGGGCUAGCUUGCAUGCUACAACAACAUGCAGUAUUAGUGGCAUAUACCAAAGUUAUUAGUGGCAUGCAUGUCAUGCACACUUAUAUCUACAUAAAUAAAUCAGGCAUGCAUGAAAGCCCGAAACUAAACCAUUCUGCUCAAAGGAUCAAAUCUCAACUGCCGAUCUGAACCGAGCUAGCAUAUCAGGAGGAGUAGCUGGUGGAGCUCUUGCCGCUUGUCUCGCCGCCGCCGCUCGUCACGGUGACCUUGUCGCAGGACGGGCAGAUGGCGCUCGCCAUGGCCGUGGCCGGCGCCGGGAACGACUGGACGUAGAGCCCAGCCGCCGCCGCCGCCGACCGCUGCAGCUGCGCGAGCUCCAGCCUCAGCCGCUGGUUCUCUCCCGUCAGGCUCUCGCAGCAGCGCUUCAGUAUCUCGCAGUCCACCUCCGUUUGCUUCAGCUUUGUUCUGAUGAAAACAUCAUAUUUUUGCACAACAAAGUUCAGAACAUGCGAGCGGCCGCCAUUGCAGACUAAUUUUAUACGUAUAUAUACAUAUAUGUAUGUAUAUGCUACUCUUCAUAUAUACCUUGCCCUCCUAUUCUGGAACCACACUUCCACCUGUCUUGUGCUUAGAUUCACCUGCCGCGCGAGCUCCUGCUUCUGAGCCUGUCCAAACAUGCAUGAAACGAUCUUUUCGUCAGUUUCUACUAGACACAUGAGCAUGGUAUAAAAACAAAAAAUCCAUAUGUGCAGAGACGAACAAUAUAUAAUUCAGAUUCUAGUACUAGCUAGCUAAUAUGACAAAAAUCCAUAUGUGCAGACAUGAACAAUAUACUGAAGGAUGCAUACGUGGGAGAGUAUGUUGUGGGCGCGGAAGGUGUCUUCGAGCAGCGUGGACUGCUCCUUGGUGAGCCGGAGCUUCUUCCUCGCGCCCGCGCCGACAGCAACGUCGUCGUCACUGGGGCUCGGACCGCCAUGCGACGACUGCCCAUCGUCGUCGGUGAUGGUCGUCUUCGACCUCUUCCGUGCACCUUUCUCCGCUUUCUUGCUCGCGGUCGCGGCAGCUUCUUCCUUGACACUCCGCGGGAACAGCAUCAGGUCGAACUGCACCGGCGCCGGUGACCGGCUCCGCUUCAUCAGAUCGCCGCCGCCUAUCCCCAGGCCAAGCCAUGACUUCCCGAACCCCUCUUCCUCCAUGGCACGAGUGCUAUACGACAUGGCGCAGGGGGAGGUUGAGACACGUAGCUCUAGGCUAGCCCUAGCACCACCGCGCUUGAUGAAGAGGAAGAUGGUGGAUCGGAGAAGAGAAGAAGACGCCUGCUGCUGCUGGGUCAAGGCCGGAGUAGAGUAGUAGUACUAGACUUGGACUAGUAAGCAAGUAGCCGGCCGGCGUGUGAAGGCUUUUGCCUUGUUGCUUUAUAGGCGCAGGUGGCGGCCGGGAGACUAGCUCGCUCGCUCCUGCUCCUCGUCCUACCUGCGAUUGCGAAGCGAAACGGCAGAGGAGGACAAAGUCAGUUUCGUGUGUGGAUUGAAGAAGACAGGAUUAGUGAGAGGUUACUAAUCCUAAUUAAAGCGAGAGUGGACGUUUAUAUUUGAACGCAGAGAUGGAUUUGCAGGAAGGUAAAUGUUCCGAUUGGACUGGCCGGCCACUGAUGAGACGACGCAUGGAAAGGCAGCCGGUUAAGACCAGGAGGGCCGUUUCCUGGUCGCCCGCGAAUCAGAUGCAGCCAUCGAUGGUUCCUGAAACUGACGACAUUUUAAGAGGAUCAUCAUGUCGCUGAUGGGUAAUAAUUCUGGACAACAGUAGUUAAAAGCUAGCUCUAGCCUCCCUCUGGUCGUACGCAUGUACCCUUGUUUUUAUCUCCGUGGAAAAACUGUGCACUCGGUAAUAAUUUCGUUGCCUUGUGAUGAAACUCGGGUACACCACAGUAGUUGUGUGCGUCGGAAGGAGAGAAACGUACGAAAGCCCGUGCUGAGAGUGUAAAGCUAGAGUCUAGUAAGGGCACUCACAAUGCAAACUCUAUCAUAGAGUCUAAAGUUAGUUAUUACCUCGAACAAUGUGGACUUGGAGUCUAAAUAAGACUUGGAGUCUUAUUUUUUCUACCUCUUUCUUCAAUAAAUAUGCUGCCACAUCAACAAAAUACAAUAAAUAAUAUGUAAUUAAUUGUCUUGGACUCUAUGAUAGAGUCUUGCAUUGUGAGUGCCCUAACAGAUCACUAACAGUACCCUACUGGUGCUAGUACUCGUGAAACUAAUGUUUAGAUCCAAAAAUUUUUGGAAUUUUGACACUAUAGCAAUUUCAUUUUUAUUUGACAAACAUUGUUCAAUCAUGAAGUAAACUAGGCUUAAAAGAUUCGUCUCGCGAUUUACGGGCAAACUGUGCAAUUACUUUUUGUUUUCAUCUAUAUUUAAUACUUUAUACAUGUGUCGCAAGAUUUGAUGUAACGGAAAAUCUUGAAAAGUUUUUUGUUUUUGAGUGAACUAUAAACAAGGCCAAACGAACCCCGGCGCUGGUAACAGUUUGUUCAAGUGCAACGCACUGCAUGACGUGCAUGCAUCAUGCAUGCAUGCUUGCCCCACCUCUAGUAGUAGUCUCUUGGUUGGCCCUCGAGGCAAAAAUCAAGUUCAGCGUAUGCAUGCAUGCAUUAUAAGUCUCGCUUAAUUAGGUGUAUGUACGUGCAUGAGGGUGAAGAAUCCACAACUAGUCUAGAUACACAUAAAUGUACACGCAUCGCUACAGAAAGUACAUAUGGAACAUGCAAUCAUUAUCCAAAAAUUAUCAACGUUUUCUGAAGCAUGCAUGAAUAAUAUGUUAACCGAUCAAAAGUCAGAGGCUCCAGAACACAAAAGUCAGAAAAGGCUAUCAAUGGCAAUUUUUGCACCAGUUGUUCCUGCGACAUUCGUACUUCUGUACUUCUCCGUAGCUGGAUAUGUACAGUAGCAGUCUGGAACAAAACAAGAUAAGGCCUUGUUUAGUUCCACCUUAAAAUUUUAAACAAAAUUCAAGAUUUCCUAUUACAUCAAAUCUUGUGUCAUAUGCAUGGAGUAUUAAAUCUAGACGAAAACAAAAACUAAUUGCACAGUUUGUCUGUAAAUCACGAGAUGAAUCUUUUGAGUCUAAUUAAUUCAUGAUUGAAUAAUGUUUGUCAAAUAAAAACGAAAAUGCUACAGGACCGAAAUCCAAAAAAUUUUCAGAACUAAGACCUUGUUUAAUUCCAAAAAAUUUUGUAAAAUUUUUUAAAUUCCCCGUCACAUCGAAUUUUAGACGCAUGCAUAGAGUAUUAAAUAUAGACGAAAAUAAAAAUUAAUUGCACAGUUUGGUCGGAAUUGACGAGACGAAACUUUUAAGCCCUAAUUAGUUCAUGAUUGGACAAUAUUUGUCAAAUACAAACGAAAGUGCUACAGUAUCGAUUUCCCAAAAAUUUUUGAAACUAAACAAGGCCUAAGUGAUUUUUGCACCAAUUCCCGACUGUUGUAGCACUUUCGUUUGUUUGUGGCAAAUAUUAUCCAAUCAUAGACUAACUAGGAUCAAAAGAUUCGUCUCGCGAUUUACAGGUAAACUGCGUAAUUAGUUUUUGUUUUCUUCUAUAUUUAAUGCUUCAUGCAUGUGCCGCAAGAUUCGAUGUGACGGAGAAUCUUGAAAAAUUUUAGGAACUCAACAAGGCCGCUGAAAUCUGAUCAGCAGACAGCAGCACACGCGUAUACACCCGAUCGAAAUCAAUCACGCAACGCAAACCAAAACAACUUCAAUGAUAAUAAUCCACCAUGAUGCAUGCACUGUAGAUCUACCUCGACACAAUAUGCUCUAGACAAAAUCUCUUAAAUGAUCUCAAGACGUACUUUUUUAAAAUUUUAGUGCAAAUGGCUACUGAAGUCUGAUCGUGUUCUCAGACAAACGCUAGCUCUGUCGCUCCCAAACGUCCGAUUUCAGACCAAUGGAAGGAUGGCUGCCUGACCGACAAGUUACGACCUGCCAUGGCUGACGGCUCAAUCUAAACAAAAUCUUGGAUCACUUGUUUUUACCGCCUUACUGCAGCAUAUAGUGGAGGUGGUUGAGAUCUUCUCCCAUCAUUUGGUCCAAAAACCAUGCAUGUGUGGUCAAAAAGGAAGGGUGCUUUAACCUUGAUGGAGAAGCUUUCUGAUCGAUAUAUGCUCUACUUUAAAUUUCUCACAUGAUAAUACGUGCUGAUUAGGACAGGUUCGUCCGAUGUUCUUCAGUGUUUCGCAUGAUAGUAUAUUUCGUUAAUUGGACUGAAUCAUUCAAAGACAUGGGUCGCCUGAUUAAUUCAGCGAUUCGUACGUACAUCCCAGUCGAAUCAAUGAGUUCCCUUUGAAGAGAGUAGCCACUAGCCACCAGCAGCAGCCACCAAAUCUGUCGACGAGGUCUUCUUUUAACCUGCUCCACGUACUACUACAGCUUCUUUUGUGCUUUCUUGCAUUUGGAAAGGCAAUAUUACAGUCUAGCUGGAUCUGGUUUUCAAACUGCCCGGCCGGCGGCUGAUCCACAUAAUUCUCCUGCGCAUACAAGUGAACAGUACUGGAUUUUUUUUUUUUUGAAACGAGUGAACAGUACUGGAUUGUAUUAUAGUAUAUUUGCUACACUCACCAUGUGCAUAUAUGUCACUUCUUUUUUCCACGGAAAAGAGGGAGGACCUGUGCCCAAUCUAGGUCUUGUUUAGUUUCCAAGAAAUUUUACAAAAUUUUCUAGAUUUCAUAUCACAUCGAAUCUUGCGGCACAUGCAUGGAGCAUUAAAUAUUAAUUAAAUAAAUAACUAAUUGUAUGGUUUGUCUGUAAUUUGUGAGACGAAUCUUUUGAGCAUAGUUAGUCUAUGAUUGAACAAUAUUUGUCAAAUACAAAUGAAAGUACUAUAGUGCCCAUUCUGCAAAAAAAAUUGCAACUAAACAAGGCCCUAAUUUGUACCUUAAAAAGGGUGUUGAUAUUACCAAGGAUAACCUAGGGAGGAGGAGUUGGUUUGGUAGUAAAACAUGUUGUUUCUAGUCAUGAAGAAUCUAUUCAACACACCUCCUUUCUAAAUGUCAUGCAAAAUUUCUUUGUCGCAUGUUGAUUCUUUACUCUUGGAAUUAGACCGAGGAUGAAUUUAAAUGAUUUAUAUAACCAUUAGAGAUUGACAUGUGCUUCUACAAUGUGUUGGACCAAUGGCUACCAAGAAUUGACAUUAUUUUUGACAAACAGUAACGACCAAAAUAUUAUCUACGGAUUUCAUUUAAGGGGACGUUUUGGCUACGGCACCGGACGCCAUUGCGGGGACUCGAAGAUAACUAGGAACUGCAGGUUUUUGCUUUCAGGCCUUGUUUAGUUCCCACAAUUUUUAAAGAUUCAACAUCACAUCAAAUCUUACGGCACAUGCAUGGAGCACUAAAUAUAAAUAAAAAAGAUAACUAAUUGUAUAGUUUACCUGUAAUUUACGAGAUGAAUCUUUUGAGCCUAGUUAGUAUAUGAUUGGACAAUAAUUGUCAAUAAAAACGAAAGUGCUACGGUAGCCAAAUCUAAAAAUUUUCGCGAACUAAACAAGGCCUUAAUUUGAAACUUGGAGUCAAUAAUUAUGCAACUUUUUUGCAUCAUAUGGUAGUUGUUUUUUUCUGCAUUGGUCAAUAAAGUAUAACUCAUUUUCAUAUUGCUUUUAUAGCUAUUGUGAGUGAGUUCUGUUCCUGCAGCUAUCUCCUUUGUAAUUAAUAAUUUAAUUUGGAUAUAUGGUUUAUCGUUAAUGGGUUGAAACCAGAGUAAUGCAAGGUUUACACCGCCACCACUAUAGAGAUCCAUGCCAGAGCCACCUUGAUGCUCUUGUGUAUUGUCCUUCUCCUGGCCCGGGUGGACGACAUAUAUCUACAUUUGGAAUAUGUCCUCCACCCUCUCGUCAUUGUGAGAAGGACACUUGAUCCGUGUCGUGAUCAACUUAUGCUAAAAAGAAGUGUGUUUAUGUGGCAUGUGAAUCGAACAACAGCAGCAUAUGAAUGUAUUCUUUACGUUCUUCGAGAAAAAAAUGCAAUGACGACGAUGGUUUUAUAUAUUAGAUACUAGAUAUGGGGAUUGCAUUUGGCAUCCUAUAUAUGUGUAUAUAUAUGUGGAAUGUGCCAAGCUGAAUUAUUCAAGGGCUACGAAGAUCCUGAGAAGAUUCUUCUCCCGGUAAUACGAACAAAAGCAGCAAUUUGUUUAAGAGAAUCCCAGCAAUUCUAGCGCGCACCAUCGAUAUCCUCGGGAAGAAACAGCGAUGUGUCUCUCUUUUUCUGUGUUUUUUUUUCUGUCAUACGUAUAAGUAAGGUAGAUCGUGUUAUCUAACACGUUUAUUAACAACAACAAGUAAUUAAUCGAGCAGCAAGAAGCAUGGUCGUAUGUCUAGUCAGAAGAAUUCAACUCCUAAUGUUGCCAUGUCAUCUCCUAGGAACCAGCCUACGUAUGAAACGGUCUCUCACUCAUUCCAUCUCGAUCGAUCGGCUAAUGUCGUGACAUAGUAUCAGUCAUUUCAUGGUCCAUAUAUACCUUCAUCAGCAUGGUCCACAAAUUAUGUUUCUUUUUCCGAGACAAAUCACAAAGCCAACCACGCACGAAAUCAUCAGAUCAUAUUUGCUGUCUUCCGAGAAGCUUCAGGUUCGUGAGAGAGACCGUUCCUACCGUUGCAUGCGUGCGGCUUUUGUAUAUAUGUUCGUUUCAUUCGUCUGGGAGGAGGGACGGCAACUGAUGAGACGCUAGAAUCGAUCGACCGUGUACCGUGCUGCGUUGCACCUUCAACCACCCCACGUGCCUUGUAUUAAUAAACCAAAAUGUCAUGACCGACUAACAAUCAGUGCAGGUUUUGACUGGGACUGAUCCAUACCUUUCUCUCCGACUCAGCUGCGAACGUAAGCAUUGAUGUGUGUGUAUGGAUCUACUAGUCACGGUUCAUUGACCGGGGGCGAGAUAUAUUAGGGGUGUUCGAUCAUCUCAUAACCUCACAACUAGCGCAUAAGAUAAUAUCAAAAUCUAAUUAUUAUGAAAACAUAUUUUAUUUUUAAUCUAAUCAUACUUAUUAUUGCACAUCAUAAAUAUGAAGGUUUGACUUUUUUUAAAAAAAUGUGAAUGGGUGUAUUUAGUUCAUCAUAUAAUACAAAAUGCAAAAUACAAACUACUUUGGAACGAUGAAAUGCAAAAUGCCGAAAUUUUCAUCAAAAAAGCAAAAUUUAUUGUUCUCAUUAGAGCCUCGAGGUCAAAAUCUAAAAUUGAGAAUAGUGACAUUUUUGCCAAAAAUUUUGGAUGAUGUUAAGUUCCAUUAUAUAAAAUGAUGAACCAAAAUCCAAAAUUAUUUAGGAUAAAAGAGAAACUAAAUACCCCCUAUGUUUUUUUCCAACACGCGAGGAAGCUAUUUGUAUAACCCUAGCGGCAGCAGCAAUCGGCAGAACUGAGAUCGAAGAAAGAAUCACAUGGUUCCCAACAAAUACAAACCACAACGGGAUGGACGCCUCCCCUUAUCUCCCAGCGUCCAUUUCGCAUUAAGAUUCAUGCUGGAGUGCUCUAAAAGUUAUGCCCUAGUGUUUUAAAAUCUGAGUUGAAGUGCUUUUUUUACCUACACAAAUCACAAAAUAAAAUGAACGAUAGGAUAAAAGUUGCACGCCCACCCUAUUGUGGAAACUGCAAGUUGGUUCAUUCUCACUGAACACGUGGCUUGACCAUGUUGUUUUUUUCAGGAAGGUGAAGCCCCCAAUAAUGUUUGGUUAUUAGUCAUAUUUUGCUACAUACCACCUUAAAUUGAUUUGAUUAAAUUGGCAAGCGUUUAGUUGCCAUUUAAAUUUAGACAUGACGAUUCUAUUAUGCUCCACGUGUCAUAGAGUAAAAAAAAUAUAGCAAAAUUUUCUUAGACAUGCCUAAAGUGUGGCUUCAAACUCUCUAGCCAAAUGUUUGUGGUUUGUCAUGUUUUGUCUAACGUUAGCUGUGACAAACAAUAUCAGAAGAAGGAAGUAGGAACCAAACGGCCCAUUGGCGGAGCCAAGGGGGAGGGGGGGCUGGCAGGGGCCGUGCCCCCCUAACAUGUGUCAACAAAUUUUUUUAGUAAUAUAAAUUUAAGAUUUUUAUUUAUGUUAAGAGAGAAAUAUAACAAUUUUUGUCAUAUAUACUUAUUAAUAUCCUCAAGAUAAUAGGAUCGUACUCCCUCCAUUCUAGAGUAAUUUCAAGAAUUUUGUAGAGUCAAAACAUCCUAAAUUUUGACCAAAUUUAUAAAAUAAGAUAAUAACUUUUAUUAAUUAUUAUGUUUUCGCAGUAUAUCAUUUGACGACAUAAAUCUUUAUAAUUUUUUCCUAUAGUUUUGGUCAAACUUGAGAUAUUUUGACUUUCCAAGAUUUUUAAAAUGAUUUAUAAUUUGGAAUGGAGGAAGUACAAAACAUAACUAGAUAAUACUAUGAGACACGUUAGAAAAACUGAGAUGCAGAUCUUAAGGUUUAUAAAAUUAUAUCAAACUUGUUGUUAAGGGUUUAUCGUCUGUCACCGAAAGAAAACACAUUUGAUCCUAAAUACAUACAGAAAAUGUGAGCACAUAUGUUAAAUUGAUGACUUGAGUCAGCUCCGCGAACGCCAAUGCCUUGUUUAGUUUGUCAAGGGAAAAUUUCGCGACACUAUAUUAUUUUUAUUUGUUUAUGGUAAUUAUUGUCUAAUCAUGGAUAAUUAGGUUCAAAAGAUUCAUAUCGUUAAUUUCGACCAAACUGUAUAAUUAGUUUUUAUUUUCGUCUACAUUUAAUACUCUAUGUAUACGUCUAAAGAUUUGAUGUGACAAGAAAUUUUGAAAAUUUUUGGAUUUUUUGGUGGAAUUAAACAAGUCCCAAGUCGAUCAGCCGCGCUCGUCUCCGAUGCGCGUGCGUGGGCACCAGUCCAGCCGGUACGGCGCCCCAUCCGUGUCUCCGCCGUACAGUACAGUACAGUACAGUACAAGCUAGUUGCUACUAGGCUCUACUACUAGCAUCGUGAAAAAGAAACGGUCGCCGUGGUUGCUCGUGCGUAGCCACCGUAGCCGUAGGCGCCGGCUCCAUCCCGUCGGCCGCGCCGUCCGCCCGCCCGCAUGCACGAGCGGAGCGGAGAGAGGACUCCUCCAACAAGUCCGCCGCUGAUGACUAAUAUCGAAGAAGACGCGCUCGCGCGCACCUCGGUCCAACGUUCAACCUUGGCCUUGUUUAGUUUCUAAAAAUUUUACAAUUUUUUUUUAAAUUUCUCGUCACAUCGAAUCUUUAGACGUAUACAUAGAGUAUUAAAUAUAGAUGAAAAUAAAAACUAAUUGUACAGUUUGGUCGAAAUUGACGAGACGAAUCUUUUAAGCCUAGUUAGUUUAUAAUUAGAUAAUAUUUGUUAAAUACAAACGAAAGUGGUAUUAUUUCUAUUUUGCAAAUUUUUUUAAAAGUAAACAAGGCCCUUGCGAAAAAAAGCAACGGCCGAGGGCAAGGAAAUCUUUUUUCCCCGCGCGUGAUUUCGUGAUGAUGAGAUAGAUUUGCAUUGCUCGGUUGUUGUUGCAGUACGUAGCCGGACUGGGCUAUCUGUCCUUUCCCAUCUGGCGAAAACCGACCUGGGUCUUGUUUAGUUUCGAAAAGUGAAAUGUUUUCGAUACUGUAGCAUUUUUAUUUGUUUGUGAUAAAUAUUAUCCAAUUAUGGAUUAACUAGGAUCAAAAGAUUCAUCUCGUGAUUUACAGCUAAACUAUAUAAUUAGUUUUUGUUUUCGUCUAUAUUUAAUGUUUCAUUCAUGUGCCAUAAGAUUCGAUAUGACAGGUAAUCUUGAAAAUUUUUUAGUUUUCAGGGUGAACUAAACAAGGCCCUACUGUAACUGUCCAAGAACGGACUUUUUCCCUCUUUUGGGUUCUUUUUUUCCACAGGAGAAAAGAUGAGUGGUGUUUGACUUUCAAUGGGGCCGCGAUCACCCAUCGCGGUCACCGCCCCGCUGUUGGCGCCCAGCGCCGGCGGGGCUUCUCCUCUUCUCGAGCGGCAUCCCGCGUUUGAUCAGCAUUAAUUCCUUACACAUAAAUAAAGGAGAGAAAAAACUAUUUGAUAAUUUGACCUUCUCAAUUAUGCUUGGCAGCUUUAGUGCUGAUUUCGCAACAUCAACUACAAAACCGGAUCAAACCCAUCUUAAUGUUUAAAACUGUUAUGUUUUCAUCUGGCAUUUUGUCCAUCCGCAAGACGUAUAAAAUGGAUUGUGUUGAUAGUUCCUUCAAAAACACUAUACUUUAUCGACAGAUUAUCCAUACUUUUUAAAAGAAAACAUUAAUAGAAUGUUUCUUUUCUGAAUAGUUAUGCAAUCAAGAAAGCUAAAACAUAGUUUAUUUUCUUUAGAAAGUUCACAGAGAAUAUUGUUUUAGCUUGGAAAAAAUAUACGAAAUCAGUUUCAAUAUUCUUUUUUCAUAAGAUCAUGUUCCAUCUUCUGGUGCUUGGCUUGAAGUUAUUUGAAUCUUUUGUGGUCUCCUUUUUUAUAUUCAUUUGCUCAUGGAAGCUCUCGUCGUCUAUUAUAAGGCCUUCUUUAGUUUCAAAAUAUUUUGCAAAAUCGACACUGUAGCUCUUUCGUUUGUAUUUGACAAAUAUUAUCCAAUCAUGGACUAACUAGGCUCAAAAGAUUCGUCUCGUCAAUUUCCACCAAACUGUGUAAUUAGUUUUUAUUUUUAUCUAUAUUUAAUACUUCAUGCAUGUGUCUAAAGAUUCGAUGUGACGGGGAAUCUGAAAAAUUUUGCAAAUUUUUUUGGGAACUAAACAAGGCCUAACUAAUCAAUGUUGACAACCCAGACUAUGUAGAUGGCCAUGUGUGACUCCAAUGGCAAAACAAUUUUCAUGUAACCACUUCCAAAUUCGAUCCCAUUUGGUAAUGAACACAUGUGCCGCUUGAUCUACAGCUAGGCACAAUGAGUAGUAGUGAACAAAGUAUCUAUAUGCUUUUCAAAUGGCCCACUAUCAUAUUUUUGUGGGAUUCUAGAGCCAGGUGUCGUGACAUACGUUUGGAAGGUGAGCAUCUUCUAGAGAAUAAACACCAUAACACCAUAUAAGUUUCAAACCAAAUAACUCUAAUUUAGGCAUAGAGCACAUUUGAAAUUGUUUUUUUUAUGGAUAAAACAAUCUUUACGAGGAUCACGGCCCGGGAGAAAGAAGCCUUCCAUCGGAUGGUCCUGGAUCACGGCCCACCAGAUGGUGGUACGUACUGUAAUAAAACGCAACCCCGUGGGCAUUCGCCGAGCGAUUGGCUUAUAAAGCGACCAUCCGUCCACACCACCCCCAGUAUAGGGUUCCUCCCAUCCCCUGUUUCCCCGCGCCGCCGGCUCCUCGGCGCCGCCAUGGUCCAGUCCACCUCUCCUUACGGGGCUCCACGCCGGAUUUGCUGUCUGUUCUUCUCUCUUGCGUUGUUUUAUUGGUUCGUUCUUCCCGUCGUCCUUUCGUUUUCCUGUUCGCUUUUCUCUGGCUCCGUUUUGCCGUUGAGCUUGCUCGGUCCUGACGUCGAAGGAGGGCGACGGGCGACGGCGAUGACGAAAAACUAUGGUUCGCUCGUCUGAACGGCGGCGGGUAUUGAACCCAAUGCCUUGCUGAGCUUAAAAGUAGUCCGAGCCAUUCGUCUCUCUCCUCUGGACCCAGAUCUGAUCCACUCUUGCGUUUUUCUGAUCUGUGUUUCCUGAUGUAUUCAGUUCUGUGGCGUUUUGGUUUGGUUUGUGGAGGCAGUGUUGCGAUGAUGAGAAUCUCAUUUGCUGAGAGCUCUGCUCGAUGAGCUUUGGAAACAAUCUUGCAUUGUUUCCUCCUGAGCGGUUACCUGAGCAACCCAAGAAUCCCCCACUCGCGAUUUUGCUUCCCUAUGGAUGAUUUACAAUUUCGGCGACUAAAGACAACAUGGAUGAGUAACAAUUUUGGCAACAAGAUACUAAUAACCCAAAUGAUUUAAUUUGCUAAAUACAAUGAAAUGCGGAGCCCAACCAAACGCAAACAUUGCAUCUCAUUUUAGAUUUUUAGUGCAGCAAACUAUUGGUACAAACAAUCCCCAAGUUAAAAUUAAAGAAUUAACUCGGCACAUUAUGCACAAUAUACAAUCAGCUGCAGCUGCACUUGGCGCUGUGAACGAGAAUAAUGAAUUUUGCAAUGGACCACGCUAGCUCUUUUAACAGCACCGGCACCAGGGUGAUCUCACGAUGCCUGAUCGUUGGUGGCCCUGCCGGCAAGCCCGUUUUGCUGCUCCAGGAAGCGCACGACCACGCAGGUGAUGUUGUCGGCGCUGCCGCGCUGGGAGGCCUCAGCCAGCAGCGUCUUGGCCGCCUGCUCCGAGUCCAGGAUCGGCUUCGCCAUGGCAACGGCUUCCUGACAACAAAGGAGUGAGGCGCCUGGAAGAAAGAACUGCAGAUGAUGAAUGAAUCGGUUUCGUUUUGUGAUUUGUUUGUUACCUCGUUGGUCACCACGUCCCAGAGGCCAUCGCUUGCAAGGAUGAGGAACUCGAGGGAGCUGUCCACCACCUCCUCCUGCACCAAACCGGCGAUCUUCCUAGUCAAAUCCCACGGGCCACGGCAUUUGCAGGUUUUCACACUGAGAUUGAAGAACAGACCUUGAUCUCUGGAUCAGCAACCACAUACUGCUUCAAGAGCUUGUCCCCAAAUGCUCGAGAAACAGCAAGGACGCCACCGACACGCCACGUUCCUGCAUAGUUUUUUUUUUAAAGUAAGGUUAAGGAUUUUUCAACCUCUGUUAUUCGGUUGUUUCAGUGGUGGCCUGUAACCAUGAAGACAUACCAGCCCACAUCACAAACCCUCCUGCUUCUUCUAUCCUUUGUCUCUCGUCUGUCUGGUCCGGCUUGUGGUCUCUCGAAACCGCUAUAGCUGCAUGAUUGAUCACCAAGAAUUUUAACGCAGGUCUUGUGGUUUCUUAGAAAUUCAGAACACAAAAAAUUCAACAGAAGCAGUCUAAGCUAACCAUUUAGCUGUACUUACUAAUCCUAGCAAACAUGGAGUAUUUGUGUUAAACAAAUUUGUCACAUGAAGGAGCUUCAGUUCUGCAGCAAGAUUAGCUGCAACAUCAAAGCUAGCUGGCUAGUUGCUGUUCUAAUUCAUUCAUCAUAUCAAGAAUGGUGGAAAAAGUGCAAAGGAAGCUGAGAUGUCCAAACACCGGCACCAAGAAAAUUUGACUUACCAUCCCCUCCUCUACAGAUGACUGCCCUGGAGUCCCCAACGUUUGCAACUAACAGGCGAUCGCCUACGAGGAUGGCCGUGGAAGCGGUUGACCCAGCAUCGCGGUGAUGGCUGGUAUCAGCUUUCAGAAGCUCCGAGUCCGUGUGCGUGUAAGUUUCCGCUGCAGGAGGAUAUCAUUCACAGGGGUUCAGGCUCCGUAGUUCAGGAGUGAAGUACUAUUUCUGUUCAAAGCUCGAGGAAUUGUAGUACCAAUAGCGGACUUGGUAUCACUGAAGAACUUUGGGUGCUUGAUUAAAUUCGUGAAAAGGUUUUGUUUCACAAACUCGGCUGCUCGAGCUCCACCAUGACCUGCAAAGGGGGGAUAAAAUUGGUUAACAAUCAAACAGUAUCCUGACCUUGUGUAAAGACAGUCAGUGACUUCAUCGGCUCUAGCAGCUGUAGAAAUUUGUGCCAGCAGUAAACCAGUCAUACAAUUGGUUGAUUGUAAUGUAAGACGUCGUCUACAGUCACACCACAACAUGUAAACUGAAACGCUUAUUGAAAUGUGAAACUUGCUUCCGGAACAACAGCGCCUUACCGUCAAAGACGCCGAACAGUCCAACUGUCUCUCCAUCAACACCGUCAACUCUUGUUUCAUGGAAGUCCUCCAUGGAGGAUCUUUUCCCAGGAGAGCUUGCAUACCCAUAGCUGAACUUGCCGUUUUCACUGCAUUUGUGUGAAAUAAAGAUGCACUGGAGAUCACCAGGGUUCACCAAUCAAAUGGACGCGUUAAUGUUAUGCAGCCUAAUCACAAUUCAGCAGUAAUUCGCCAGUGCCACAGCGAAGAAAUCUGGUAGAUUUACUAUGAUAAAAAAGAUUGGCCCUCAUAUGGCCACGCCUUCAUUCUGUUAACACAGAUAGCUCUGUCCACUGCAUAGAACAUAUAUUAACAUGGUAGCAAGAAACAGUUUGAAGAUGAAGACCACGUAACACUAUGCAUAAGCAUACACAUGGUGGGCGCAGAUUUCAUCGAAGAGAUAAGCAAGAACGUAACGAUGAUCGCACCUGAACCCUCCACCAGUGACGGGCGGCGAUCCUUUCUCGGCGAACCCCAUCACGGCCGGCGACGGCGACGGAUCCUCUCGGCACCACCAGGUCAAGGCGAGCACUGUGGCGGCGACGACACGACGAGGUCAGGAACACACAAACAAUUGCCCCCGGGAGCCUCUCUCAUGUACGCGUAAACAAAGGAAGGAGACAGAGCAGAUGGCCGGGGCUACAAGAACCGCAACGCGGGGCUCGUGCGCCUAUAAGCGGGGAGCGGACGAGCUCGAUGCGCGGUGGCGUGCGUGGCGUGGGGGCGAGGGGCGACGUGGCGGCAAGCCAGAGUGGGCUCGUGGACGGCCCCCGCUCCCGCCGCGCGCGCCCCCGCCGUCCGGCACGCCAUCCCCGGACCCCGCUCCCUUUUCUUGGCGCGUCUCGCCGUCGAGCGUGAUGGUGUUGGACACGUGGCUGUGGCGCGCUGCCUGGCUGCAUUUGGUUCGGCACGACGCGCGUCGCCUUGGGAUUGGAGAGCGAGGAGACGGCGGCGGCUCGUCGUGAGCGGGCACGUGGCGCGACCGCCGGUGACGGGGAAAGACACCUGAGCCGCCCCCCGGAAUGAUAGCGCCGGCGCGGAUUCCGUACACGUCAAGGUUGGUCAGCUUUUGGCUUUACACCCGUCUCAAUACAUAGUUUUAUGGUAUAGAUGAAACUUUUCUCAUCUGAUGAAACUCCUUCAUUUAAUGAUCCUAUCAAGUCAGUAAUUUUGCUUAUUAUGCGACACCUUAUUUAAUGUGCAUGACACUCAUGCAAGAAAGGAGACGUGCUGCAGCUGAGAAGCGGCUGUCUGUUCUUCUCUACUUAGCUUCAACUGUUGUGUCCACAAGUCGACGCACGCUUUGAUGUAGCCAAGUUUGAUGCCCCAUGCCGUGUACUCGUCACAUCAUAGUCGUCAUAAUCCAGGAUUGAGUUGAGCCACUAAGCAUACGAUUCUGCAUUUGCCUUUACUUGCCUCUUCAUCACUCGAAUCGGUUUGGUGGGAGAAGAUGUGAUUCGUGUCGCACUGUUUUCAGCAUGUUUGUUAUGCUGAGAGGUGAAUGAAUACACACACGUGAUUUGUGCAGUUUUUUUUUUAAAAAAAGAAGAAUUCAGUUCCUUUGAAAAUCUUCAUCAAAGCCCAGUUGCGGACCGCAGCUUCAGUCAAUACUUGGGCCCAACAAAUUCAGCAGGGCUGAGGAGUUUAUUUGGGCCGGACCGGACCAGGCCGGGCCGAGGCGGCAGCGCGACGCCCUGAAGUCAUCCGUGCAUCUCAAGCACGAGUCAUCGAUCGGUCCGACGCCAACACGUGCCGUACACGCCGGCGCGACAUCACCGCCUCCGAGCCGAACCGACCAUUGCCUCAUAAACAAACCUUUCCUUCGUAGUCCAAACCCACGCCUCGCUAGCUGCCAACAACGACCGGCAUCCGAUCGAUCGCCAUGGCCGCCGCCGCCGCCUCGUGCCGCUGCAGCAGCGUGGUGUUCGUGGGCAACAUCCCGUACCACGCCAGCGAGGACGAGCUCCGCGCCGCGUGCGAGGAGAUCGGACCCGUGGUGUCCCUCCGCGUGGCCACCGACAACAAGGGCGGCGGCAGCCGCCGGCCUCGGGGCUUCGCCUUCGUCGAGUACCUCGACGACGAGACGGCCCUCAGCGCCUGCCGCAACCUGCACGGCCGGGCCCUCCGCGGCCGCGACCUCCGCGUGGGCCUUGCGCAGCGCACGCCGCCGCCGGACGUCGACGAGGAGCCCGUGGGCGUCGAGGGCGCCACGCACGCCGCGUCGCUACUCCACGCACGCCCCCGCGGCGCCGUCACGUCGUACCUGGCCGGGCUGAGCCGCCGGCAGCUGCGCGAGCUGCUGGACGCUCUGGAGCGGGAGGACGCGGCGCUCAUGGAGCAUGCCAAGCGGGAGUUCGCCGGGCUGAGCACGUUGAUUGAGCAGGCGCGGGUGCUGCUCGACAUGGCUUCGGCGCCUCCUGGCGCCGCCGUGGCUAAGAACAGGAAACGCGGCGCGAGGGUGCAGGACCGGCCCGGUGAUUCACCGGAGUCGGCAACCCAGGCGCCGAAGCUGAGAAGGGUGCAGGACGGCGAGCACGUUCCUGGCGUCGCCGACCGCUGACGGGACUCAUUGAAUUGUUAUUGUUAUGGCUCCUUUUGCACGAAAAUACGGUAGUUGCAUUUUAGGUGCCUGAACUUUUAGGAAGUUUUAUACAAUCACCUAGUAUUUAAAAUGAUAACUUUCAAGAAAUAAUUCGUAAUUUUUAUCUUAGCCAAACAAUAAAAAGUUGCAUGUUAAUGAACAGCAAGAAAAAAAAUCGGGCAUCUAUAAAAUAUGGUAGAUGAGAUUAUCUAUAUAAGUUCACACCACGGAUUUGUAAGUUCACACCAUAAAAUUUGGUUCACACUCGUUAUUAGCUAGUGUGGAAUAAAAUAAAAUGAAUAAAAAAUUGAGCAUGGAAAGUCAAGGGAUGAGUUGGAGUUUUUUUUUUGACAAGGAUCAAAUCUUUAUUCUUGGCAGCAGGAGGCUGCAAUAAAUGGGAUUGGUUCCAGUUUGUCUCCGGUGAGUCUUUGUAUCUUGUAGGAGUUUUAGGUCUAGUUUCUCUUAAAAAAACUGAGUAAACUCUUGUUUUAUUAUUAUUUUUCUUCUUCUGAUAUAUAUCAUGAUAAAGUUUUUGUCAUCCUUUCUAAAAAAACGUCAAGGACCACAUAAAACAUGAUAUAAAUAGUCCCUUUUACAAUCUACUAAGAACAUCUCUAGUAACCUAUAUAAACAAUAUAUACUUCAUAUUUCAUGAGUAGAGUUUUGGAAGCCCAAACCGGUAUGGGUUAGGGAUGAACUUUAUUGGCAAGUAGAGAAGAAGUAAAUAGAUCUGGGGACACAACGUGCAAGCUGGUUAGGUUAGGGUUCCGACACCAAAGAAACUUUUCCCAAUCCUACACGGAGGUGGCUAGAGAGGGGAACAUGAGCGUGAGCCAAGAGCCCAAGACUGAUCCCACGUGUCAUCCACUCGUUAUUAGCCACCUAUUUUAAUAUUAUCUAUUUUUUCUUAUUUGCUCCAACAGUACUACCUAAAACAGACCCAAAACUAUCCUAGUAGAGAAUGACAUAUGGGAUCCACAUGUCUUCUUCUUCUUAUUCUUCUCCUUCCUUGCAUGCAUGGAGCCGAGCCAUCAGGGAGGGGGGGGGUAGGGACAAACGUCGGUGCGAGGGGCACGCCUGGGGAAGGCUGGUCUGUGCUAGGGAAGGGCGUGCUGCGCUAGGGAAGUCACAUGGGGAAGGGGUGGACAUCGACGCCCACAACCAACUAUGCCCCAUGGAAGGGUAAAACGCCGGCGGGGAGGGGCAGCCUAGGGAAGGCAGAUCUGCAGUAGGAACCGCUUGCUGCGAUGAAGAGAGCACCGUCGUUGGGGCUGGUGGCGCCAUCGUGACAAGACCGCUUGGGCUAGUCGCGCCGCUAAGAAGCUGCGGCACUAGGGCGCUUCACUGGGAAAGAAGCCGCAUCAUGGGAAACAUAUUUCGAUAGUCUAGAGUAAAGGGCCAACAUGAAUGGGUAAUGGGAGGGGGGAAAUAGGAGACCAACAAAUAUAGAAGGUAUAGUAGGAGGUUUACUGGAACUAUUUUUUACCUUCACUACCCAAAUUAAAAGUAUGGAGUCGAGUUGUCCUUAAUAUUGCUGAAUAUGAGAAAAGCUCAACCCCAAAACUAGUUGGGUUACUUGGGAAUCGGUGCUAUUACAAUUUCUGAGUUUUGAGAAAUACCAUUACUAUUCAUCUAUUUCGAAUCUUACUAUUAUAUAUUUUUUUUAAUUCUUAAGAUACACCAUGGUGUAUGCUUGGAAAGGACUUAGGCCCACCUAUAAACAUUGAUGGUGUCAUUGUAUUUUCAUAUGGACAAAAUUUCCCUUCCACCUUCCUCCCUCUAUAUGUCAUAGGCGUGUGAACCCCACCAGUUAUCUGCUUCCUCCACGUUAUCUUCUUUGUUUCAUUUCCAGUCACCUAGCAGCAGGGGCUUGCUCGCUCGCCCACGCGCUUGCUAGUAGUAGUGCAACAACGCUGUAGCAGCCAACCAACCCCACGGCGGAGCAAACAACCCUCACCGACAAUGGUGAGUCCUCCCUGUCCAGUGGCGCCAUAACAGCCCCAUGUCGAGCUCGGUAGUGGCUCGACUGGCCUAAUGCGGUAGCCCUCUUGCUCAUCGGCCAUGGUGUGACCGCUUGCUCGUAUGGUGAUGGCACAACAACAUGGACACAUGAGGCAGAAGAUGGCCCAACGCAGCAGCCCACCUGCACACUCGCUCGUGGUGGAGGCCAUGGCCAGCGGCGAGGCACAUCUAAGGGCUCAGGAUUGCACGUCAUGGAGGAGGAAAGCACCCUUGCUGCCAAGGACGGUGAACUAAGGGAGGAGGAAGGAGGGAGGAGCAGGCGGCCUUAUCGGCGAGUGCACAAGUGACGCCGACGGUCAAUAGGGAAGGAGAACCACCCUUUGGUUAGAGGAGGAGAGGAAGAGGAUGAUGAGUGGGACCUGCACUUCAUGGAGUACAAUGAGAGGAGUUAAUGGCAACAUCAUCCAACACAAAGAUAUGUGUGCCUUGUACGCUGUAAUUGGGCCCAACGCCUCCCAUCACGUAUAGUGUGGCGUUUUUCAAAGAGAUAAGAAUUGCAAUAUUGCUCUUUGUAACAGGUGAAUAGUAAUGAUGUUUUAAAAUUAUAAUGAUACUCCUAUAUCAAUAAAAAACCAAACUAGUUACUCCAUCCGGUUUCCUAAACAAAGUCAUUUUAGGCUUUGUUUAGUUCACCCCAAAAACCAAUUUUUUUUUUAAGAUUCUCCAUCACAUUUAAAUUUGUGGUACAUGCAUGGAGCACUAAAUAUAAAUAUAAAUAAAAACUAAUUACACAGUUUAUCUAUAAAUCACGAUAUAAACCUUUUAAGCUUAGUUACUCCAUAAUUGGAUAAUAUUUGUCAAAUAAAAACGAAAGUGCUACAGUUCCGAAACUAAAAAAAUUUCGGAACUACAAGGCCUUAGAUAGGACAUAGUCUUAAAGAUAAUUUUGACCGUUAUUUUUUGUGAUAAAAUAUUUAGUAAAUAUAUAUUUUUUAUGAAACUAUAUCUCAAAAUGAAUCUACUCAUAUCACUUUCGUAUUUUCAAAGACAGCCCCAAAAAAAUUAUUUAUAGUUAAAUUAAAGUUACCAAACCGGAGAGAGUAUCGAAGAAGCUAUGAUUUUGUUCUCCAACCAGAAAAUCCCACCCCAAUAUCUUGUCUGACAUAUGGAGCCAAUUUGUCAUUCACACCUCCUAACCUGCCCGCGACCUCCGACUCUCCGAGCGCCGCAUCCUCACCGCCGCCGCUCCUCUUCCUUCGUCGCCCUCCUCCGUCGCCACUCCCUCCCUUCCUACGCUCCUCCUCCCAUACUGCUCUUCCUCGGCUACCUCUUCUCCGCCGCCUGAACCUGAUCACCGUCUACUGCCUAGCGCUUCUUCUAACCUUGGCUCGACCGCCCGCCGCCUGAACUCGUCUCGCCCGCGGCCGAUCUCCUCCGUCGGCUUGCCGCCCCGCAACCCGGAGAGGAGAUUGCGCCCGGUCGAGCACCACCUGAGGCCCAGCGUCCUCGCGACCAGCUCCGGCGCGGCGUAAGCCCCCUUCAGCCCCGGUGUCCCAGCGACAGUCGCGGCUGUCCUACUUCGCCACUCGCCACCUUGGCCGGCGACGAGCACCACCAGGACACCAGGUAUUCCCUCCCCUUGGUCCUCCCUUUCUGCCGUGCGAAGCCGUGCGCCCAAACCUUAAAGUAAUUCGUAGGUAAAACCGUGCGCCCAAACCCUAACAUACUAUUUGUUAUCGGAUCUAAAUCUAAUUACAGGUGUAUAUGCAUAUAUUAUGACUACUAACUUUGAUUGCUUUGCAAAAAUUAUUUGGUGUACAUGUGUACACCCAUGCCCUUUACUCAGUCCGCCCCUGCCUUCAAUAGAUGCGCAAAAGUGCAAGCCAUGUACUGAGAUGGUUUACGCGAAUCCAAGAGGAAAAGCAAGCAUGUAACAGAACCUGAAACGUCAUUCGGAAAUAACGGACGAUGAAUGUCCGUUUUUCUCUGGACAUGCAGGAGAACUCUGCAUUAUUAUGUUAAGAAGAAAAGGAGUCUAAUUUUUUGGAUUACAGAAGAAACGGAAAAAAGGUGUCUAGAUGUAGUCAUAUGCUAAUCAGCGACCAAGAAAUGCGGGAAAGACUCGCCAAACGGACAAUAAUGCAAACCAGUGACCAAGAAAAAGAGACCAUCAUGGCCAUAUGCUAUGAGCCCCUUGGCUCCCGCCAUACACCACAACUUGGGCCUCAUCUCUAAUAACCCGCAUGAUGGCAUCAAGGUUAGGCGAAAAGCCCUUAAAAAGACAAACACACCCAUUUAUAUGUUUCCUAAUCCACCUUACUGCCAACAUGGCCAAUGAGUUGAAACUUUGUGGGCGUAUAAGGACAUUCCAAACAAGCAUCUCGAUGUCUUGAUAACGCCCUGGGAUUACAGCCACAGGGUCCGUUGGUCUAUGCUGCUGGCUCCUUGGCUUAUUGUGGACGUGGCCCUGGAAUUCAGGACGGCUGUUUCGGUCCCUUUGCAUGUUCUGCCAUGGUUGCGUGCCCGGCGCCUUGGGUUUCCUGUUUCUUGAGUUGAAGGGUGUGGGCUUGGAGGCGGCACGGUGGAUGCGAAGGGGCCUCUGCCCCACAAGUCGGGGCAGCCCAACUAUAAGAGAUUCUGACUCGGUUGCCAGCUGGAAUGCUCGAUCUUGUGAACCUGCUGUGGCUAUUGGAGAGGAGGAACGCAUGGCUAACAAUGUUGCCGGAGCCCUGUACCUUGAUCCUGGUAUCCCGAGUGUUGCCACAGUUGAUCUGGAUGGGUAUCAUGGGGUGCAACAUUGUCCACUGGGCCUAUGCCUGCUACUGAAUAAAUUGGAUCACAAGUAGGAUGCAUUUGACUGGAUAAGUAAUGUUAUUUGCAUAGCCUGCUGUUUUUUUUUUUGGGUAAGAAAACUAUAUAUAUAUAUAUAUAUAUUUGGCUGAACUUGGUUGAAAGACCUGUGUAAUUUCGUUGCUGCGGUAAUGAAAUUCGGUUUUACCGGUGUGGAAAAAAAAGAAAACUAUAUAUUUUUUAGAUAAAUAUUUCUUUUUUGUAAUUUUGUCACACAAAGUUUCUAAAUGAACUUCACAAGAAUCCUAGAAACUACUGAAAUGAGACAUGUUAGGUUAUUUUGUUCACAUUGCACUGUACAUGUCAAGCAAACUAAGGGAUGAAAUACUGGAACAAACAUUAGACAGCUUCAAGGGGCAAUAUUGAGCAGAAUAGUUAUCUUUAUAACAAAACUGUUGAUAAAAUGAUAAUUAAACUUGGAGGAUUUAGGCAUAGUAUAAUAUUCCGGUAUCUGUAAGUGUAUAGAACCAAAUGCUAUAUUUUUGUUAAAGAUUAUUGAGCUUUUGACUUAACCUAGGCCAUGAGUCUACUAGAAGAUACAGUUUGGAUGAAAUUGCAGUGUUUCAUUUUGUCUUUGAAUGCAUGAUAACAAUAAUCAUUGGGUUUCAGAUGUAAUUUUUCUGCUAUGUGAAAUCUAGAAACUGCCUCGAUCAAUUCAUUUCUAUUUAUCUUGUUAUAUGUUCUGCCCCAACACAUGGUUUUCUUGCACAUUAAUAAAGACUUAAAAAUUCCAGAACAGAGCACUAAGGGUGCUCAGAGAAGGAAAAAAAUGCUUUAGCUAUAUUUUGUUUAUUGUGAAUCAUGUCUGCUAAUGAGACCAAUUAAUUAACACUGUGUUUUUAAUCCAAAUCAUGUAACAGAUCAAACUCUAGAUCCUGCCACGUUGCCUUCCAGCAUCCUAUGACCACAUGGUUUAGACAGUGCCGAGGUGGAUGACUAAUUGUGGUGUGGAGGGCCUACUCAAUCACCACCACCACCCAACUAGGGGCAGGUGGCAUGCCUCUUGAAGACAGGUGAAUUACAUAAUACAUGUGCAUAUUUUAGUUCCUUUGAACACUAUAAGCUCCUGUACCUCUUUAAGGUCUAAGCCAAAUAAGUGCUCUUAACACUCUACAUCACCAUGCACAGGCACUGGUUGGAAACGGAUUUUGUUGGCGCUCCUAGAGUUCAAAGUUCAUACUUAUGUACUUUCCUUUCUCAAAUCAUAACAAAUCUUAGGCAGUUCAAGCUUAGCUGAAUGUCAACUUGCCUCCACGUGCAAGAUCCCAGAAACAUUGCUAUGUCUCGUCCGGUAAGUACAAAUGAAUAAUUAUUUUCUGUGGUUUGCGAGGUCUUCCUAGCAGUAGUUUACUGAAAAUGAAACAGCUGUAUACUGUACAGUCUUCUGCACCUUUUGUCUUUCUAUGCUUUCUGCUUGUUUAGUUGCUGCAUCUUAUUUGACUUCUUGCUGCAAGGAAAAAUGAAACUAUGUGCUCCAUGUUAUUACAUUUACUUCUAAAGAAUAGUUACCUUAUGAUAAAUUUGUAAAAAAAUACAUUAGGUAUAGUUUUGCGCAGCCUGGUACUUGAGAGAGGUUAUAUUAUGUGAUGUAGGUACCCAAAAGUUUAUAUUCAAAUCCUAAUGAGGGAACUACAAUGAGUUUACCUUGUUGGACUCUACCUGAUUAAUAAAGGUAUAACAAAAUCAUGGAGCAAUGAAUUAGCACUAGCAAUAUAGGCAUACUACAACCUUUACCCAACUUUCCUGUUUUGUAAAACAAAAUAAUCAGGUAGGCAAUCAUUUUCAUAGGCUGAUAGACGAUUACAGCAUGAUUACCAUGAAAUAAAUUUCAUUUUUACUGAGUGACUUCCGACAAUUUCUUCGUAAUAUAUUGACAUGCAGAUCUCCUGCAUAUUCAAGAAAAAAAGUGACUUCCGACAAUUAUCUAACUCCUGUGAUGUAAGAUGAGCCAUUUUUAAACCAAUGAUAUGGCCAUUGGGCGAUUCAGCUUAUGAUCAUAAUACUAAGAAAUAUAUAAUCUAUCUGCAAAAAGUUAUUUCACACUGCAAGCAUUAAAGAAGUCAUAAGGGAAUUCCUUAUCUACAACCAUACAGUUUAUGAAUGAUCUUUUAUUUGGAUACAUUGCAAGCUGCAAAUUACAAUGCACAAAACCUAGCACAGGAAAAGAGCCGUGAAGAUCUGUUGCACGUCUAUCCAUGAUGCAACUAUGUACCAAACAAAAUUCACUCAAGUAUGUUUAGCUGUUGAAGUUACAUUACAUGAUAUCUUACUAUUCUAAUCUAACUAAAAUAAUACUGUGAUUUUGCUCUCAUAUGAUUAGCAUCGGUGCACAUUUCACAUAUGUUCAAAAGUGAUGUAAUUUUGUCUAAUAUUUUUGUAUUUUCAAUUUAAGAAACCAUAAUGCAUGUGCGACAAAAAAUCGAUAUUAAUUAAUUGAAGGUAUCUGUAGGAUCUUUGCAUUUCUUGAGGUUCGAAAAUUGAAGGUGCUCAUCUGUUGGUCUAUGAUGUUCUAUCUGCACUGGAAUUACUAUUAUAUAUUUUUUAUACAGUGUUUGUUUUCAGUUUAUAGUUGUGCUGCACCAGCAUCUUAUGUUUCCUUUCUGGCAGCUCGAUUUCGCUGUGCUUAAAUACAAAAAUCAAAAGCUUGCGGAACAACUGGAAGUCCACAAAUUUGAGUUCCGUGCUCUUGAGAGUAGAUUUAAUGAUUUAAAAGAGAAACAGAAGACACAUAAUGAGACACUUGUCCUAGUCAAAAGUUAUUGGGAGCGAGUAAGUUGUUCAAAUCUUCCCCAUGUUACUGUAACAUAUAUAUACAUCAUAGGCUUUCUGCUGAAAUUCCCUGAUCCAAACAGCUCGUAGCAGAUCUGGGUAUAGUUCCUGUUAGCAAAAGUGAAUCUUCACAUUCAAGCUGCAGUACAGGGAACAACAAUAUACGGAAGGGUAUGGAAUUAUACUUUAUGCAUUACGAAUAUAUUGAAUACUGCAUUGUUCUAGAAUCAUACAUGGAAGGAUUCUAUGAUGUCGCUGGCUGCUGGUUGCUUAUACUUCUUUCUACUAAUGGAGCGAAGUAGUAGUAUUUUGAAACAUUUUCUAUUUGAGGUGUUUGUAGUUCUCUGCUCUUUUGAAAAUAAAUUUAUGACAAGAGAUUUACAUGCAUGUCUCCAGAACUAGCUGUUACCAAUUGAUGAUUGUUAACAGAUAAAUUAUUUAUUUGAAUAGCUGGCUACUGUAUAGCUUCUGCUGAUUUAUAUUGUCUACUUUAGAUGUGUCUUAUUUCUAAGUUUUGUCCUUCAUAUACAUGCACAUCUUAUUUGUCGGAUGGUAUAUGCUUUUGCCUAGAAACAGACUUUUUAAAUGGACUUUUGGAGGCUGGUGCCACAGAAAGUUCAGGUUCUCCCAAUUGCCAACUAGGAAACGACGUCUCUUCAGAACAAUCAACAACAAUUGAUAUUCUGCAGAAACUAUUCCUUCCAUCAAAUGGUCCAUGGCAUGUGAAUAACGAGUUUGUUUCUGCUGCUCUCACGAAGUUGCCAGAAAAUGGUUUGUUCUGCUCCAUAUUUUCUGUUGUAGAAUAGCUUUCAUGUGUCAUUUAAGGUAUGCUAAAAUUUUCCUUAAUUUGCUCAUGUUCUCUAGAACACAGCAGGCAAUUGCACAGUGCUACCAGCGAUGUGUUAUCCAAGCUUCAUGUGGUGAUGUGUGCGGUGGAUAAUCUUCACUUGAAACACAGGCAGUUAGCAGGGAACUAUCAAAAACAAAGAGAUUUGAAUGCCUGGAACAGAGCUGAACAGAAACGUCUGAAAGGUAUUUUGUAUUUAUUUUGUGGACGGUAUUUUUGAGGGGGUUCCAUCUCUAAUUGUAUCUGUGUUCAUUUUUUUUUGCACAAGAUCAUCAAACAAGUUAAUACUAAUCUCAGUUAAAAUGAUGAAUGUCUUGUGGCAAUAAGUUCAUUAUGUUGUGAAACUGUAAAUCUAUUGUUUCUUGCCGUGGCACUGCCAACACAUGGCAUACCGAUACUUUGUUUUCUUCUAUUAUGUGUACCUAGCUGUCGUGUAAUGGUAAACUAACCCAGUAUUUAUGUACUUUUCAAGAGGAGUUGACUAGUGUUGUUGCCAAGUUGGAAGGAAGCAAACAAAAACUGGCAGUACUGAAAGCACAGGGAGACAAUAAGCAAGCAACACCGAUCCUUGUUCCUACACUGGGAAACAAAAAUAUGACUGCAGAAAAGGUGAGAGAUAAACGAACAGAAUUGCAAGAUCUUGAAGCUACCCACAAGGAGUUAAUGGUAAUAUCAAGUUCUUAUUUUUAGAGCUCCAAACUAUUGGCUAGAAUGCUAGAUGUGUAUGGAUUUUAAGCUUGCACACUAAUAUGAGCAGGAAUUGACCUCGAAGCGUCUGGAGGAAAUUAGAAGACUGCAUACAGAGAGAAUUGAAAUUUUGAACAAGUUAGCAGCUUUUCAGGUUCGUUGAACCAAAUAUACACGAUCAACCCAGAACACAUUGCUUCAUAGUUUUGGACUCCCAUACCUAAUUUUUAUUGAGUGGUUGAAGGUUAGACUUUGUAAUGUCAAACUUAAUAUGUCCUUUUCAACCUUGUUUCGUUGCUCCCAGAAUAUACUGAUGGAUUUCAAAAGCAUUCGCUCUUCCAAAGCUUUUCAACUUGUCAAUGACCAACUUCAGAAGUCACAAGCAGAACUUGAUGAUCAGCAAACAUUGUUAGAGAAAUUACAGGUGGUUACUGGUCAGUGCAUUUGCACGUCUAUAUAGCAGAUUUGUUUCCCAAGAUCUGAUCAUUGGUUAAACUUCUAUUUUCCUUGUUUCAGGUUGAGAUGGAUACCUUUGUUUGGAGAGAGAGGCAAUUUAAUCAAAAAGUUGAUUUGGCUGAAAUCCCCCAGAAGGUUUCUGCAUACUGUGUAUCUAGAAUUGCUGAUCUUGAAAAGGAUGUGCAGAAACUAUGUAAUGAAAAGAAUAUGCUUGUGCUGAAACUUGAAGAGGCUUCGAGAGAACCUGGUGCUGUAAUCACAACACAGCAAGUUUGAAAUAUUUUUCUAUCGGGUCACUGUUCAAAGCUGGAAAUAAUAUUCUUUUUUUUAUCUAUCAGGUCGGAACCAGGUUAUCUCAGAAUUUAAAGCUCUUGUGUCAUCACUACCGAGGGAAAUGGGUGCUGUGCAAAGUGAACUAUCCAAACACAAGGAUGCUUCGUUGCAGUUGCAUUCCUUGCGAGCAGAAGUUCAUUCACUUUGUAGUACCCGAACCAGAAAGGUAAGUUCCAUUUUGUUAGUUUACACGGUCAGUGUGCAAGUGGAGUUGAUUUGCUGAUACGUCAUUUUUUUACAUUUUGUUUUUUAGGAACAAGAAAUUGAAGAAGCAUCAUGUAGAUCUGCCCAUGCUGGAUCUGAUAUAAGCCAACUUCAAUCUCUGGUAAGCAUCUUCCUUUUGGAUUUUCUUUGUACCUUGAAAACUUUAAAUAUUUUCUGUACUGGUUACAAAGGUGCAAUGCACACCUACUGCAUGAUUUGUUCAUGCCAUUGUUUAUUUAUAUUAACAUAUUUUACAUAUCGUAGGUCCGUGAGUUGAGGGAAAAUACUCAGGAGCUUAAGCUAUUUGUGGAGUUGUAUAAGCAUGAGUCCACUGAUUCCAGGUAGGUUCAUCUUAUGUCGGAUUCAAAUUGUGGAAUAACUUCUAAGGGUGACAUUUUUGGGGGUGGGGUGCAUGCUACUUGUUUAUGGCAUGAUAUAUCUUGUAGCUCAUCCUUAGUCCCGUUGUCCUGUGUCUAUCAUGCUAGCUAUUGCAGUUCUUUCUUUCUUUUUCUUUCUUUUUCGUAAUUUUACUCCUAUUUUAGUGAUGAAAAUACUUACUGAGCAUUUCAACUUGGCUACUCUCCAGUUCAUUUAUUUCAUGGGUACGAGUUUCUGCUAUAUUCACAUGUCUUACUCUCUUGUGGCAGACAGCUGAUGGAAUCGAGAGAGAGGGAACUCGCUGAAUGGGCUCGAGUCCACGUUCUCAAAUAUUCUCUUAAUGAAAGUAAAUUAGAGCAGCGUGUAAUUGCAGCCAAUGAAGCUGAAGCAAUCUCUCAGCAGAGAUUGGCAACUGCUGAAGCGGAGAUUGCUGAAUUAGGGCAGAAGCUAGAAACUUCUAGGAGGUAUUCAUGCAUCUAUUCACUCUUACUGCUAUCAUUUAGAAUUUAGAAACACAAUCAGAAAAGACAAUUUAUCUCCACUUUUUUAUACUGGGUGGGUUCAAGACUGAAAUAGUACAGGAGGCAUAUUUUCUUUUAUACAAUUUUCAAGUAAAGUGAUAUCAAGUGCUGGGUUUCUAUGGCUCAGAGAUCUAGUGAAACAAUCUGAUAUACUGAAGUCUAAACAUGAAGAAUGUGAAGCAUACGUGGUGGAGAUCGAGGUGUGGACAAUCUUCCAUAAUACCUUUCGACCAUGGUUGUCAAUACUAUAUUUUCAGGCCUCAAAAUUUUAUUUUCUACUACAGAGCAUUGGCCAUGCCUAUGAAGACAUAAUGUCACAAAAUCAACAAUUGCUACAGCAGAUUAUUGAAAGAGAUGAUCAUAAUACCAAGGUGAUAAUUCGAAGAACCAAUUUAAGCAAUUAUUUUUUGUUGAUUUGUUCUCUCCGUGUUAUUAUUUAUGACUCCUGUAUAUUUUUACUUUAAUUCUUUACUCCUUAAGAAGAGGUUCUGUUUUCCCCAUCAAAUCUCUUUGUGUGAAAUAUUUUUUCAUUGCUACUCUGACUAAUGCAUCCAUUUUAUUUUUGCUGCAUCAAUGCACAUCCCUAUUGCCUAUGGCUAUGCUACUAUCCAAUUCAAUUCUUAUCCUCCUAAACACAGGCGAGAGGAACAAUUUAGAAGAUGGUUUGGCGGAAUGAGAUGAGUAGAGGGAUAUUAAGGACAAGGGAUCACCAUGGCUAGGGACAUCUGGUGGGGAUGGAGGGUCACCAGUUUUCUGGGCUGACUAGUGUGUCUGGGUGGCCGAAGAGACUUGGUUUGCGGGUUACCUCUGGUUCCUAGGACUAAGGAUCAUGCAGGCCAUCUGGCUGAGCCAUUUAUGUCUGUUGUCCAUAGUAUCUGUCCAAAGCGAGGCCAUGUUGCACCCCCCACCCACCCACAAACACACCCCACCACCACCACCACCAACUUCUGGUGUCUCAACUGCGCCGUGCCAUGGUUGAUGCACCACCUUGUACAAAGAUGCCACCUUGGUGGCUUGGCAUCCUGCCAGAGAGUCCGUGCAUUCAUUAUGCCAUACAGUGUUUUUGAAUUUCUAGGGGUGCUUCUUGACACAGCCUUUUGAAUUUAGAUUUUGCUGCAUAUUCAGGCAUGGCGUUGAGAUUUUCAGUUUUUUUUUUUAAAGUGUGAUAUUGUAGCUUAGGAUCAGUGGUUAAGGAGUUUCUUAUAUUUGGUGCCCUAAAAUAAGCAAAAGGAGGAAUGUAUGACAUGGAAGCCAUAGGAAGGAUUACUGCCAGACCAUUAAGAUGUGAGAGCAUGCUCUGAGCAUGCCGAUCAAAUAAAAAAAGGGUUAUAUAUUAAAACAAGUAUAUGAAGCAUAAUGGAAUCCAGAGUUGCAGUGUUUCAACUUUUCCUGACUGUAGGACUAGAUAUUUCUGACAGCUGUUAUUUCAGACCAAACUAGGAAUCGGAGCUUAAUACUGAGUACAUGAGUGGUGAGUCUUUAAGCCCUGGUGAAUAAUUAUCAAACCAAGGUGGUUUCCUGGAUUUGUAAUAACUGCUAUGGAGAUAGUUUCUUGGCCAAAGGAAUUUGGCAACCUGUGUUGAUUUGAAGUUGAAUGCUCCCUACGUUCCAAAAUGUUGCUUGUUUUAGUUUUGUCCUAUUUCAGACUUUUUUUUUUGUCUAAGUUCAUAGGAAAAUGUAUUAACAUCUAGUACAUAUACCAAAUAAAUGCAUGAUCAUUCAUGGUCUAUCUAAUGAAACUAAUUUGAUUUUGUAGAUGUUGAUGUGUUUUUCUGUUGCCUUGGUCAAAGUUAGGAAAUUUGACUCAAUACAAAAUAAAAACGACCUACAUUUUUAAUGAAGUAAUGGAAAAGGUUGACUUCCUGAAAAUGGGCAUGUUAUUUUGCAUUUUGAUUUUACAGAUUGCAUUGUGUAAAGCAAAAAGAGUGUGUUGUACCCAUGCUGGUUCUUUUUUUAUUGAAUGCACAGGAGAACUGUUAGCCAUUGUAUUCAAGUAGGAGUAAAAGCCAACAUCUUCUAUACUUCCCUUUGCUUUCUCUUAUUUUACCUUUUUGUAACUUGUGCUAGUCAUCUUGUACUUAGUGUUACCAAUGGCUCUGAGAAAACUAAUAUGGAUUAUUGCUUAGUUUUUUUCUUCUUCCAAAUAACCUGUUUAGGAUGUCUUAGCAUACUGCAAUGAUAUGCUUAGGGCAUUAUAGUUGAGUUAAUUUUGUUGUGAUCAUGAAUUGAGUGUGAUUUUGUUGGGGUUUCACUGGUAGUGAAGCUUGGUUACUUAUGUGAACUGAAGUUAGACGUAGGCUGUUUUGAAUGAUGUAUGGAACUGUAAGGAUCAUACCAUUUUUCAGUGGAUGUUGACGUAGUAUCUUAGUUACCUAAUUGCUACUGCAGCUUUUCAUGGAGGGUGUUAAAGCAAAACAGUCACACGAUGCUUUGCAUUUGGAAAUGUGCUCGUUGCAAAGAAAUUUGCAGCAUGCAAGUACUUUGAUGGAUCUGUGCAACCAGAAAAUUAUCCGCCUAGAGGACCAGGUUGGUGGCACAUUCAUACUGAAGAGCUAUACUAUUCUUGCUGGAGAUCUGAAUAUUUAAAAUUAUGAAUUUCUAGCUAAGAGGUUGGUCAGAACGGUUGAGGAGACUGUCAGAGGAUGGAAUGCAGCAGUCUAUGUCAUUGGGCAAUUCUCAAAGAAAGCUGGCUGGUAUGCAUGGAGAAGCUCCAAAGCUCAGGCAGUCGAUGGAUGUUCUACAAGCGAAGGUUGGGAGCAAUCGGCUGGAAGUUGCUGAGCUGCUUAUAGAACUAGAGAAGGAGAGGUGGUUUAUACACAUUUCCUUUUUAUUUUAGCAAUUGGUUUCUUAAUGUUUGGUCUAACAAGAUCAGUUUUUCUCCAGGUUUAGUAAAAAGAGAAUAGAGGAUGAUUUGGAUCUAAUGUCAAGUAAAGCUAAUUCUCUAAGAGAGAAGACAGAUAAUUCAGCAGUCCUUCAAAAACUUCUCCACGAGGCCAAGGAGUACAGGGGAAUACUAAAGUGUGGUAUUUGUCAUGAUAGACAGAAAGAGGUAGUGAUCUUUAGUUGUUCCUGGGGUACUGACAAUAGAAAUGAAUAUUUAAUCGAAUGAUGAUUUUUCUGUUUGUAGGUUGUGAUUGCCAAAUGCUACCAUCUCUUCUGCAAUCAGUGCAUACAGAAGUCACUUGGUAGCCGUCAGAAGAGGUGUCCAUCUUGUGGACUAAGCUUCGGUGUUAACGAUGUGAAACCUAUCUAUAUAUGAAACAGAAGGUUGGCACCUGUGUCGCACGCACCAAAACUGCUUGGUGCUUACUGAGCUCUGGUAUAUGGUAGGCGGGCCAUGGUGGUUCAGUUGGUGAUGUAGCAUAAGCUUCUGUAGUUUGUACAACCACAAACAUGUAAGACGCCACAUGUGAUUGCUGGUACCCACUGGCAUAUAUGGAUGCUGGUGUAGUGGUGUUACCGCAAACGCCUUUUGUAAAGUCUGCUUCCCUAGCCCGAUCUGGUAGAAUAGCCUGACCUCGUCAAACCAUUAGUUCUUUUUAGGAGAAAAGAUCCAACAAAUGAGGAUUGAUGCUUCCCGCAAUAGCGAGCAAUGUAUAAUAUAUUCAUUGCUGUAGCUGACAGUAAGAAUGUAGUUUUCUCUUUUUGGAAUAUACUGGUUAUCCAGUCUGUAUGUUUGCCAACAGUGAGAUUACGUUUAUUUAGAAAAAAAAAAGUGAGAUUCUAGUUUCAUGCAUUGCUUCUGUGUGGACUUCAAUCAGAAGAGAAACAUUGAUCUUCACUGUUUUGUGUUUUUUAUUAGGCUUUUGGGCUUGCCGCCACGGUCACGUAAAGGUCUGUACUUAAUCCUAAAAGAGUUAGAUCUUGUUUGGUUGAGGAGGUGAAAAGUUUUUGGAUAUUGUCGCAUUUUGUUCUUAUCUGGUAAUUAUUAUUAUCUAAUUAUGGACUAACUAGGUUUUAAAAGAUUGGUCUCAUAAAUUACAAGCAAACUGUGCAAUUAGUUAUAUUUUUUAAUCCACAUUUAAUGUUUUAUAUAUAUGUUAUAAGAUUUGAUGUGACGAAAAAUCUUAAAAAGUUUUGGUUCUGGGGUGAACUAAACAAGGCCUUAUUACAAAGAGUGAGUUGAUGUGCUCUCUCUCCUCUCUCUCUUCGUGCAUUGUCUUUGUUGAUUUGGUUUGAGAAUGAAUCUCUCACAACGCUGCAUUGUCCGAAUCUCUCAAAUCUAAGACAUUGUUUUGGUAUGAUAAAAUUUCGCCUCACCUUCGUCCCCGCCUAUGCGAAUACAGGCCCGCAACACUUCCGCACGCUCGCUCGCUCGCUGGCUUUUCGGUGUGCGUACAAUCUCCUCCAAUCAUGCUCCUCCGGCGUGUGUGCAAUCUCCUCCAAUCAUUGUCUCCUCCAAUUACGUACCCGCAACACUUCCGCACACAGGCCGGCUGGCUUCUCAGUGCGCGUACAAUCUCCUCCAAUCACGCUCCCUCGGCGUGCGUGCAAUCUCCUCAAAUCAUUGUCUCCUCCAAUUACGUACACAAGAACACGUACUUGGGGUACAAAGGAAGCAGAGAUCUCUAGCAUCCAUGCCGUUGUCGAGGGAGGGAUGAUGAGGAUCUUAUCCUUGCCCCGCGCAUGCCCUAUACUCUUCACACCGCCAACAAGAGGCCACCGCAACCCAUGACGCUUCACGCUUACGACUAUUGACUCCGCGCAGCCGCUCGCCUGCCCCAUUGCGAGCGGCGACCCGCGAGGUCCCAGCCCCAAUGGAAUGGCGGUGGCUUCCUUGCCCCGAAGCCCUACGGCCAUCAUUGGACCCUGCCCUAGUGGCUAGGGCGUCCUCUGCCUGGUGGCCCCACCACCCUAGCCUUGGCGCCCCCGCUCCCAAGCUCCCAGCUCGACUGCCCCGUCCCAGCGACUGGCGUCCUGAACAUCCACAACCCAGCGCCUAGUGAGCAGCUCCCCUCUGGUUCUCCCCUGUAUUAUCUUCCUGUUAGCAAGUUUUUUCUAGAUUCCUAACCUUAGCUUUUCUUUAUAUUAUACACUUUCAUAUGUUAUACGCUUUCAUAUGUGUAUGUCACUAGUCAUAUGUAUUACUAUUAUAUUAUACAUUAUAUUAUACGCUUUCAUACUGUUCUUGUUGUAGUGAUGCUAACAUAUGUCUGGAUUCACACAAUGUUUGAUGGGAUGCAGUUUUUUUUGUUAACUUGAUGGAACACAGUUAGGUGGGCAGAGUUAUGGCCAAAAAAUGUAGAGGUUUUUUCUUUUUCUACCAUUUGCACAUUUGUGAAAAAUAUGAGGUGUUACAAUCACCUUUGACCUUUCAUGUGAUCUUUGAUACCAAUAUAUUUCUUCUUGUUCCCAACUUUUAACAUUUUCAAUCCACAAGUUUUUUUGUCUGUUUGAUCAACACAUAAGGCCUCGGAUAUGCCGGCACACAUUAAAAAUAUUAAACAUAAACUAAUCAAAAAACAAAUUACAUAGCUUGCUUGGAAACUACGAGACAAAUUUGUUAAACCUAAUUAAUUUAUCAUUAGCACAUGUUGGUUAUUAUAGCAAUUUUGACUAAUUAUGGACUAAUUAGAUUUAAAAGAUUCGUCUCGCGAUUUAGAACCAAAUUAUACAAUCAGUUUUUUUAUCUAAAUUUAAUACUCCAUAUGCAUGUGUCGAAAGAUUCGAUGAAAUGAAUGAAAAAUUUUUAGGUGAAAAAAACAAGGCCUAAACCAACUUCCUCAAUAGAUUCCAAUACACCCAAUUCACUUUGGUAAUCUUUUUUUUCUCAUUUCUCCUUGCAAGUUAAAACCCUAGCCUUUAAAAAAUUGUUUGAAUAACUUUAGCUUUUGCUAAAUUCUAUCAGUUGUAGUAAAUUAGUCUUGCAAGGCUUGCACCAAAUCUUUUCAAGAGUGCUUGCACCAAAUCUUCUCAACAAGAGUAAAAAACUCGAAGAUUUUUAAGGUAAAAACAUACUGCUACUAAUUCUAUGCCUGUUGUAGAGGCAUCAACUCUUUGCUACUGAUUUUACGCCUGUUGUAGAGGAUCAGAUGCUCAUACGCCUGUUGUAGAGAUCUUCCUCGACAUUACGCCUGUCGAGAUCCUCCUCACGCUGAAGCUCCAUAAGUUCGCCACUCAUCUCUUUGAUGGAAUUCCUCAACCAAUCCAUCUGCACGUGGUGGGGCCUCCCUCUCCUUAGCCUCCCUCUCAUGGGCCUCCUUCUCCUGGUGGCGGACCGCUGGUUGGGCCGCCUGGCCACGACUAGUGCGUAGGAACUUCGGCAACUCUGCCUCCUGCGCUACACGACUGGCCUCCUGGUCCUCCAGGUGACCGGCCUCCUACGUAGCACGAUGGACCUCCUAUGCCGCUUUAUGGGCCUCCUACGCAGCACGACGGGCUCCUUGGUAGCGCAGGAAAGCCUCCUGCUCCGCUACCUCCUCUCGGCGAUGAGAGCCCUCCAACUCUGCCUUCUAGAGACGGGUUGCCUUCGCCACGCGAUGGGCAUCCUCCUCUGCUAGGCGACGGGCAUCCUCCUCUGUCUUGAGGCGUGCCUUCUCCUCCGCUUGAGCGUUCAUAUCCAUGUGCUGGAGGGCUGAGUCGCGACAAGGAGGUAGACACACCGCCUUGGCGAUGAAAUCAUCGAGAUUCUUGACGGGGGGCAGGGGGCGGGAGCCCAACCCAUAGAUGUGGACCACCUGCUCCACGAUGUCGUUGUGUCCCAAUAGUAGGUCCUCAUGAGUCACGGCCAACCUCUGCUUCAAUGGAGACUCAGUCUUCAUCGAGGACCCGCCGUCAUCACAGAAUCUGGUGAGUAAAUCAUCGACCUGCUCGUAGAGGUUCGCUCUACACGCCAUCCUUUCAAAACCCUCAAUCAGAUUCUUCAUCUCCGAUAAAAAUGGCUAUGUUAUCAUCUUCUUCCCUUGGUUUGGAAUCUACAUACACAAGCUUGUAUGUUCAUAUAUUGUGCUUGUGUUGUUGCUCAUGUAUAACUAGCUUGCUUGUGUAGCAUGAUAGUAGGUCUCUUGAGUAACUAGUUGUUUUGUGUAGCGUUGCUACUUACAUUGCUUAGUUUGUGUAGCUAAGUUAUUGUUGAGGUCUCUAGUUUGGCUUGUGUAGCCAUGCUAUUGAGUAGUGCGAGCUUAGGCUUUAUGUGCUUUGCAUGCUAGCAUGUGUAGAGAUCUCCCGUUGUUUGAAUAUUAGUUGCAUAGGUUUGUGUGACCUUACAAACUAGAAUUGUUUAGGUGAGAUUUACCUAGUCUGGCACGUUAGUUUCCCAAUUAGGAUCCUUUGUAAGGUGCUUCAAAACAUAGAUAGAGGAGUGUAAUCUUAGCUACUCCGACUAGUUUAAAUCUAUAUUUGUUUCGGUUAGUUGAUGUAAUUAAUUUUAGAAAAGACUAUUCACCCCUUCUCUAGUCCGCCAUAUCGACCUAUUGUCCUCUUAUAUGUGAAGCACAAUGGCUAGUCCUAAGCAGAUGAAAACCUAAAAAACUACCAAGUGGAAGUGAUGGCUUGCUUGGGGUAGCCCUCUUAUUUAUAGAGCUAUCACAAAUUUCGAAGCCUACCCUUAGAUAUUUUGCCUGAACCACUUGCUUUAAGUCCUGAGCUCCUAAGUGAUUGGUAGAAUCACCUAAGCGGGUUAGUUAUGUUGUAAAGGUGUUUAGUGUAGGACUCGUAUAACCUCAGUCUUACUCAACAGGUAGGUAUCUAGUAAGCACACUCAUGGGUGUAGCCCCCAAGCCCUUGAUUGCUUACUAGAAUCAAUGAGGGGGUUAAUCUUAACAUGAAGGUGUUCUGUAAAGGGUUUACGCAACCCUGGUGUUAGGUAUUAAUCAAUAAUGUAAUAAAUUUCAUAAGUAAAAAAAAAGAAACACAACAUCAUACUGUCCGUUGCUGUUGAUGGUGGUCAGGUCACAGACUUAUUAUCCUGAGCACAUACUUUCUUAUGGGUGCGGAAAGGCUCAUUACUCUCUUGUCGUGGGUUCCGGCUCUUUCUAGACCGAUUGAUUAGAGGCGGGGACAGGUAGAGGUCUAAGCACCGUAGUAAGGUCGGGCCUUAUGUGCGGGGGCUUAGGGUCCAAGUUUAGAUAAGGACCUGGAUGCCUCAACGGGAGUGGAGUGGCUUGGUCUUGCUUGUACCUGAGGUGCAAGCGAGGCGUGUAUUUCGGGGUACCUAGCUGGGAUACAUUAGUUUGCGAAUCACCGUUGUUAUUAACGGUCCGACUUGGUUAUUGUCUAGUACCAUAGUAAGAAUGUGAAACUGUGAAAGUUGAUAAAAUGGUUCUGUUUGCUCAACUCUUGCUUGAAUGUAGAACAUGUGCUUAUCUAUAAUGGUUAGCUAAUGAAGUAAAACUGAUGGCUAAAUAAAAUAAACUUUAAGGAUGAACUCUUAGCAAUACUUUUUGCAAAAUAAAUAGCAUACCAGCCAUAAAUCCUUUCAUAAUCUUUGAGAGUCGGAAAUAUAUCCCUUCAGGUAAGUCUUGUGAUUAUAUUUUGUACUUAGGGUUUAUUUUUUUACCCUGUUGCAGGUGCAGCUUGAGGAGUUAUCUCUGUGUGGAGGAUUCCGCUGGUUGGCACAACUGGAUGUCUUUAUAUCGUCAUCGUAGAUUUAUUUCCGCUAUUUUAUUUAUGCAAUCUGAAUCUUGGUAUUGUAAUAAAUAAAUUUCGAGACUUAUUGUUUCUAUGAAAUGGAUUAAGUAUUGUAAGCUCUACUCGUUAUAGUAUUCUGGAUAUAAACGUGAAUUGUUUCGAGUUCUUCCGUUAGGUGUGCAGGUAUGCUCAACAGAGCUGACUAGAUGUGGCAGAACCACCUAAUUAUAUGGCCCACAUGCACUUGACAUUGUCCUUAAGACCUCUGACUACUGUACAUGAGAGUCAUAUAACUUGGAUAGUCUGUCGGGUGCCCUCGGAGGACCCCGAAUCAUCCACAUUUUAACUCGUACAGGAUCAACAUGGAGUUACCACAACAUUACAACAUUUGUUACAAAAAUAACUUACAUCAGAGUGCGGAAGAUUUAUAACUUAAUUUACAACAUAUGAUGAAAUACAAACUUAACUAAAUUUCCAAAAGGUGUAUAGAGUAGCGGAAGCAUCUUAGGUGAAGCUUCUAAGGUAGAAGAGGUGGAUAAAUCAUGUCGCGCCCACCGACAUGACCUCCAUUAGCAGACUAAGUCAGCACCUGCAACAGGGGUUAUAAAACCCUGAGUACAAAAGUACUCAACAAGACUUAACCGACUAAAAAAAAGAGGUGAAGACUCAGGUAUGCAGGCUAUAGGGAUUCAAGGUAAAGCUUUAUCAAGAUAAAGCAUUUCUUUUGCAUAAAAGCUUACUAAGAUUAAACCUACUUUCAAGUUUUUAACUCAAGGUUAUCAUUUAUGACUAACCAAAACUAUUAUCAAACUUGCAUAAGCAUACCACAUCUUUCUUAUACCAAAGAUUCACUUGUUACUACGAUGAUGGUGUGAGGAUUGAGGCUCCAUAUCCGAGGAAACACGGCGAUUCGAAUCGAUUAAACCCAGCUGGGGAUUCAGUACCACACGACAUAUGUAGAACUUAAUCUUGCAUAUGUCAACCUUUUCUAUAGAUCCUCCCAUACAAGAACGGGUCCAGCGUCACCCGAGAGUACAGUACACCACCAUCCUACAGCCAAUCUAGAUGUUUCCCGGUCAUCUCAGAUCCGUAAGGUGGGUACACGCUACUCUCGCCAUCUUUCCACUCCCAGUACGCGGUUAGCCGUUCUCAAGUAUCGGAAUAGCUAUAGGUAAGGCUUACCGCCGCAUGUGGGCUGUACUCAAAGGUCUCAAUCACAACAGGCCAAUCAACGGUACGGUCCUUAAUCGACUCAGUUGGAGACACUACUUUAAGACUCCAUUCUUAAAGCAAGUCCACCGACCGGUCUCAAAUUGAACAUCAUUAACUGUAAGAGUAUUCCACAACGACCCUUCAAACGUUCUCAUUUGAAAACUUAUCUAAUAAGCAGGGCUAAGCAUACUAAGCAUUUUCAUAAAGCAGGUAUCAAGGUUAAUAUGGAAAUCAUCAAGGUAGAUAAUGCAGCAAAUAGGAUUCACUCAACUCCUAUUCACCUAAUGCAUCAUAUUAACUCAAGUGAUAUAAAUAACUUUAUGAAAAUACAAGGAUAGGGUUUAAUGUCCGGGGCUUGCCUUGACCGGAAGGGAAAUUCGGCAACUCAGCAAAACCCGAAGGAUCCACAAACUCGGAAGCAACCCACUGAGGAUCAGAUUCCUCCGGAGCGUAUUCUAUACGUAAAAGUGCAUAUGCAUGAUCAAUGAGAUGCUCAUGACAUGAUAAAGACAGGUUACAUGUUCUUGGAUGAUAACAACAAACAUAACUACCUCGAGUACAACUUACCUUCACGGUAUAGAAACAAACUAACUUAGUUAUCAAAACAUAGAUUACUACUAAGCAAAUUUUAUCAUCUUCAUUAAGCAAGGUUGUGUAGCUAUCAUACAACAAAGAUCAUUUAUAUGAAAUAAACCAUAACCAGGGAGCAUAUCAUGCCAAGUAACCACUGGUUGUCAAUCAAUCCCAAAGAUCAAUCAAAACCUAAAAUGAUUAGGUUUUCUAUUUAUCUUAAUCAAUUCUUAAUUAAAUAUUAAUGGCAGUAACUAAGUAUUAACAUCAAACAAUAAUUAAGUGCCAAAGGUCAUAAAAGAUAAUGACCUCAGGUCAUCACACAAUCCCAAAAGCACUCAAAUUCUAAUUUGGAAAUUAAGUUACUCAUUAUUUAAGUAAAGGCUAGCUAAAAACAAUCAACCCUAUUUGCACACAUAACCAGGACAGCAGCAUAUACACAACUUCAUUCAACCAUAAUUAGAGAUCCAAGCAUCCAACAAAGGUGAUAUUAGGCUUUCUGGAAAGCUUAUAUAAUUUUCUACAACUUUGUUAUUAUCUUCGAGAACUGAUUUAAUAGAUAACAUGGCCAAACAGUAUGAAUAAACAAUUCUGUCCAGACCUUGGACAGAAUCAGACAUUAAGCUUCAUACAUCUAUAACCAGAGUUCUAGAUCACCAAAAUUCAUGAUCCAUAACAUUUUGGAAAUCUUAUGAAAAUUACUACAAUUCAUCUUUUAUCAUGAAAGCAUGAUUCAUAAGUUUAGUAGGUUGAAAUUGCACAACUACAGAAACUGAUCCAGAAUUUGACAGAGAGGAACCAUUUCUGAAACUUAAAUUUAAACAGGCAUAACUCAGAAACUAUAGGGCCAAAUGCCACCAAAAUUUAACACCAGCUAGAUACAUGAAUUCUAUACAACUUUGUUAUAGACAAGUUUCAUAUCCAACAUUAUUUACCUAGAGCAAUUCAUAAGGUUCCAGAAACUGUCCAGAAAUCACUAAUAAUUUAAUUAUAGGCAAAUAACAUUUUAUUUAUAUUUCAAACUUGGACCUGGGCAAAACCCAGCUCACAAAUAGUUGAAAUACAUCAAAGAGAUACUAGAAAACAUCAUGGUCAUCCCUAAAUAAAUUCCUUUCAUGUUUUUAUUAAUUUAUUUAGGUAAAUAGACAAAGCAAUAACCAUAUAUCAAAAGUACACAGUAAAUUCUGAGAAAACUACAGAAGCUCAUAUAUGUUCUCCAAAGUCUACUGUAUAAAUUUCAUGCCAUUUGAAUAAGUAUAGCAAUUUCCAUGAAAAAGAUAAAUUUCCAUCACAAGGAAGCAUGUAACAACAAGAUAAAUAAGAAACUCAACAUUUUCUACAAACACAUAGCUAAAUUAUGUAUCUAUAUGAUAUAACAACCUCAUAUAAAGGCAGAGGAACUGUAUUUUACAUUUAUUUAUUUUUAGUUUAAUUGUAAACUAUUUAAUAAGCACUAAACAAGAUAAAUUAAUAACUUAACCAUAUAUCAUCUACUGAACAUGAAAUUUUUACUGUAACACUCACAUAGCAUCAUAAAAACACCAUAAAAAUUUCAGGCCCAAAGGAGCUACACAGGAUUAGAUAUGAAUUUCUCCUUUUUAAACAUAAUUAAAAGGCAUAAAUCAUAACUAAUUAUUUUACUACAAAACAUGGUCAGUUUCAUAUUUUUAAUAAACACUAGACAUCUCAAGGAGCACAACAAAAUUUGGUUCACCAAAAUUGGAGCUACCAAACUCUAGAUAUGAAUUUUCAAACAUUCAACAAAACCUCUACAAACAAGUCCUUAUAGCACUAUUCACCUGAGUCACAGUCUCUGCAAUUAGACCCCUGGGAAACAUCAAAUUGUCGCCCGAAGUCCCUGGCCGCGACUGAAAACAGAGGAACUCGCCGGAGAUCGUGGUUUCGGCGCUGGAGUGCUCGUCGGCGGCAUUGGAGCAGCGGGGAAGCUCGCCCGGACUAGUGCGCACCUGAUGGUGGCCGUAGCUUGUCCUGCAAUGGCUCGAGGUGGCCUGUCCACGUUGAGGUGCUCCUCGGCGGCGUUUUCAGCCGGAGCUGAGGAAGAAAGACGGCGCCCGGGCGAUUGAGAGGGGCAGGGAGGGUUCCUGGGCGUACACGGGGUUCGCAAGGAUAUGGCGAAGGUGUUGGAGAACUCGAAUUGGCCAGAGGGGUUGCGUGUAGAGGGUAUUGGACGGUGGAGCUUCACUGGGUGCUUUCGGUCGUCGGAGUAAGUGAGCUCGAGGUCGGCCGCGCAGGCGCUCAAGAGGUCGAGACGCAGAGGUCACGGGCGUCCACGUCGCGCGGUGACGCGGCCGGCAAGCAGCUGCGUGGCGGCGAGAACGCACGCGCGGCGCUGCACGGCCUGCGGCCGCGCGGUGACUGGACUCGUGAUCCAUAUCCGGAUACUGUAGCAAGCUUUAUCCAACCAGUUUUGUGGUUUUGCAAAAUUCGCCCAAAU
RNAcentral lists this long non-coding RNA (113692 nucleotides) under Sorghum bicolor (sorghum). Its description in RNAcentral is "long non-coding RNA (SBIC_LNC018378)". The stretch from base 85238 to 85331 matches the Rfam family "small nucleolar RNA snoR128". Lineage: Eukaryota; Viridiplantae; Streptophyta; Magnoliopsida; Poales; Poaceae. The record is from RNAcentral.